AUACUUCACCCUCAGUCCGACUGGUCACAAUUCUCAAGAACCGCUCACUUCUUCACCACGCUCAGCCCCUCCAAGGCCACCUUCACCUUGCCGUACACAUCGUCCGGAGCCGCCACAGCGCUGAUCACGUGGCACUUGCCCUGCGUAAGGUAGUGGUCCUUCACGGGCAGCGACUGAUCCAGGAAGGUGCGGAAGCGCUUGCGAAUGGUGUCGGCGUUGUCGUCGCUGCGGCCGCUGGUCUCCCCGCGCUUCAGCAGGCGCUUCUCCAUCUCCUCCUCCGGGCAGUCGAAGAACAGCACCGUCUUGCACGGCAUAAUGCUGCUCUCAAACUGCUCCGCCUGGUCCAGCGCGCGCGGAAAGCCGUCGAUGAGGAAGAACUUGCCACCGCUGGCUAUCAUGUCCCGCUUCAGCAGGUUGAGCGUGACAGCCACCGGCACGAGCUUGCCCUCCUUCAUCAGCGCCUCGCACUUCUGGCCGACCUCGCUGCCGCUCUUCACCUCAGCGCGCAGCAGGUCGCCGGCGCUGAGGUGCACGCAAUCGUAGUCGGCCUUAAUCUUGUCGCACUGCGUGCCCUUGCCGCUGCCGGGGCCACCGAGCACGAACACAAUCUGGGCAUCGGCGGGCAGGCUGCCGGGCACGGACGGCAGCGCAAUCUCCUGUGAAGGGAGCAUGGAUUAAAAAUGUUGUAAGAUAUGUGAAAAUCGGUCGUUUCACAUGCGAGUGCUGAACCCAUCAGCCGUCAACGUGAAUCCAUCAAGACAUGCAAACCGGAUCCCGGAAUGUGCAUGCAUAUGCGCGCCCAAGCACAAGCACAAGAUGCAAGCCGUUUACGGCAAACACCACGCCUAGGGACCAGAGUGCCACAAAGCCCGCCCAAGCAAAGCCCCACCCACCUCCGACUUCUUGGGUGCGCCCAUAGCGUCCAGCGCCGCCUUCACCUUGCCGUACACCUCCUUUGGGGGAGGGACAGCGCUGAUCACGUGGCACUUGCCCUGCGCAAGGUAGUGGUCCUUCACAGGCAGCGACUGAUCCAGGAAGGUGCGGAAGCGCUUGCGAAUGGUGUCGGCGUUGUCGUCGCUGCGGCCGCUGGUCUCCCCGCGCUUCAGCAGGCGCUUCUCCAUCUCCUCCUCCGGGCAGUCGAAGAACAGCACCGUCUUGCACGGCAUGAUGCUGCUCUCAAACUGCUCCGCCUGGUCCAGCGCGCGUGGAAAGCCGUCGAUGAGGAAGAACUUGCCGCCGCUGGCUAUCAUGUCCCGCUUCAGCAGGUUGAGCGUGACAGCCACCGGCACGAGCUUGCCCUCCUUCAUCAGCGCCUCGCACUUCUGGCCGACCUCGCUGCCGCUCUUCACCUCAGCGCGCAGCAGGUCGCCGGCGCUGAGGUGCACGCACUCAUACUCCUCCUUGAUCUGAUCGCAUUGCGUGCCCUUGCCGCUGCCGGGGCCGCCGAGCACGAACACGAUCUGGGCAUCGGCGGGCAGGCUGCCAGGCACAGGCGGCAGCGCAAUCUCCUGCGGGCACGUGCAGCCGAGGACAUUCAGGUUAGGACCGAAUGGCACCAGCCGCAAUCAGAUGCUACGAAACAAAAGCUAUUACUUCCAUGCGGAGAUUAAUUGGCACAGCUGCUAUCCGUUUCCCGCCCCAGCAGCCCCGCAUUAUAGUCAAAAACGCCGUACAACGCAUCCCGGCUUUCCCUUACCUCUGAAACCGCAGCAGCCGCCUUCUUCGGCGCGUGCAAGCCCUCCAACACCACCUUCACCUUGCCGUACACAUCGUCCGGAGCCGCCACAGCGCUGAUCACGUGGCACUUGCCCUGCGCAAGGUAGUGGUCCUUCACAGGCAGCGACUGCUCCAGGAAGGUGUGGAAGCGCUUGCGAAUGGUGUCGGCGUUGUCGUCGCUGCGGCCGCUGGUCUCCCCGCGCUUCAGCAGGCGCUUCUCCAUCUCCUCCUCCGGGCAGUCAAAGAACAGCACCGUCUUGCACGGCAUAAUGCUGCUCUCAAACUGCUCCGCCUGGUCCAGCGCGCGCGGAAAGCCGUCGAUGAGGAAGAACUUGCCACCGCUGGCUAUCAUGUCCCGCUUCAGCAGGUUGAGCGUGACAGCCACCGGCACGAGCUUGCCCUCCUUCAUCAGCGCCUCGCACUUCUGGCCGACCUCGCUGCCGCUCUUCACCUCAGCGCGCAGCAGGUCGCCGGCGCUGAGGUGCACGCACUCGUAGUCGGCCUUAAUCUUGUCGCAUUGCGUGCCCUUGCCGCUGCCGGGGCCGCCGAGCACGAACACGAUCUGGGCAUCGGCAGGCAGGCUGCCAGGCACAGGCGGCAGCGCGAUGUCCUGUUGCAUGAACGGAGAGCACAGAAGGAGGCAAGACGUUUCAGUUUUACAGUGACCAAACAUCCACUUGGCGCUACGGCCCGAGUGCUUCCCAAAGCACCCAUAGCAUCCUGCUGUCGCAUACAGCGCUGUGCGCAUCCCGAAAUUAAAGCCCCAACAAUUGGACAUAAGACAAGCCCAUGUCCAUUCACGACCCAAAUCUACGUGCUCAGGUCACGGCGCCGCAAAGUCCACCCAAGCAAAGCCCCACCCACCUCGGACUUCUUGGGUGCGCCCAUAGCGUCCAGCGCCGCCUUCACCUUGCCGUACACUUCCUUUGGGGGAGGGACAGCGCUGAUCACGUGGCACUUGCCCUGCGCAAGGUAGUGGUCCUUCACAGGCAGCGACUGAUCCAGGAAGGUGCGGAAGCGCUUGCGAAUGGUGUCGGCGUUGUCGUCGCUGCGGCCGCUGGUCUCCCCGCGCUUCAGCAGGCGCUUCUCCAUCUCCUCCUCCGGGCAGUCAAAGAACAGCACCGUCUUGCACGGCAUGAUGCUGCUCUCAAACUGCUCCGCCUGGUCCAGCGCGCGUGGAAAGCCGUCGAUGAGGAAGAACUUGCCGCCGCUGGCUAUCAUGUCCCGCUUCAGCAGGUUGAGCGUGACAGCCACCGGCACGAGCUUGCCCUCCUUCAUCAGCGCCUCGCACUUCUGGCCAACCUCGCUGCCGCUCUUCACCUCAGCGCGCAGCAGGUCGCCGGCGCUGAGGUGCACGCACUCAUACUCCUCCUUGAUCUGAUCGCAUUGCGUGCCCUUGCCGCUGCCGGGGCCGCCGAGCACGAACACGAUCUGGGCGUCGGCAGGCAGGCUGCCGGGCACGGGCGGCAGCGCAAACUCCUGCAUAGGGACGAAAAUGCAAUGGAAAUCAGCAAGCCGAGAUUAAUAAUCAGUGGAAACUUACGCAUCAGUACACUUGCACUUCAGUACGCAUCCUACUACCGGGAGGAUACGGUAAGGCAGGCAGGCAGAGGCCAUCGAUUUCACGCUUGCCCCAGCUUUCCGUACGAUGUACCGUAUGCUAGGUUGCUUGACCGGAACCCGUGCAAGACGCACACGGAUAUACCACCGGUGAACAGCCAUGACCGCUCACCUCCAAAGCAGCCGCAGCAGGAGUAGCCGAAACUGUCGCAGUCACGCCCGCCUUCUUCGGCGCGUGCAAGCCCUCCAGCACCACCUUCACCUUGCCGUACACAUCGUCCGGAGCCGCCACAGCGCUGAUCACGUGGCACUUGCCCUGCGUAAGGUAGUGGUCCUUCACAGGCAGCGACUGAUCCAGGAAGGUGCGGAAGCGCUUGCGAAUGGUGUCGGCGUUGUCGUCGCUGCGGCCGCUGGUCUCCCCGCGCUUCAGCAGGCGCUUCUCCAUCUCCUCCUCCGGGCAGUCGAAGAACAGCACCGUCUUGCACGGCAUGAUGCUGCUCUCAAACUGCGCCGCCUGGUCCAGCGCGCGCGGAAAGCCGUCGAUGAGGAAGAACUUGCCGCCGCUGGCUAUCAUGUCCCGCUUCAGCAGGUUAAGCGUGACAGCCACCGGCACGAGCUUGCCCUCCUUCAUCAGCGCCUCGCACUUCUGGCCGACCUCGCUGCCGCUCUUCACCUCAGCGCGCAGCAGGUCGCCGGCGCUGAGGUGCACGCACUCGUAGUCGGCCUUAAUCUUGUCGCAUUGCGUCCCCUUGCCGCUGCCGGGGCCGCCGAGCACGAACACGAUCUGGGCGUCGGCAGGCAGGUUGCCGGGCACAGGUGGCAGCGCGAUGUCCUGCAUAAAAGCAACCAAGGGAACAAACGUGCAAUCAUAAGGUGUUGGCUGUGGCGCCGACCAUGACCCAGUGCCCUUGUACACAAAGCAAUGGGGCGUGCCGUACGCGCCGCACACACAGAACAGCGGUUUGGUGGCUGGAAACAUAAGAUGCGGCACGGUAUCCCUAUCUGCAGGUCGGCUUCUCAAGUGUUCAACUUAGGCAAGACGCACCUCCGAAGCAGCCGGGGCCGCUGCAAGUGCCGUCGCCGCUGCGCUCGCCUUCUUCGGCGCGUGCAAGCCCUCCAGCACCACCUUCACCUUGCCGUACACAUCGUCCGGAGCCGCCACAGCGCUGAUCACGUGGCACUUGCCCUGCGUAAGGUAGUGGUCCUUCACGGGCAGCGACUGAUCCAGGAAGGUGUGGAAGCGCUUGCGAAUGGUGUCGGCGUUGUCGUCGCUGCGGCCGCUGGUCUCCCCGCGCUUCAGCAGGCGCUUCUCCAUCUCCUCCUCCGGGCAGUCAAAGAACAGCACCGUCUUGCACGGCAUGAUGCUGCUCUCAAACUGCUCCGCCUGGUCCAGCGCGCGUGGAAAGCCGUCGAUGAGGAAGAACUUGCCGCCGCUGGCUAUCAUGUCCCGCUUCAGCAGGUUGAGCGUGACAGCCACCGGCACGAGCUUGCCCUCCUUCAUCAGCGCCUCGCACUUCUGGCCAACCUCGCUGCCGCUCUUCACCUCAGCGCGCAGCAGGUCGCCGGCGCUGAGGUGCACGCACUCAUACUCCUCCUUGAUCUGAUCGCAUUGCGUGCCCUUGCCGCUGCCGGGGCCGCCGAGCACGAACACGAUCUGGGCGUCGGCAGGCAGGCUGCCGGGCACGGGCGGCAGCGCAAACUCCUGCAUAGGGACGAAAAUGCAAUGGAAAUCAGCAAGCCGAGAUUAAUAAUCAGUGGAAACUUACGCAUCAGUACACUUGCACUUCAGUACGCAUCCUACUACCGGGAGGAUACGGUAAGGCAGGCAGGCAGAGGCCAUCGAUUUCACGCUUGCCCCAGCUUUCCGUACGAUGUACCGUAUGCUAGGUUGCUUGACCGGAACCCGUGCAAGACGCACACGGAUAUACCACCGGUGAACAGCCAUGACCGCUCACCUCCAAAGCAGCCGCAGCAGGAGUAGCCGAAACUGUCGCAGUCACGCCCGCCUUCUUCGGCGCGUGCAAGCCCUCCAGCACCACCUUCACCUUGCCGUACACAUCGUCCGGAGCCGCCACAGCGCUGAUCACGUGGCACUUGCCCUGCGUAAGGUAGUGGUCCUUCACAGGCAGCGACUGAUCCAGGAAGGUGCGGAAGCGCUUGCGAAUGGUGUCGGCGUUGUCGUCGCUGCGGCCGCUGGUCUCCCCGCGCUUCAGCAGGCGCUUCUCCAUCUCCUCCUCCGGGCAGUCGAAGAACAGCACCGUCUUGCACGGCAUGAUGCUGCUCUCAAACUGCGCCGCCUGGUCCAGCGCGCGCGGAAAGCCGUCGAUGAGGAAGAACUUGCCGCCGCUGGCUAUCAUGUCCCGCUUCAGCAGGUUAAGCGUGACAGCCACCGGCACGAGCUUGCCCUCCUUCAUCAGCGCCUCGCACUUCUGGCCGACCUCGCUGCCGCUCUUCACCUCAGCGCGCAGCAGGUCGCCGGCGCUGAGGUGCACGCACUCGUAGUCGGCCUUAAUCUUGUCGCAUUGCGUCCCCUUGCCGCUGCCGGGGCCGCCGAGCACGAACACGAUCUGGGCGUCGGCAGGCAGGUUGCCGGGCACAGGUGGCAGCGCGAUGUCCUGCAUAAAAGCAACCAAGGGAACAAACGUGCAAUCAUAAGGUGUUGGCUGUGGCGCCGACCAUGACCCAGUGCCCUUGUACACAAAGCAAUGGGGCGUGCCGUACGCGCCGCACACACAGAACAGCGGUUUGGUGGCUGGAAACAUAAGAUGCGGCACGGUAUCCCUAUCUGCAGGUCGGCUUCUCAAGUGUUCAACUUAGGCAAGACGCACCUCCGAAGCAGCCGGGGCCGCUGCAAGUGCCGUCGCCGCUGCGCUCGCCUUCUUCGGCGCGUGCAAGCCCUCCAGCACCACCUUCACCUUGCCGUACACAUCGUCCGGAGCCGCCACAGCGCUGAUCACGUGGCACUUGCCCUGCGUAAGGUAGUGGUCCUUCACGGGCAGCGACUGAUCCAGGAAGGUGUGGAAGCGCUUGCGAAUGGUGUCGGCGUUGUCGUCGCUGCGGCCGCUGGUCUCCCCGCGCUUCAGCAGGCGCUUCUCCAUCUCCUCCUCCGGGCAGUCAAAGAACAGCACCGUCUUGCACGGCAUGAUGCUGUUCUCAAACUGCGCCGCCUGGUCCAGCGCGCGCGGAAAGCCGUCGAUGAGGAAGAACUUGCCGCCGCUGGCUAUCAUGUCCCGCUUCAGCAGGUUGAGCGUGACAGCCACCGGCACGAGCUUGCCCUCCUUCAUCAGCGCCUCGCACUUCAGGCCGACCUCACUGCCGCUCUUCACCUCAGCGCGCAGCAGGUCGCCGGCGCUGAGGUGCACGCACUCAUAGUCGGCCUUAAUCUUGUCGCAUUGCGUGCCCUUGCCGCUGCCGGGGCCGCCGAGCACGAACACGAUCUGGGCAUCGGCGGGUAGGCUGCCAGGCACGGGCGGCAGCGCAAUCUCCUGCAAGCGAGGCAAUAGAAGAAUCCAUCAGUCGUCGAUUGCUCUUGCAGCGGGUUUCAGCCCCGCGCUGCCUGCCAGUCGAACAUAAUGACAUAACAUUACGAUCAGAGCACAUAACGCCUUGGCUUGCUGUGCGACAUACCUCUGUUUGCGCUGGCGCGCUCGGCGCCUGCUGCUGAGGCUUGCUGGGUUUUCCGCCCAUCGCAGGAGAUGAUGGCUCUUUAGGCACAGCUGGCUCCGGCUUGCUCGGCUGCUCCUGCGGGUUUGAGUUUGGGGACGGGUAUGGCAUGUCCAUUCCCGUCGGAGAAAGCGAGCAACGCCCAUGCAGCUGUUACGGUCCCCGGCCGCACCGUUUUGCUAGCUCCACAGCCCAUCUGUGCUUGGGGCUGUCCAGAUGGCCCUAGCGGCCGUGGAGUGCACGCGUGCGCGAAGUCGUUUGGGCUCUAUGCGGUCAAGUUCAAGGUUUGCGUUACAGCCGCUUGUCAAAGCACAAUACAGAGUUGCUAGAGCAAGACAAGGUCAGCAACCAUGUCCUACGUUAUAGUAAGUGCGCUUCGGAGGCUUCGCAGCACCCAUCGGUCGCUCGAAGCUGAGCUCGAAUGGCAGCCCCAUUGAUGGCGCCCGGCUCCGCAUGUUUUCCCAACACCACCAGCCAAAAUCUUUUGCAUAGUCCUAAUAUCGAUGUUUAGGGCGCGAACAAAACAGUAUGAACGGACGCCGGAAACAGGUUCUGCAGUAAACGCGUUGCGCCAGCAAGUAUUCUAUAUUAUUCAUCAUGUCAACGGUCAAGGAUAAAAUAGUCAUCCUUGGACGGCCGUCCAGCGCAAGCCCGGUGAGUGAAUGCUUUUGGCACGCGUAGCAUUCGCAAAUGCGUGCUCGCCAUUGGAUGGGCGGUGCGUCCCUUUUGCAUUAUACCUGCACUACCUAUUGCUUGUUCGUCGGCGUCCGCCAGGGUCCGCGGCUUGACUGUCCACCCUGUUACCGCCUCCUGCCGUCCCUGCUUCUCUUGCUCAGGCCAACCGCGGUGGGGCAGCGUCAACCAGCGCCAGCGCCUCCACAUUGGAAAGCGCAGCAACCCAUGGCACCAAGUCUGAGCGGGCCGCAGCUGCGCUCACGCUUUGGGACAAGUGGGCAGGCGAAGCGCUGGGGCCCAUCUCAGCAGACCCCACGCAUGAGGAGCUGAGCCGCAAGAGCCGCCGCGUGCAGCGCCUGGAGCAGGAAUGCGCCGCCAUCGCAGCACGCGCACAGCGCCGCCUGGAGCUGAGCACCGCUAUUCGGUCGCAGCCCAUCAUGCUGUCCAGCGCCAGCGCCCGCGGCGCCGACGCGGGGAGCCCGGCGCUACUGAAGACCGGUUCCUUUAACCGGGAGAUGCAGUACGCGGUACGGGAGCGGCGACGCGCAGCUGCCUAUGCAGCCGUUAAGGCCGAGGGCGAGGCGGAGGUGGACGCGCUGUCGGGUGUGGUCACCGUGGGCGUGGCGUCGCCGACGGUUGUGGCGGCAGCGGGCGGGGAGCAACAGUUCUCGCGUGGCGCCUCCUUCAAGUCGCGCAACAUGCUCGACGCGCUCAUAGCAAGUCGCUCAGCAGCAGGCGGCGGCGGGGGUGGCGUACUGAUGAGCCCCGGCAGCCCAAAGAUGGGUGCCGGCGGCAGCGGCCGGCCGCGGCCGCAGUCCGCGAUGCCAAUGCGGGGCGGCGGCUCGGCGGCCGCCGGCGCGGGUGCAGGCCCCGCCAGCUUCCGCGCCUCCCGCCCACGGUCCGCUGUGCCGGGCGCCACAGGCGCGCCGGACCGGGCCGUCAGCCGCCAGGCGUCCAUGUCCGGCGGCCCUGCGACAGGGCUGCAGCGGUCGGGUAGCAUGGCAGCGCGAGCCGCUGGGCUGGUGUCGGGCCCGGUCACGUACCCCGCCUCGGUGGUGUCCGGGCCUGGCGGCGGCGGCGCGGCGUCCAUUGGCUCGGGCCUGGUAUCGCUGCCUGAGGGCAACUACCUGGCUCUGCGGCAGGAGGUGGAGGCGGUGUCGGAGCGGCUGGCGGCCACGCAGGCGGCGCUAGAGGUGCAGUCGGACACGGAGACGCAGCUGCGUGAGGCCAUUGACCUGAUGCGCGCCCGGCUGCACAGCAGCGGCGUGCGCGAGGUGGAGGCGCAGCGGCGGCUGGCGCAGCACAGCAAGCUGGAGCCGUUGUUUGACCGGUUGGCGGAGUGCUUCACGUUCAGCAACCCAGAGGAGGUGGUGGCGCGGCUGGAGUUCUUGGAGGACGACAAGUUGGGCACCUUCGAUCAGCUGCUGCGGGUGGGUGGCGCGCUUUGUACCUUGUGUGAUGUGGGGGCGUUUCCUGCGGGCAGGGGUGCUUAGGCAGUGGUUUAGGAAAGAGGGGCGUCGCAAACUGUGUGUCGGCCGGGCGAGUACGGGGCCAAGGGUUGCAGGGGAUAUGGGUCGGUGCUAUGCUCACCAUAACGAGUCGGCUUGCUUCCGUGUCUAUCCCACCCUCAGACGCAAGAGGAGGUGACACGGCUCCAGCAGCGGCUGGCGGAGGUGCAAAAGGCGGGCGAGACUGUGGCGACUCGGCUCACCACGGAGCACCUGCAGGGCAGCGCCCGCCUGCAGGAGCAGAACGAGCAGCUGCGGCAGGAGCUUGAGUCGAUGGAGGUAAGUGUCGAUGCCUAGGCGUAACAGCUCCAGCUGCGGCAUACCGUAUGAUGUGUUGGGCAAGGGCGCGUGCAUGUAUGCACGCGUUGGAGGCGCUGAACAAUUCACCCUGGUCUUCCUUGUGCUGUGUAGGGAUUGGUGCACCGCCUCACGAACCGGCAGGCGCAGCUGGUGGCGCUGCAGACAGCCGUGUUGCAUUUGUGGGGCAAGCUCUCAGACGACCCGCAUUUCGCGGCGGCGUUCGGCGGACCGGGUGCGGCGGACGCGGCGCGGGCGGCGUCGCCCACCAGUCCUAGCCCCCGAGGCCGUGGCGCAACCAGCCCCAGCCGCGUCUCAGCCAAGAGCCCCGCUCGUAGCGGCACGGGCGCAUCAGUCAUCAGCGGGGGGGCCAGCAGCUACCACGAAGAAGCAGCGAGCGUCACUAGCGGCGGCGGCAUGCUGUCCGACCCACUGUCCAUGCUCGCCAUGAUUGAGGAGUUCGUGACGGCCAAGAGCGACAAGCUGGCGAUCAAGCAGUUCACAGAGUAAGCCACCGAGCUAGCCCGUGAGCCUGUACACCAUGGCUGCUGUAGCUUUUGUGCUGCUUUACCAAAGCUUGCAUGCCCAGUCGCCUGUUUAUAUCCAAGAGCUGACGUCCGCAUGACACUGCCCGGCACGCAGGAUCCAGCGUGUGGCUAACCACGUAUGGCAGCAGCACUUCCGCAACCGCGAGGACAUUCGCGGCAAGGUGGUCCCCACGUUCGAGCAGCUGAGCAAGAUCGCGGACAAGAUGGCGGACAGGGUGCGCAACGUGCAGGACCAGGCGGGGCGCAGUCAGGAUGCGGAGAAGCAGCUCAUGAAGCAGUUGAAGCGGCUGCAGCAGCAGAAGCGGCAGCUGGAGGGCGAGCUCGCGCGCCGCGACGAGCUGGUCAAGAGCCUGAUGGGCGUGCCGCGCCGCGAGCGGCCGGCAUCAGCCACAGCCGAGCUCGGACGCAUCAUCCGCCAAGACGCAACGUCAGCGUCGCUGACCUCGCCGUCGCAGGCGGCCGGUUUGGGCUAUGGCACAUCAACGGGCGUGUCGCGGGUGCAGUCGUUGGCGAGUGGACUGGGCAGGGCGGGGCGCGGCGGGGCGGCGGUUGACGAGCCGGCGUCGCCCCCCUCGUCCAACCCGGUGCUGGCGCGAAUGAUGACGCAGCGCAUGGUGCAGCAACAGCAACAGCCGCAACAGCCGCAACAGCCGCAACAGCAGCAGCGGCUGCAAGCGCAGCCGUCUACGGCGCAGCCGCAGGCCCAGCCGUCGCGCUCACGGCCGGUGUCCGCGCCGCAGGGCGCGCAGGCCGUAGCGGCGGCACGGGCGCGCAACGCGGCGGCGGCGCUUGCGGCGCAGAACUAUCAGCCACCUGUGACGUCCGGAGGUACCCUGGCCACCCUGAUGAGCCCUGCUGUGGCGGGCCAGGUGCCGCAGGUGACAUCCGAUUUGCCCAUGGGGGUGCACUGGCAAAAGUACACUGGCAACACACAGCCGCCGGCUGGAGGCCUGUUCUAUGCGUCGGGGACGUCUGAGACGGCGCCGGAGACUGGGGGCAGUGCUGCGGGCGAUGCGCAGCCGGCACCAUCCGUGCGGUGGGCGGCGCCACAGCGCAGCGCAAUUGAGCAGGCGUUCUUGACACGGCUGGAGCGGAGGACGCGUGUCACGUAGCGUACGGUUCUUGAUGCAUGGUAUGCUGGCAUGGGGACUUGACGAGUAGCCGAGACUGCGAUGCCAGUACUGCAGCAUCAGACUGGCUUGUCUGCCCACGGUUCCGCUGUUACGCACGUCCUGGUUACGCAUGCUGCUGUUGAAGGACUGAAGCCUAAGAAGGAAUCAUUGAGCAGGUUACAGUGUCCUCCACGGUUGCGACAUGCCCCCACGUUAAUAGGGCCAUCUGCAAUACCGUAUUGUUCAGCAACGCGCCUCGCGUCCACCUCACAUAAUGUUUUGUGGGCCACAGUUGUGGCCGACGUACCCUAUUGUUGACGACGCAGCCUAUUGUUGCGCGCACACCUCACGGGCGGCCUGGUGCACCACGGUGAACCCAGCACCUUCAUUUACUCCGACGAUUUUGCAAAGGACACGGCCCACGGACAAGGCAUGGAGCCUUAUAUUGGACUACUACAGAACUACGUGCCUUGUCUGUCAAAUGAAUGUACAAUGGAUCCUAAGCCCCCAACGCCGCUGGCCCCCUGGCUUGUACCCACUAGUACUUCCCCAUGCGUCCCCCUCAGCAGCACUAUCAGCCCUCCUGCUGUCCCAAGUAUUUAUUGAGCCCGACCAUAUCGGACCAUCGUUCUCGUCCAGCCUACCAGCCGUACCUUGUGUCCCACGUUUAUUAGAUCACUCCACUGCACUUGAGAUCCGGAGCCGCCACAGAAAUCGAAAUGCAUGUCCGUAACCUCACAUUCUCUCCUCCGACCCCCAAACAUUACAGCUUGCACUCAUGAAACAUUAAAACUAAACCCGAGGCCCCACGUAGCGCCCACAACUCCUCCGGUCUGCGCCUGUGUCUCGACCUCCAACGAAGCUGACAGCGGUUGCUGCCAGCACAAACCGCACCAACGCCCAUUCCUGACCCGCACAGGCAACGUGCGACACUGGUCUAGCCCGCGGCCAUCACAGCGCAUGGUGGUGUUGCGCCGCCGCGCCUUCCAGAGCCAUGGACUGCAGGUUAGUCUGCACUUGCGUAAGGCUGGGCCGACUGGCCGACUUCUUCUUCAGCGCCAGAGCCGCCAGACCUGCGCCCAAGACCCACAGGCUCGCGGUUAUGCCGGGCAAUUGCGCAAUUGCGAGGGGACAUGGCAAAGGAAGCAAGUCAACGGUGUCAACAUCUGCACACAGGCAGCCAUAAAGCUUGAUCGCCACCAAGCAUACAGAAGUUACAAUCCCGCAGGGCCACGUGGCUUGCUAACAAGCCGCCAGGGACCCGACCCAACCGCCACAUCACUACGAUGCUAUGCUUUUACACCUUGCUCUCCCGGCGUGACCGCCUCCCAGCUCUUGUACGUGUAGCCGAUGAAAUUGGGGUCAGCCUGGGCCAGCCACUUGUUGCUGCGCCCGCUGCCACUGCGGUCGAGACCGCCGUGGUGGUGGUGCAUCUCCUCGUCAAAGUUCUCAAAGUUCUGGGUGUCCAGGUCGUGGUCAACGCGCGGCACAAACGGUGCCUGUGUCUGGUGCAGAUGCACCCAGUCCACGCCCGCGAAGAACGGAUGGCUCUGCAGGCGGAUGGACACACGCAGGAGACGGCGGAAAAGUUCCGUUCAGCGAUGCGCCCAUGAGCGUGUGUGGAAAAGUCCGACCAACGUCCAAAGGCUGGACCCGCCUCGCAGUGUCCUGGCCUGAUAGGCACGCAUGCUCACCUUAAUCUCCUCCACGCCGCCGCGCGUCCCUAUCCGCUCCUCCACGUCGCACAUGAGCCGGCAGAUGAGGUCGCGCGCCGCCGGCGAUAGCCGGGCCUCGUCCGGGAAGCGCAGGAACAUGCGCCAGUUGACAAUCUUGCGGCAUGUGGUCAGCGGCUCGUCCGAGUAGAACGGCGGGUACCCCACCUGCGGGCAUAUGCAAUAGGGUCCUGUCACGCUCUGCGCAUGCACUCGGCAAUCCCCGAGCCGUAGCUGCCCAUGCAAUUCACAGCAGCCCACGGCGCACAAGUCCGUGCGCCAAAUGUGGCUACGCCGGCAACUCACCAGCAUCUCAAACAUGAUUGCGCCCAGCGACCACCAGUCGCACUCCAUGCCGUAGCCCUUCUUCAGCAGCACCUCGGGCGCGAUGUAGUCGGGCGUGCCCACCGUCGAGAACGCCUGUGUGCAGAGGUGGACCGACGGGUGAGUUAACGGCACUAGCGUGGGCAGCAAUCUCCCAAUGGUGUUGACAGAACGGCAAUACGUACACUAGGCUAAUCGCACCAACUUUGUCACACUCUGCACGCACCAGCUGCCGCCGAUUCUUCUGCCAGUGCGCGAGCUGCUCCGCCUGUGGCCGCAACGAGGUCGACGGCAUCAACCUGCGCAGGCACAGCGAACAAGCUCACACAGCAGCUUAAGUCACGCCAUUUCCGAACCCCAAAGGCCUGUUUGCACCACUUCCAGCCUGCAGCGUGUCCGGGCAGCUGGCAGUAACGGCGGUACUCACGUGGGAUCGUUGAACUCCUCGCCCUCCGCUAGCGUGGGCAGUGCCUGCACGUCCACCGGCUUGCACAGCCCGAAGUCGCUCAGCUUGACGUGCCCGUCGCGCGUGAGCAGCAAGUUGUCCGGCUUGAUGUCGCUACAGGGGGAGCACACACAGGGAGCACAGGUGAGGAGGUGGGGAUGCAACUCACGUACGGGAUUGUCAUCGUCACUGCUUAGUAUUUAUGGACACCAACAGUCGGAACUGGGCCAGCAAGCCCUUGACCUUUAUGUCUUAUUUCAUAGCAAACACUUCUGCAGCCGCACGCACGAACGCACUCACCGGUGGAUGUAGCCGGCUUUAUGGAUGGACUCGAUGGCGAGGAUGGUCUCCGCCAUGUAAAAGCGCGUCUCCUCCUCGCUGAGGAUGUCCUUGCGCAUGAGCAGCGUCAUGGUGUCGCCGCCCGGCAGGUACUCCAUGGCCAGGUAGAGGUGGUCCUCAUCUUGGAAGCUGUAGUACAGCUUGACAAUGUAGGGGUUCUGAACCUCCGCCAGCACGUUGCGCUCCGCCUUGACGUGCUCAACCUGAAGGUAGAUGGACAUGAGCAUGAGCAGGCGGCGUGACGGGGUUGCGGGAAAUGGGCAGGGGGAGCGGGCAGGUGGUGAAGUAAGCGAGGCGGCUGACGUGAGCUUGAGUGGGAUGGUGUGCACAUUCGGUGUAUUGCCAUCGUUGCUCAAACAACCACUCGGCAGCGUUCAAACCCGGGCCGAAUCAGGUGCGGUGUAUCCCACCUGCCCGCGCUUGAGCAUCUCCGCCUUCUUCAACUUCUUCAUUGCCAUGAUCUUGCCUGUUGUCUUCUCCCGCACAAUGCGGACCUGCAAGAACGUGCGAAAGGCCCAGGCUUUGUGAGGCAUGCUGAACCUCACUCCUCGCCUGCGUGGUCUUCAAGCGAAGCUACCUUGCCGGUGGUUCCGUCCCAUGCCUCCACACGCGCGUCCCAACGCAAUAUUUUGGACACCAACUACCACGACCUGCGCCAACCCACGUUGGUAUGGCACCUGGGGCAUCACCGCGCAUGGACGUCAGAUAGUAAUGCGCCGAGCCCACUCCCCCCAUGCCAAGCAGCAAACCCAUGCCGGAACACCCACCUCGCCAAAUGCGCCACGCCCAAUAAUGCUCAACGCCUCAAAGUCCUCUGCCGUCAUGCGCUGCCGCUGCAGCCGCGUGAAGUCGCUUUCGCGCUUUUCGAGCUCGCUCAGGAUCUGCCGCUUCUGGUCCUCCGGCAGCCCCUCACGCUGCAGCUCCUGAACCACAGCGCUCCGCCUGCGGCAAGCAGCAGCGGCACGGCCAUCGCUUCACCCCACACGCUCUCACGUAACACGCUCAGACGCAAGCGUUCCGUCUGCUGAUGGCAUGCAACCGACUGUAAGGCCUAGCGGCGUCCAGAAGAGCAUCGCUGCAUAUUACGUAUGGCUGGGGGUGUCGCGCCGAUAUGUUGCACCGUAGGCAUGGAGGCCCUCAGUCCCCCCCAGCGCGUUGCCAUGCAAUAAGGGCAAGCCAGUUGGUGUCAUGCAGCGCUGGGGUGGACUGAGGGCCUGCAUGCCCUUAUUGCAUGGCAACCCGGAAGAGUGAGAAUCCACAAUAGCCGCCCGCUUGCAAGAACCACUUGUGCGUGUUUUGGGCGCCAAGCGCCAGCACGAGGCACAAAAGGUGCGUCCUGCGGACUCCCCAGCUCCCCCGCCCGCCACGCCAGACUCACCGUGCAUGGCGCUCCGCCAUGGCCUGACGCUGCGAGUUGUACAUGUUUUCAAUGUACUGUUUUGCCGCUUCAACGCGAACCCGUGUCGCCUCGCUCACGCUGGGCUGCUCUGCGCCUUGCUGACCCGCAUCCGCUGCCGUCAUAUCCUCAGUCUUCUUACGUCGUGCGCUGAAGGGUCUCUGCAGCCCCGCAAAGAGCGUGGAUGGCCCGCCCGGAGACUGCAUUUUGCUUGUAGUUUCCUGCACCUCCUCUCAAUGCCCCAAGUGUACAGCUGAGCUAGCUAAUGCUUCAGAUAGCAAGUGCUAAUCCAGAUGGUAGCGGUAACAAGGUCGCAACCAAAAACAUAGACUUCUAGAAGGCCACGCGCUUGUGCGCCUGCAUCUAAUGCGCAGUUCGAGAGAAAAGACUCCGAGCACUUAGAGUUAAGCCUAAAUGGGCCGAACAAGGGAAGACCAGGAGCUGUCAAAGCUGUAGGAAUGUUGCAACAGGUCGCCUGCGCAGCAGCUCUAUCAAAAUGUAGUCUUUCUUAAAUGUUAGCGGAUUUCUUUGAGCUACAGGUGGGGAAUAGGCAGGCGCUGCGGCUCCGUGAGGCAGACACGGUAAUCACAAUGAUGAAGAGUCCUCAACGAGCUCUCUUGGGGACAGAGUUCUCCUUAUGUACAAUAGCUGGAUUUAAAGAACAAGUCCUAAGUACAAUUACACGCUGGAGCUCUAGAAGAAAAAGACGCCCUUUCCGUCCUAACUCUUGGACCGGGCGCUAGCUUCCCGAUUUUGCUGAACCUUAUAUGAAACCUACGUUUAAUACUUAGCUGAGCAGGUGCAACGCCUGCGGAGCGGGGCAUUUGCGAACCAACUGUUCACGCGGAGUGCGCGGCUGGAGCGCCUUUGCCGCGCGUUGGCGUCGUGGCAUGAAGAAGAGGAGAUGCAGUAGCCUGAUGGCAGGCCGGCGCGCUGUGGUUGCCAACACUGCGCUGCUUGUGGCGGUGCUGGCCUUCUGUGCGCUUGGAGGCGCACAGGCCGCGUGUCGCGUACGGUUAGAGCUGGACGGGGCCGCCUCUCCGGUCGUGCUUACCGGCACAAACGCGCUCUCGCGCGUGGGCAGCACCUCUACCCCGCUCUCCUCUGACUCCAAGUUUGAGGCGAACGUACCACGAGCCUGGACGGGGUCCUUGUACGCGUAUGCGGCGUUGCUGGCCGCCUGCCCCACCGACCGCGCGGGCUGGGUUACCGCAUGGCCCCAGUUCGUGCUGACCUCCGCGACAUCACCCAGCACGUACAGCCCGCCCCUGCAGCUCUGGCCGGCGCUGCAUACUGGGAAGGUAAGGCGGCUAUCAUUUCGGUUAUGUGUAACCGUCAUGCACUCUCUUCUGUUUGGCCACAACACAAGGGUCACCAUCGGGAGGUCAGGCAACCUGUGCUUUUAGCCGAUCCCAAAUGCAGGCACGGUUUUCAUGCACACACGAUGUGCUUUGGUAGACCGGGCUGUGCCGCAGGGCGGUGCUCUUUGCGUUUUGUACACACAACUUCGUAACCCACGGCAACCCACAGAACUGCGACCGACAUUCAUCUGUGCGCUCACUGUCUCGUUGCAGACGGCGGUGGCCGGCCUGGGCGGUGCGCCCACGUACGACUACAACAUCUCGGACUUUCGAGUUGACAUGCGUGUGGAGGCUGUGGCCGGGCCUGCGUCCGCGCCCGUGCCAAGCGAGGGUUGGGUAAACUUCACUGCGGGCCCGGUGCGGACCACGCUCGUGAAUGGCUGGAUCAGCAGCAGGAACAGCGUCACCGGCGACCGCUAUGACAAGUGAGCGGGUCAACUGUGGCACCAGAUUGCACCGGGGAGGGAGCGUGUGGUCCGCAGCCUCGGUCUUUCACUUCGGGCCAGGCAGGGGAGGCUCGGGCAUUGCGGGCAUGCGGGGACGAGGGCUGCGCGGCCGCCAAUGGCGCUUUGACCACGGGCUAAUCACGCUGCUACCCCCACCCGCAGCCUGGCGAACUACACCUGCAACAUCACGUCGGCACCGCUGGGGCUGGAUGUGCGGGUGAGCACGCACGGCGCGGGGUGUGGGGCGGCGCGUCGAUACUCAUUCCAUGUGCCCAUGCUAGUGCCGGCGGGCCAUGCCGGCUGGCCAACCGGCAUCACUGCACUUGACGUGGCUACCGACAUGCACAUGGGCUCCAAUGUGUCCCUUCGCCACCUCAUCCUACCUCACCAACCCACCCACCACCCACCCGCCGGCCCUACGCAGUCGGAGGGUGGCCGCAACACGCUGUACGUGCAGUUUCCGUCCUUGCCUAUCCUGUUCCAGGCUGUGUCACAAAUUAUUGUGUUCAGCAGCCCCUACAACUCGUUCGCCAACUUGACCAUUGACGGCCGCAUCACCGCCAAGGUGCGCGCGGGAAUGCAACACAAAAGCAUGCCGCUUGUCAAAACAAGAGCAGCAGCAUGAACUGGCAAGCGCCACAUUGCUACACCGCCUCUGUAAGUAUGUUCCCACUCGUGUUGCGGCUGCAGGCGCUGCUGGAUUGCCCCACCUAUUGCGGCGACUAUGGCAGCUGCGUGCCGGGCAGCGGCAGCAGCUCCGUAUGCUCGUGCGACUGCGGCUGGACAGGUGGGCUGCGGGCUGUGGGUACGACUUAAGACGUCACGUGUAUGAGCGCCGCAUGGCGAACGCAUGGAUUUCAGGCCUGUGCGCUGACCAGGCUCUAUUCGCCCUGCUGAACGCAGUCUCGAGCAGCGGCACACAGUGCAUUGUCCCCUGGGGCUUCUGCCCCAAGCCGGGCGCUAAUGCCACCAGCGGGAGCGCGGCGAUCGUGUCUUCGCCCUCGCCCUCGCUCGUAACCAGCCCGUCGCCAGCGCCCACUUGCGUUCCGGCCAACAGCAGCAUCGGCAGUGGCGCGGGCGGCAGCGCCAACCUCCGGUCUGUGUCGCCUGUGAACGGCGCGUGCCCGCUCGGCUUUGACUGGGAUCCCUUCGGCGUCCUGUGCAACUCCUGCCCCGCGGGCUUCAGUGGCAGCGGCUGCGCCACAUGCAAUUCGGACGCGGCGUGCAAGGUGUGUGUGUGUGGGGGGGGGCGGGGGAUGUAAAGGGACAAAGCGCAAAAACCAAGUGUGUGUGUGUUUGAGAUUACGAGCAAGGAGCACUGUGUGGAUGUGUCGCAAUGGUGGGGCAGGUAUGGCACUGCAUCAAGGCCAGACUGUUUCUACUCUGCGCCCCGACGCAUGCAACUACCACAGGCAUUUCGUCCAUGGCGUGAUGCCCGUGAACCGACUUCGUGUUCCCCUGCCGUGAUGCUCUCAAUGCCAGGCCGCCUCCAAUUCCUCCACCGCUACCUGUUCGCUGAGCCCGGUGUACCGGCCACGCACCCUGAGCAAGGUGUACGCUUGCGACAUCCUGGACGCCACGGUCAGCGGCAUCCUGGGCUCCACCAUCGACUUCACGUGCAACACCACCCGCCCGGCGGCAGGUGCGCCCGCAUGCCGUCGCAGGCCGGCCAGGUCGGCACCCUGGCCGGGCAGGCGUGAGGCUCCCUUGCCAUGCCGCUUCGUGCUGCAUGCUCACGCUACCAUUCCUACCAUCGAUGUGUCAUUCCUCGCUCUCCGCAUCCUGGACCGGCCAGGUGCUGGCCCUGUACUCCUUCUGACAUGGAUCUCGGCAUCGCCGCGCACGCAGGCUCCGACAUCUCCGCUGCCACGGCGUCUGUGGAUGCUGGCCGCCUGACCACCGACACGCCUGUGGGCACCACGCCUUCCUGCAGCCUCAGGUUCCGGCUGUCGGGCAUGCCGCGUGAUGCCGCCGUCAUCUGUACCGGCUGGGCCUGCGAGUUCACCGUCAACACCACGCGCGCCUACUGCCCGCUCAUUCGCUGCGAGUGCCCCAAGGGCUGCUCCAACGGUAAGCCCGUCGCAUUGCAUGCAGCCGAGGGCAUUGCAUACGAGUCACAUCCUUCUGGGAGUGGACAUGUUUGCGGUGCGUGUGCCCUGGGCUCGGCCCCGCUUUAAGUGUGGCUGCCUUGCCUUGCAGCCGAGGGCACCAUCACUGAGGCGACGUUCAAGAACCUCAACAGCGCCGUCAGUAUUGCGUGUGGUGCGGACGCGGGGAUGGAGUCCACCUCCUCUCUUGACGGCACGUGAGUGUGGCAAGGCGCUUCGACCCGCGGGCUGUUGCAUCUGCAUCGUCUCUUGCCCUUUGGGAUUGCAUCGUCACCUCAUUUGGUGCGGCUCAUGGCGAUGAUUCCCUCAACACGCCGUGGCACGUCCGUUCCCCUCCCUCACAGUACGGGCUGCAAGCUCGAGCUGACGGGCCUGCCCAUCACAGCCAUCCCCACAAGCUGCAAGACCGCCGAGUGCAUUGACCCGGUCAACGGGGUAAUUACUGUGACGUUAGGUGCGUGAGGCGUCCCGCCGCAAGAAGCUCCUGAUCCAGCAUCCACCGAACGAUCUGGGCUUUGCCUUUCCCAGCUGACGGCCUCCGCUUACGCCACGUGUUUGCCCUGCACCUGCCCUUUUUACUGCACCCUGGCAGAGGCGGAGGAGUCGCAGCCCCCAUUGGCGGUGGCGCCUAUCAUCGCCUGGGUGCCCAGCAUGGUCUUGGCGCUGGUGGCGCUGACUGCAGGGCUCGCGGUCGCCGCCUUCGUACGCGCCUCCGCACCCGCCGGCGUCCAUUUGGCCGCUGGGCCGCAAGCGGCUGGCGCGGCGUCAGCCGGCCCCGUUGCGGAGGGCGCGGAGCAGCAGGCGGCCAGCGCGGACCCCGCAGCCGAGAGCGCCUCGGCGCCGGCGGACGUGGAGGCAGGCAGCUCACAACACCGUAACGGGGUGGACCCCCCCGUGCUGCCGGCAAUGCUGCCAUCGGUCCUACCCGCGCUCAAGACUAGCCCUAGCCAGCAGCAACAGCAACCCCAGCAGCAGCUGCUCCCGGGGCAGCUGGUGACCCCGGCGUGCGGCACGCCCCGGCGAGACGCAGCCGGGUCUGUGUCGGAGUUGCAUGAGCACGCCCCGCACGGCCACAGCCCCGCAGGCGACCAAACGGGCAGCAGCAGCGUGGGUAACAGUGCCAGCAGCAAGCUGACUGGCAGCACUGCCGGCGGCGUGGGCCGCGCGCUGGUGGCGCUGCCGACGGGGGCUGAGUCGAGCGCUAAGGAGACGCGGGCAGUUACGGGUGGAGCUCAAGACGUCAGCAGCGAGCCGGCAUCAACAACGCGGGCGGUCGCGGGCGAUUAUGUACUGGUAAAGGAGCUCAGGUGCGCGCGGCUAUGCAGGCAUGCGUGCCUCUCCUACAGUCAACUUCGUGCUGCCAGAAUGGACGCCUUGCAUGCUGGGCUGGCCCUUUACCUGACACGCAGCCUGACACCCCACCUCAUUAACCACCUGUCCACGCAGCUGGCACGGUUUGACGGUGGCGACGCAGCCGCAACGCUCCUGGCUGCGGCCCUGGCACGUGCGGCCCUCGGUGACGCUUUUGGAGAACGUGUCAGGCCGCGCCGUGGCCGGCGAGGUGCGCACUGCGAGACCCCCAUCGGACCACUUAGUCUAGAACUAUCUUUUUUGAGAAUGUGCAUUCAGGGGCAGCUCAGCCCCAGUAUCGCGGUGGCCUCGUGUGUGUGGUGGUUGACAAGCCACUGGCUGGCGAACCGCCAUGCACCCGGCCCUUCCCUCGGCCGAACCCGCAACCCAACCCUUGCCUCCCCACCUGCUCCUUGCAGGUGCUGGGCAUCCUGGGCCCCAGCGGCAGCGGCAAGACCACGUUGCUGAGCACGCUUGCAGGGCUGGUAGGUCCGGGCCUGCACUGGCGCGUGGGCGGCUGCGUGGCGCUGGACGGGCGGCGCGUGGCGGCGGCGCGGCACCUGGCGGCGCUGGUGGGGCACGUGCCGCAGCACGACCUGUUGGCGCGCUCGCUCACCGUGGCGGAGUGCGUGGCAGCCAGUGCUGUGCUGCGCAUGAGCAGCGGCGAGGUGGCCAUGGGGCGGCGGCACAUGGAGGUGCGGCUGGGUCGCGGGGGGCUGGGGGUCUGCAGGCUUAGUCUGUGGGGUCUGGGGCCGGCACCAACGGGCGGCGGGAACACGCCGGCUGCCGCGUGGUUGUUGCGUCGUACCCAGCGUGCUAGGCUCCAGUGUGAGCUGCCCGUAUUGCUGACUUUCGCGAACCCAUGGCAACACGCGAUUGCAAUACGCAGGCUCGCAUCCAGGAGGUGCUUGCGGAGCUGGGCAUACAGCACCUGGCCACCCGCGUCGUCUGGCACGGCGGAGGCGGCAUGACGCUCACCGGCGGCGGCGGCAGCGGGGGCGGCGGCGGCGGCACGCUGUCCGGCGGCGAGCGGCUGCGCGUGGCCGCCGCGCUGGAGCUGGUGACAGACCCGCCGCUGCUGCUGCUGGAUGAGCCGCUGUCCGGCCUGGACUCAGCGACGGCGCGCGCCACCAUGGCGGUACUGCACGGCGUGGCGGCGGGCGGCGUCGCCGGCGGCGGCGGCAUGGCUGGCGGCGGCGGCAGGUCGCGCGCGCCACGCGUGGUGGUCAUGUCGCUACACCAGCCGUCAGAGGCGCUGUUCGCGGCGCUGGACAGUGUGCUGCUCAUGGCGGCGGGGCGCGUGGCUUACUUUGGGCCGCCGGGCGGCGCGGCGGCGGCGCUGUCGGCGGCCGGCGUGCCGCUGCCGCCGCCGGGUCUGCCGCUGGCGGACCACCUGCUGGACCUGGUGGUGCCGGGCGAGCACCAGAAGCCCUGGGGCCUGGGCGACAGCGAGGUGCGGCGGCGCUUGCAGGAACACUGGGGCUCCAGCGCAGUGGCACAGGGCCUGGCGGCGGCUGCGCCGCCGCCUACGGCGCUGGCGCGCUCCGCGCGCGGCGGCGCCGAUGCUGCCGCGGGCGAGGGUGCGGGCGAGGGUGACUAUGUGCGGCGGCUGCUGCGUGAGCGCGCCGGCGGCAGCGGCUUCGGCGCCAGCGCGCGGCGGUUGUGGCUGGAGCUGGGCGUGCUGACGUGGCGCGCGGGGCUGGACGCGCUGCGCAACCCGUCCAUGCUGCUGCUGCACCUGGUGGUGACUGGCAGCAUUGGGCUGGUGGUGGGCGGCGUGUUCGCGGACACCGACUUGAACGUGUCGGGUGAGUCGCCAGGUGCUCUCCAGUGGAGUGGACUGGAGUAGAGUGGAGUGGAGGAGAACUGCGUCCGGGGAGUGCGCCCUCCGGUUUGGGGGUCAGGGGGCUAAGGUGCUGAGGGCCGAGCUGCGCAUGGCCGGCGGGCAUGCUGCCGCUCGAAACGUCGUGGUAUAACCCUUUUCGUAAUAACGCAGUCGAGUAUAGGACCUGAUCUGAGACCUACGCGUCGGCUCCUGCCUUGCAGGCGCCCAGAACCGUGUGGGCGCCAUCUUCUUCGCGGUGAUGCUGCUGGCGUGCUUCGCCACCAGCGCCGUAGACGGCGUGUUCCCGGAGCGCGCCAUCGUUGACCGGGACCUGCUGCGCCGCUCAUACGGCAUCACGUGAGCAGGGCGUGUGCCGUGUGCUGGGGGGUGGACAAAGUCCGGUAGAGGUAACGGGGAAGACUUCUGAGGUUACCUCGCUGCCAGUUUAUUGCCCCCCGCCUAACUAGUCAUGCCCAUACUGCCCCCCACUGCUGCGCCUCGCCUGCAGGCCGUACCUGGCCUCCCGCCUGGUGCUGGAUGGUGUGCUGCUGCGCGCGCUGCCGGCCUGGUGCUUUGGCCUUCCAUUCUACUUGUGAGUGCUGCGGCAAACAGUGCCAGCCUGUGACGGUGGAGCCGUAAGUAGCCCUAUCGUAUACGGUCAGGCUUUGCAAUGUACAACAACGCGGGGAUAAUGGAAGCACAUACGCUUUCUGCCAUUCUUGUAUACCGCUGCGCUGAGCCGCUGACUGCGUUCUUUCGCACGUGGGUGUUCUUCCGCCUGUCGCUUCUGCAGCCUGAUGGGGCUGCGAGACCAGGCCGCCGCGUUCUUCACCUUCAUGGGCACCUUCGUCACCAUGUCCUGCCUGUCAGGUAGGCGCGGGUGCACCGGCUCCCCUCGCCUGCACCGUCCCAUGUGCUGCGUGUGUCGAACACAGCUAGCAGUCAGUUGCCGGGUCGCAUCAGGAGUCGGGCAUCACCUGUCCCGCCGCACGCGCUACCCAACACCACACGCGCACCGAACCCAGCUCUCACCAUCCCUGCCCUUACCGCCGCACCCGCCGCACACCGCCCUGCCCUCACCGCCCCGCCCCACCCCACCCCUCAACAGGCGCCACUUGCAUCGGCCUGAGCUUCAUGCUGUCGUCGCCCGGAAAGACCGUGCUGGUCAUGAACCUGCUGCUGCUGGUGUGCGCGCUGUUUUCCGGCUUCCUCGCCAACAAGGACAGCAUCGUGCCCUGGCUGCGCUGGCUGGUGUACGUCAGCCCCAUCCGGUGCGUGCCGGCCACAGGCAGAGGCACGGGGCUGUGGUGCUGUGUAUGUUGAGCGGCCCGGGCCAUGUGUGGGGCGCUAGAGGGGGGUGGGAGGGAUGUGCACACUCGGCAGGGCACCGUCGGUUCACGUGCGCACGUUAUCAGCCCUCGGGCGUUCAUGCGGGCAACGUAAGGCGUGGCGGCAUAACCCGCUUUCAUCCGAGCUCCCUCGACGCUGCUCCAUCCUGAUAUGUCCGCUAACCUGGCCCUGCCCAACCCCUGCCACUUCUUCCCCCCCUCCUGCAGCUUCUCGUGGGAGGCUCUGGUCAUCAACGAGCUGUCGCCGCUGGUGCUCAACUUCUCCUCGCCGGACCUGCCUCAGGGCCUGCCCGCCGUCAAGGGCACGCUGUUCUUGUCGCUGUUGGGUGUGAACAGCGACAUGCUCAACACCGACCUCAUAGUGCUGGGCUGCAUCUACGCCAUCAUUGUGCUCAUCGCCUUUGCAGCGGCGGGCCUGCGCCUGGUGAACCUGCGCGGCAGCUGGAAAUGAACCCAACUCAAGUCCUGAAGCGGGCAUAGGCAACAUAUCUAGAAGAUUGCGUUUUGGGGUUUUAAAGGGCGCAGGGGGUUGCUAGCUAGUCUCAAUAUAGCUAGUCGCUAUCCCAAUUUAUGUUCAAGCCGUUGCACCAUGCGGGUGGUACCCUUCACUCUCCCCGAGCCAUUUCUUUCACAGUCGUAUGUCCGGUCUUCAGGUGCGAGCUGGGAUUGCCCCCUCGUGCCGGGGUGACUUACUUUCGUGGGUUAGUCCUGUGCCAUGCGGCGUAGUGGGCUGGAUUCCCAGUUGCCGAAGUACUAUUUGCAUAGGGUACUGCUCCGGGUGCAUUUGCAGGCUGGGUUGCACAUGUGCGAAGGGGAUGCGGCCACCCAAUGUCAAGCAGUGCGGUGCAAAUUGCACCUGAACAGUACCCGAAUGUGUGAUUGGAACCUUGGCGAAACAAACCGAGUCUGCAUGCAUGGGGGUGUUGGGCAAGUGUUGGGGUGUCUGCUGCCGACAGCGGCAUUGGAGUGAGGGAUUAGGCGUUGCCUGAUGAUGACACGUUUAAUGCGUGAGUGUGUCGUCGGUGCACCUGGUCUAUUGAGGGGGACAGGAAGGUUUGUGUUAACUCACAUAUCUUGUCCUGCUUGUGAAAGUAAGGAGGGUGCGGAACCUUUACUCCUGCCUUAGUAUCACCUGUCCGGGGCUGAACGGUGCUGUACGCGCUCGCCAGGUUGAAGCCAUGUUCGGGGCAAGAAUGUGUCAUCGGUGUCGCAGUGUUAGUCUUAAAAGCAUUCUCGAUAAUGGGUGCACCUGGUCAUUCAGAAGGAUGGGAACCAGGGGAGGGUUGUUUUCGCGCACUGUGGGCUUGAUUGUGAGCCAGAAACCGAAACCAACGUGGCGACGGACUUGAAGCUCUGCAGGGAGGGGGUACACAAGGCAGCAGUGCUGCAGAAGGGGCCCUUUUGUCCACUUAAUCCAUUGCUUUAUCCUGACCACCAAGGGUUGGGCAGGGGGCUGAAGGCGGGGAAAGGGCGCUGACGGGGGGGGCUGACACAGGCGGGCGGGGACUGGCGGGGAAAUGGGGCCGCAGUGUGUCUCCAUCCCGCUUUUAUUGACGAGUGUUGCGUAACUAAUGCGGGCGCGGCAUAGGGGCGCGGCAUAGGGGCGCGGCAUAUCUACACCGAAAACGACCUGCCAUGCGCGCUACACCUACACAGUGCCAACGGAGCCACGUAUAAGUCCAUGAAGUGCUGUUGAAAGUGUCAGGCACUUGAUCCUCAUUUGAGUCUCCGAGUUCUGUGAGCCAGUCAUUACCAAAUCAAGGACGCCAUGACUUUCUAGCUGCCGCACCGCCGUGUCAGCGCGCUGCACUUCCUAGCCACCAGGACGUGCAGGCGGCACGCAACAUGCUGUGGCUGAUGCAGCAUCAGUACUACGGUUCACCCCGGCCGCAGUACCUGUGCCGCCAGCCCGGCCGGCAGCCGGCGGCAGGUGGCGGUGGUCAGGGGAGGGUGGCGGUGGUGCUGGCGGUGGUACUUCCCCGUCGGCGGCUGAGGUUUGCUCAGGCAGAUGGUUCCAAUCCCUGCCACCCAAACCCAAUCCCUGAAAGCCUGGUUCCCAUCCCUACCGCCCCUAACCCAAUCCGUUAGUGGGGGUCCAGUCUGUGCACUUUCCGGUGCAGACGCGGGUAUUUGUCUGGCUUUCAGAUACAGCUACGGUAUACCGGUAUGCUGAUGGUUACGCCGUCGCGGGUGAUCGUCAAGCGCCUAGCAAGAAAAUUGGUUGUCUGCCGCUGUGCCACAAGCAGAUGCCGUUCUGCUGCUUUGCUGCUUGUCCCUGUGCCACCCAAAGGGUCCCCCCACCCCAUCCAACAAAAACAGAUCCUUCAAACAGGGCAGCUUCAGACGGGGCUCCGAAGGCAUCCACAGCCCCCAUCGCCCCGUACUGUGCCACCGCACGGCCAGCGCCGGUUAGUUCAGUGUCUCUCCAACCAUAGGAGAAGCACCUCCCUUGUCCGCGCCGACCGCCAGCACACGCUCACCACCGUAUCCACAACGGCAGUGCACCGUGCCUGGCUUCUCGUCCACGCCUCGGCACUCGGACAUGCCACAACCAUAGUGGCCCACCGCGAGUCCUCGGCCUGAUUCCCCCGAACGUCACGUCAUCGUACAGAGGCGAGCCGCAUCCACAGUGGCAUCACCCCCGCACCCAUCCGUGCAAGUCCCUCCACGCCACAGCGCGGAUGCGCACCACAUCCACAGUGGUAACGCAUCGCCCGGGCCACAUCAUUACCACACCGCAGCACCCGGCUGUCGUCAUAUCCAUAAUGACGAGCCGAGAGCGCCGGUCCAACAAACUCUUGUACACCGGGGAGCAGCGCCGUGGCACACCAUAUCCACAAUGAUAUGCCAUUGCAGACUGUCCCGCCCACGCGCCGCCAACACGUACCAUAUCCAUGAAUGGAUUCGUGCUGAAGGCGCGAGCAAGCUAAUGAAAAAAUGAAAUCAAUUGGAGCCAUGCCCGCUGCUGGCUGCUGGCGCUGUUUAUAUACCAAUCACGUAUAAAUCACAGCUUAGUACAUGUUUGUCGCUAGUCCAGGUUUGAUGUUUUAAUCCCUAGUCCCUACAUCUGCUCUCGCAUGGUGGCCAGUUCCAAGACCGUUCCAUCGCUUAGUUCGCAUGCAUAGUCUCUCACCAAAGUUAAAUCAGCAACCUCGUCACUCGAACGCUGUACAGCGUGUGCACACCCGGUCGCAAGACAGCAACCCUGGGCGCGCAAGCACACAUCACGCCAGUAAAGGACUCGAACACAUGAAGACAACCAACCCACCGCCAUCGAAUCCACACCGAUGGAAGCGUGUUGGGUACUAAUGCAACAACAAGCUGCCGUUGAAUCCACAUCAACGACAGCUUGCUCGUACAAACUGCAAAAUAUAAGGGAAGAUACCAUUGAAUCCACAUCAAUGGCAGCUUACCAUGAACGCGCCGCACAACAACAUUAUAACCUGCCUAUCUAUCGCAUCGUGAUUUGUAGUAUGCAGUGCUAGUCAUGGCUUCUGCUGCUGUUCUUCCGUCGUGCUUAGGCUGCCGCCCGCGCCAGCGCUUGCUGCGCCUGCAACGCGGCCAGGAAAGCCUGCAGCUGCACCGCCGGCUGUAUCGCAGGGGCAGCUGGGCGCGGCGCCGCUGCCGCGGGUGCGACGGCAGCCGCUGCACCCUGGCGCGCCGCGGAUAUAAGGCUGGCAAGUGCCGCAAUACCGGCUGCUGAGGCUGCUGCCUGCCCGGUCGCCAUUGCGGCGGGCGCGGCACAGCUAUUGAUGUGCUGCUCCACGGCGUGCAGCAGCGCCACCCAGUCGGGGAUGAAUGGGUAAGCCGCGCUUGUUAGCUUCGCCACCUGGAGCGGCGUGAGCACGCUGCGGUCACAGAAAACAGCGAGAAGGACAAAGUUAGAAAGCAGACACAGGAAAAAACGAAGCCGCACCCGGCCAAUCACCUUCACAUCGACAAGCGUGCCGCAUACAACAAAGAUUCUGCGGUAAUCGCCUAAACGACAGGGGGGCCACAUACAACAAAGAAUUGCAGUGGUACAACGACAUACCUAGUGCGCACGUAGUCUGACAGGUCGCGGCAGGCCGCGUGCUCCUUCUCAACCGUGCGCGCCAGCUGCUGCACCAGCUCGUCCUGCCCAGCACAUGCUGCGACGCCCGGUUGCGGUGUCGCUCGCAGCGCCAGCUGUGCGGCGACUUGCCCACGCUGCUGCACCAGCGACGCCACGUUAUCGUGGUGGUACGCUGACAGCACGGCGAGCUCCGACACCUGCUGCUGGCUGAGCUGGAGCGAGCGGGCGCACGUCAGCCAGAAGCUCUCGUUGGGGCGCUCGGGCAGGCCGGACUCGACGCUCGUGUACCUGUAAAAAACGAGAGACACGCAGAACCUCAGAAUCUGCCCAAUGCUGCAUACAACGGCUGACGAAAUGUCAUGUCGACUUUGAGCAGCAACUCUACCGGCCUCGUAUAUGCCCAGAAAUCCUGCGCAGCCCUUCCUCCAUGCACUCACAUGCUGUCCAGCAGGCUUGACGGCGCCAGCAGAGCCAGCUUGUCCAUGAAGCAGCCAAGCCGCUGUACGUAGUUCUCCAACCGCACUGCGGGCACGCUGCCGGGCCCGUGCACCUCGGCGCCAGUCACUAGCACGCCCAGCUGCAUGCAGACAUGCCGCCACAGGCCACGAAACUGGUCCGGGGUUGCGUGCCGCAGCUCCUCCACGGUGGCGGCGGUGAGCGGGGCGGCCUCGCAGUCAAUGCCGGGGCACAGCGCCAGCAGGGAAGCGGCGUGAUUCUGGUGCUGCACGCCGCACGGAGCAGUGCCGCAGGAAGGACGCGGCGAGCACUGGCGCGCCAGUCCUCGCCCAAAGCCGAGGCCAGCACCGCAAGUUGACACGGAGCUGAACGCGGCGAGGCCCAUGAAGACGUCAGUGUCGCGGCCGUUGCAGGCCGCGGCGUGCCGGUUGCCGCUGCGGGCGCUCUCGUCGACUGAGCAGGCUGUAGAGGCGCAAGGCCCGCCGGACGACGUUGCCACCUGCUCCUGACGCGCCUCAUCGGCAGCCGGUGCGGCGCCCGGCCAGGAGCCUCCGCUCUCGCCCGAGGGGGUGGGUGACAGCGGCGCGUACACAGGCCGAUCGUGUGCAGCAUCCGCAGCGGCUGGCGCCGAAACCGUCGGCUGCAUGGUUGCCGUGAGCUUGUUAACGGCCUCCUCGCGCAGCGGCACCACGCGCUCCAGCACCUGUGAAAUGUUGCAAGGAGCGGGGGAGUCAAGGGUCACCACUGCUGCGGCCGCUGUAUACGAGGACCAGGAGGAGUGGGUAACUUCAAGCAAUUGUCGUCUUUACUUCUCUUUCCAAACUGAGGAGCGACGAGGCACCCGUCAGAAUCACCACAAGUUGCGCGCCGCAUUCGCUCACCUUAAGCUUGUUUUUGAGGAAGGCAUUCUCCGACGUCAGGUUGCGGUGCUGCUGUGUUAGCUCGUCAAGCUUCUGCUGCAGGUCGGGCAGCCGCGGGAAGGGCUUCCGGCCGCGCUUUCCAGGCCGAGAGGGCUGUUGAGAAGCAAUUGCCGCCAGCGCUUGAGACAGCGAGCCCGUGGACUGUCCCGUCGACGGCGAAGGCUCCGCGGCCUGCUGUUGGCCGGGCACCGCGGCGAGCUGCGAACACUGCUGCUGUUGCGCGGCGAUCGCCUGGAUUAGUGUCAAAGCGGCCUGAGAAGCCGUCGCUUGCUGCUCUGCCUGAAUCGCUAGACUGUUGGCUACAUGUGUGGUAGUUGGUGAGGGUGGCGUGGGGCUGCAGGUGGCAGUCGGGGAGGAGUCGGCUGAAGCCGAAUCAGUUUCCCUCGCGGCGCAGUCAAAGCUGCUGUGGCUGUGGCUGGGGCUCCAGUCGUCCAGGCCCUGCAGGCCCUGGUCUCCCUCCAGCACCUGGCAUGCCCAGUCGCAGAGGAAGUCGUCUGCGAGGUCCGUCAUGAUCGCAGAAUUUGUGGUUGCUGCGCCAAUUUCGAUGAUACUGAAACUGACUGCGCGCUUCUGACUGCCACCUGCUGAGCCCUCACUGUUUAGUCUACGAAUAGUGCAGUGUUGUGCGCGUUUGCCAGAACAAGUAUGCGGCCCCCAUCGCGAGGCAGUACGGCACCAAUUAUGUUUUAUUUCGCCUUCACCUUUUCGCCCAAUGUGCUCUGCCAGUGCAGAAAGCUGUGGUGGCUCUUCACGGCUGGAGCGCGAAAGCUGCAGAGUUCAGGGCCGGCUGUCUGCAGGAAUGGCGCUGGCGCCCUUCCAGAGACUUGCGAACGGCGCUGCUACCCAUGAUGUAACUGUGCCAUCAAGCAAAUGGCUAGCCGGAGGCGGACAUGGAAGGAACCGGAGGGGGGAUGUUGGCAGGCUGGGAUGGUGUGAUUAGGAUGGAAAGCGCAGGGCCACAAGCGCCCUGAGAAGCGCAGGGGGUGCCUAUGUCUGCGCAAUAAGAUUUACUCCCGGUUAGGUGCACAGAUCCAGGCAACGCGCAUGCGAAGGCGCCAAGAACGAUUGGGGGCGCGGGUCAGGUUAGGGGUGGUCUCGCCCCUUCAGUCUGCCGCGGCAUCAAUGUUCCCGCUAGUGCCUGCCUCACUGUGCACCCACUUUACAAAUGUAAGAUACCAUGGCUCUCCGCCAAGCCAUCGAGAUGCCGCAUAGCUAGCUGCUGGACACUUGAAGGGGCCAUGCCCGGCCCAAGGGUCUGCAUUACAACGUACUCUGGUCACCCUGCGCUUUUCGUUUCCUUGAAGCAUUGUCGAUAAGUAACAGCCCCCUCUCUGCUCCAACCCACAAAUGUCUUCAGCCGCACCACCUGCGACGUCUGAGGCGGUCGGUGAAGCCAAACACGCGCCUGUGGUUGGGCCAGUGUUCGCUGUGCUCAUCGUCGCGGUAGCGCUGCUGUUGAGCUGCCUGGCCAACGACUCGUGCCCAGUGCUGGGCGACCGCGUCGCGCGCCGGUUCCGUUCACUGGGCCGCUGGCUGUCGCGCUACUGCUGCUGUUGCCGCUGCGGAGCUCGGCGUGGCUCUGGCGCGGCGCACUCGCCUUCCCACUCAACCUUCUUCGCCAGCAAUACCCGCUGGGUCCCCAUUGUGACGGCAGCGGCGGCAGCGGGGAAAGCCACCAAACCUGCGGCAGGCGCAGAAGCACCCCUGCCAACGCCAGCGCCAUUCUCACAGCCACUGCCAUCAUCGUCACAGCCGGUGUCCGGAGCGGCGCCGGUCUAUGAGCAUGGCCAUGUGACGCAGCUGAGGUGGGCGGUGCAGCUGCCAGCGGAGGACGAGGAUGCUCAGGGCGGCGGGGGAAAGCUGCCUCACCACGCCGCCUUCUUCAGCAGCCUGCGCGAACCUCCAGGAGCAGGUGCGGGCGCAGCGGUGCACGGGUCGGUGGCAGCAGCUGGAGGCAGCCUUGCCGGCCCUGGCAGCGAGGUAGUGGGCGGCUCAUCCUCCGCGGACGCCGGCAGCCCCGAAGCACACGGCACUGGCGGCUCCAGCCCGCCCGCCAGCAGCUUCACCGGGGCGGGGGGACCCAGCAGCCGCUCCAGUGCAGCCCCACGCUCUGCUGUAGCGCAAAGCUCCCCCUCUCAGCUGGUGGAUGGCAGGAUAUCAGCCGACGACGAAAUGCACGUGCUACAACCGCCCUCGCGCGUCGAUAGGGCAUGGCCAUCAGAGCCAUCCGAGCCGCCGCGGCGGUCGCCGUCGCCAGAGUACGUUUCCGCACGGACCCACUUCUCGACUACCACUCAAAGCCACAGCCGGUGCGGAAGCAGCAACAGCGACAACGCUGGACAGGCGACGCGCGCGGCAGCCCAGUCAGCGGCGGACGGUGGUGGCAGCAGCGCCCCUGCCGGCGGUUCUGGUGCUCCAGCUGCUGCUGCGCUCGCGCCGGCGGGACCUGAGGGUUCACAGCAUAACGCCGCGGUACAGAAGGCACCAUCCUCCAACCAGGGCACAUCCACGCAGCCGCAGCCGCGGCCGUCACCGCAGCCAGUCCCGACAUCUGCAGCCGCGCCGGUGCUGGGCGGGGGGGCCUACGCAGUACGGCCUCGGGAGUUCUGGGCGUUUGAUGUCCUGGACCCAGCCCACCUGGUAGGACUGGCCGCAACAGCAGAUUGGGUGCAGCGGGCGGGCUUGGGCUGCUUUGUAUUGAAGCAGCCGCAAAUGUCAGGCGCCUGCUCCCGGGAGCAGUCAGGAGUACGACGUCCCCAUCGCUUCGCUUCCUCUCUAAACCGGUGCACCUGACCCCGACACAGUCGCUCGCGUCCACCCUCCUUGGCCCCGGCCCCUGACCACUGAACCCUCACGCGCCUCGCUGCCUUCCCGCGUACAGGUGAGCAGCUUCUGGGUGCGGCCCUCCAUGCUGCUGGCGCUGCACGUGCUCACCGCGCUGUACCUGACGGCGGUGCUGCUGCUGGAGCGGUUUGAAGGUGGGGCGGCGUAGCAGUAGGCGUGGCUGCAGCAGCCCGUGCGCUUCGCCGCAAAUUGAACCUUGAUUGGUAUCUAGCAUUCUGCUGAUCCGACAGACCGCGUCACAAUGCCGCCUAGGUUCUCGGGUGUCUGGAUGCGGCUAAGCAGCGAUGCAAGUCCGUCCUCAGUCCUGCACCUCCUCCCCCACCUGACCGUCCUUGCUGUCGCUGUUGCAGAGUCAAACCUGGGCCCCUGGUGGGUCACCUUUUUCACGGACUGGGCCAUCGCCGUGUUCGGCUUCUCCGCUGCCCUGGCCGCGGUCAACACCGCGCGCUGCCUGCCGCUCCUUGCGGCUUCAGCGCCGCGCCCCGACAACUCCCCCUCGCGCACCAACUGGGGCUCCUCCCUUGCCUCAAAGGGAGCUUUCCCGCACGGGCACACGCAGCAGGGCGGUGGAGCGACGGAGGAAGCGGCGGACAUUGAGCAAGGCAGGCGUACAGGCCACGGCCUCAGGCGCAACCCCAGCAGCUCUAGCGGCAGGAGCGGCGGCAGCAGCGGCACGCGGCCGCGAGGACCGCUGGGGGCUGCGGUGCAUGCGCUCAGCCGCGCCGCCGCUAUGGCUGUGGCAGCGACUGCGACCGGUGUGGCCGCCGCCACUGCGCACGGCAAGCCUAGCCGCAGCACGCACAGCGACACCGCGCCCGACCAGCACCAGCAGCAAAUGCGGCGCCAACCAGCCCCAAGCACGAGCGAGGCUGCUGAGCAUACCUCCUCUGCUGGCCUCACACCAGGCGGCGACGACCUGCAGGCUACCGACCAGCACUGCAAGGGCCACGGCGACGGCGCCAGCCGUGCCGCACGCAACAGCAGCCCACAGCGCCGCCGCGCUGAGGGAGGCAGCGCUGAGCCAGCAGAGAGCCCCCACGACCGCUCGUCAUCAGAGCAGGCGCACCCGCAUGCCGCAAUCCUUGAGCGCCUGGCCCGCGCUGCGCCGGUGGGCCCUCUUGCUGCGGCCGCCACGGCCGUCCAACAAAGUGCUGUCGGCGGCGAGGGUGCGAUGGGGCGCGGCGGCGGCGGCGGUGGCAGUGGCGGCCAGCAGGAUUGGCGCGCCGCGUUCCAGCCGCUCGGCUCACACGUGGCUGCGGGCGCCGGCCUCACAGAGCUGCCUCGCAGCAGGUUCAACAGCGCUGGCAGCGCUGACAGCGCCGGCGGCGCCCCGGGCAUGAGCGGGGCGGGUCCAGGGCCGGAGCAACGGCCGCAGGCGGAGGCACGGGCAGGGGCAGGGGCAGGGGCAGACACAAUGGUGGCUGCAGACAGCGCGGAGGCAAACGAAGAGGAGCGCGACGGCGGCAGUGUUGGACACACUGCCCCACAGGAAGGUGGGGCGAAGCCCAGCGCGCGCGCGGCUUCAGGGGUACCGCCAACAACAGGUGCUGCUGAGGCCCAAGACGAGCCCACGGUGCCACGCCUGCAGGUGCGUGAGCGCGGCCCUGGUCUGUGCAUAGCUCUACGGCCACAGGCCCUAUUGAUAGUUCGUAGUCCGUGGUUCCUUUCACUGCGCAUGGUACACACGGUGCUGCAACACCACCGUUCAUGCGCAGGGCAAAUCCCGGGAACAAGCAACCGCGCACACACACCUGUGCUUUCUCCACAGAAUUGCUCCACCAGCAUCGUGUCAAACAUAUGCCACCUCACACACACACACACACUCUCUCUCUCUCUCUCUCUCUCUCUGAUGUGCACCGCCAUCGCUGCUGCUUCCGCAGUGGGACGCGCUGAGCGUGGCGCACUGCUUGGGGCUGGAGGUGUCGGUGGUGACCGCCCUGUUCGUCACCAUCGUGUACUGGGUGAGUCACAGCUCGCGACGGGGGGGGGGGCCGUCUUCCUCCCCUCGUGCUCUUUUGCACACAGCCAGGCCGACAACGGCAGGGCGGCUAGGAUGCAGCUGGGGUGGCUCAUGAACGCAUAUGGCCAAACAGUUCGUGGGUCGUGACUUUAAGGGAAUGACGCAGCUCGCCAAACACGUUGUGCUGUUUGCCAAUGUUGACGUAUACCUGACCGUGCCUGGGCCGCGCCCUCCGCAGGUGGGGCUGGUGGGGCUGGCGGGCGAGUCCUUCAACGCCCGCUCGGCGCCCAACUACAUGAAGCACGCCGCCAACUCCGGCAUGGCGCUGAUGCACGUGAUGUUGACCCGCCUGCCGCUGGUGUCGGUGCACUUCACCGUGAGCCGCCUGCGUGUGCGCGUGCCAGGGUCGCGUGGCCAGGGUGUGUUGCGCGAGUGCGCCAGUGUUUCUUGCGACAUGCCGCGCCGCAAGAUUUCGAGGAGGCCCAACGCCAAGGGUUCAGUCAGCCACCAUGCAUGCUGAAAGCCUGGUAGCGUGGUCGCCCACCGGCUGGCCUUUUCCAUCGCCCCACCUGGCCCCCACGACCCCCCACUCCCUCAGGCCUUCCUGCUGUUCCUGGCUUCCUACUGCGUGUUCCUGUGGAUCUACGGCGAGGUGUCGGGCGUGUGGCGCUACGGCCUCAACUGGACCACCCCGCGCGGCGUGGCGGGCGAGGUGGUGCUGGUGGUGCUGGCGCUGCUGGUGUUCCUGUGCUGGUGAGUGAGAGUGGGUGAGAGAGAGCAGGCCGGGCGGGUGUCAGUCCCCGGGUGGCUUACCCACUGGAUGGCCGCGCGCAAACUCGCGGUCGGGGCCCGGGGGUUGCUGGUUGAGGUGGUCGGUCGGCAAUGCCGGCGGAGAGCAACUGAGCAAGAAAGGGAAGGACGCGGUGCCCGGUAUGACCGCCACGACCGCAUUAUGCCCAUGAGCCCAAUCCAUGUCGGCAUCCCAUUCCUCAAACCCUGCGGUCGCACACAGGUAUGGCAUGGCACGCUUGCGGGAGCACCGUGGGCGGCUUCGGGUCAUCCGAGUGGGGGACUUCGCGUUCGUAGACACGGCGGACGUGCUCGCUGCGGGAGGUGGUACUGCAGGAGCAGGCGGAGCAGGCGGUGACGCGGGUGGAGCAGCGCGCCGGGGUGGAGGCAGGGAUGGCGCGAGGCGCUUGUCUAGCUAGAGGUACAAUGGGCAUUCAUAGAAGCGCCUGAACAGGUCAUCGCGUGUUGUGCGGAUCGUGUUGCAUCGGUGGGGUAGCACUGUAGAUGAACGGCUGGCUUGGGUCGACGUGUGCGCGCAUGCCACAUGAAUGAUAUUUAUAAAGGGAGCGAGGCAGUAUAAGCGCUUUGUGUUGGCGUCUGUGCGUGCAUAGCAUUUUCUGGUGUGACGGGGGAGGAAGGUUUGGAGGGGGUUGGGGGUUGGGUUGGGGGUUGGGGGGGGGGGGGUUGGGGGUUGGGGGGGGGGGGGGGGGAGGGGGGUCNNNNNNNNNNNNNNNNNNNNNNNNNNNNNNNNNNNNNNNNNNNNNNNNNNNNNNNNNNNNNNNNNNNNNNNNNNNNNNNNNNNNNNNNNNNNNNNNNNNNGGGGGGGGGGGGAGGGGGGUCGAGGGUGCAGGCGGUGGCCGCAGGCGUGCCAAGGGGGCGUGCACCCGCUUCACUGUUUAGUUAUGUUGUAAAACUUCAAGUUUAUUGCAUACUUACAGCAGUGCAGCCGGGGCUUUCGUCGCUGGGGCAAAGCUUGCUUGCCGAUUGCGGUUCCAUCGUCGCUGCCCAGGAGAAUAGGCUGAAGCUCUUCAACCUCUUUCAUUCAUAGUGCUUAACGUUUGCUACACACAAUCUUAAAGUCACAGAGGCUAACAAAAUGGCCUCUAUGCUUAUGUCCCGUGUGGCCGCUGCCCCCGUCAAGGCGGUGGCUUGCAUGCGUAGCGCUAUGACCACCCGUGCUAUCGCUCCUAUUACGGCGCGCCCGGCGACCAGCUCCUUCAUGGGCGGUGAGCUUUCCGCAGCGCCGCAUUUGUCUGGCCACUGGCCCCGCCCGCGCCUCUGGAACUGGGUGUCUCCAGUUCCAGAAGAGCACAGCCUGUUUAACUUGUGCCACAGAAGUCGUUGCGAGGCGGUGGCAACCUGGCGCUGAGCCUCGCUCGAUUGUGGUGGUGCGCAGGCUCUUUCGCUGGCAGCAGCAUGACGCGCGUGGCUCCCGCUCGCGGUGGCCUGGUCGUGAUGGCCAACGCCAAGAAGUCGAUUGCUUGCACGAAGGAGGGCACCAACAGGUGUGGCCGCGUGUGGUCGGCAAGUUUGGCCUCGCUGGGCCGCACCGCUUGGGCAGUGCGAAAUAGCAGUGCAAUUCAGAAAAUAUAUGCAUUUUCCUGGUGGAAUUUCGCGUUGCCACCGGGACCCAAACCCACUGACACCCCCGUGCAGUCGCUGGUGCAGUCUGGAGAACAUACGCAGCUGCAACAGGCCAGGCUCUACGCUUGUACUGCCCACAAGUGGUCGAUUUCACUCGACGGCUCUUCUCUUGCCCACGCACGCCACAGGAAGCGCCGGCGGACCUCGGGCUUCAAGGCCCGCAUGGCCACCAAGAACGGCCGCAAAGUGAUCAAGGCCCGCCGUGCUAAGGGCCGCCACAGCCUGUGCCCUGCCUCGGAGGGCAAGUCCGGCGGCAAGAAGUAAACAUCUGGCGAUAGCGGCGUGCUCGUCACAAUGUUUAGAGUUGGCAGAGGAGGCGGGAGCUUGGGAGACAGGCGUGGCAGGGGAGCUGUGGGCGCUCCAAGCGGCGGCAGCGCGGCCGCACGGCGGCAGCAUCAGUAGCAGCAGCGCGGAGCGUGGAGGGCACUCCCGGCAGCGGCAAUUUUGUCUAUAGCUACUGCCGGAUUUUGCCGUCCUCGAUUACGCACGCGCGCGGGCUUGGGGCUGCGCGUGCAGCUGGCGGGUGGCUGCGCCGCAUGGUGGUUGGAGCAACGCGUUAUGCGCGAGGAGGGCUAGCGUAGGUUGCGUAUCUAUUUAAGCGCGCACCAUGGACUUAAUGCGCCGUGUGCUGUAAUGCGACAGGAGCGGGUGGAUGGGUAUCGCAGGGUCAUGUUUGGUUAUGUGCAACGGGUGCUGCCGGUCACUGCACCCGCGGAGCUGAUGGCGGGCGCUAGAGCCGGCAAGCAGCUGGAACAAGAAUUGUGUGUGGCAUUUGUGGUGUCGAUUGGACCGAGGCUUGUAACUGAGCCAAAACAGUACAAGGCUGCUGAUGCUGUCAGCUGAGGACCCCGAGCUGCCAGCGUGCGUACAGAAUCAUACUCCAAUGCGCGAGCGCGACACACCAUGCCUAAGGUUGACAGCCUUCGCCAGGGGAGGUCCUGCCCUGGCCUUUGCUGGACUACAAUGCCUAUAUGUCACCAAUCCGCGUUGGAUGCUUGUGGCGCACGUGCCAUUGCUUGCGCGCUGGUGAAUCAUCUGAAGCAGCCUAACGGAGGGCAACUCCUCUUGCUCGAUAACAUUGCGUGUCUGGGAGUUGCCAGGAAUGUCAGCUCGGAUGGAGAGGGGGCUCCCCAGUCCAAAAGUAACCGGCCUUUAAUCGAAGGGAACCGUGGAGAACAAGAGGAUUCGGGGUUGCGUGCGUGUGCAUUGCCUGGGUGUCCCCAGGUGCCUUGGCGGCCCGAAGGGCGCAUCCCCAUACUAAGUGCACCAUGGGUCUAUGACGGCAUGACCACCAUGACCAGCACUCCAGCAGCAUGCGCGGCGGCUAGGCCGUUAAGAUGCACGGCAAGCCGCACACAUGCCCACGACAGCUUUAAGCUCAGCAGCCGUAUGAGGCAAUUUACAAAAAAAGCUGACGGAAGCAUGUGACGGGCGAUCCGGCGACCGGGUGAACUGAGCGCGCAUUGCCAGCCCAGGAGUGCCGAGAGCCAUGGCUUAACGGCCUUGACCUUGGAUGCAGGGGAGGAUCCCACGAAAGAAUCCCUGAUUGGAUGUGUUCACUCAGCGGCCCCUCACGUACCGGCAAGGGCAUGGGGUGACGCGUGGUACAGCCGUACAGGGCAUUACACUUGCUCUCUCGAGACAUCUGCAUACCGUACUUCUUGUUUGAAACACCAAAAGCCCUUGCUCCAGCAAAUCCAAAGCCCGCCCAGCCAUCGGCGCUCAAUCGCUCAUGUUCCCUGGCAGCCCGCACCAGGCUACCGACUGAGUAGCCUUCCUGCACACCAGCAAAGCAAGCAAUGCCGGGUGACCCAGGUUCACCGACGCCGGUGUCACGCCACGGUGUCACGCCCAUCCGCCGGCUUUGCACGGCACCGCCGCCAUCGGUCACACCGAGUCACACCGGUCACACCGAGCACCACAACGCCACAAACAGGCAGCAAAAGGCAUUCGACUACUUCGACGCCGUGCCCCCGGGGAAGUAAGGGCUCUGACUACUAUUCACACAGUCAACGGCUUGCCAGUACCGUACCAGCACUCGUCCCCUGGCAGGCACAGAGUCCAGGCGCUUGUUCGAGGUUCCACGGCAGCCCAUGCGCAAUCAACUUGCUUGUACACAUGCUGACACACUGACACACACUGCAACACACACACACACACACACACACACACACACACACACACACACACACACACACACACACACACACACACACGCACGCACACACGCACACACACACACACACACACACACACAUGCACACCCGGCACUGGCUGUGCAUACCAGCCACGCCUCCACUCGUCUCGCACAUCCAACCAUUCCUGACCACGUCAAAGCAACCAAGCAAACCCCACUACGUAUGAUUAUGGCAGCAUCAAGCACGAGCCAAGUCCCUUGCAGCCCUAACUGCGAGGCACAUCAAUGCAUUAGAAGUGCAGACAAUGAAACAGUCAGGCGCAGCUUUUCACUUCACCACCAGUGCUGAUGUGUCUUGCAGACCACAACUGUGCAUGCCGACAACACAGCAUACGCGUGCAUAUGUUUAUUGUAAAUCGCAAUACCUUUCUCGCCAGUGAACCAGACGUUGGCUGGCACGUUCAGCCUCGCACACCGCCACAGACAGCAAUUUACCACGCAACGCAAUGCCCCAUGUCCAAUCGGUGCAUUGCAUUGUCUGCUCCGAUGAAAGCGUGACACAGGCUCUCCUUGCGCCGCCUGGCUGUUGCUGUGCCACACGUGAGCUUGCCCAUUGCUGCCGGGCAUUAUUGCUCGAGGAACUCAAGCCAACAGCCAGCUUGAUUUUGCGCAGACUAUGCAUGCAUAGAAAGUGAAGAAGCGACGCCCCCUUCAUGCGUGCCACCAACUGACCCACAGUAGAGGGCAGUACACGCAACAUGUUAUCACACCACAUACGUUCUGACGGACGUCCUAGGCGAGCAGCCCUUCACAUCAGAUACAGCAGCAGAUAUCAGCACUGACGGCAUUGCUUUGUAAUGUGCCAACAUGAAUAUCCUGAUGAAUACACCGGUAUUUCACCGCAAGCAACUUGGGUGUCGCCGGCAGAUUCUUUGUUAUGCUCCACUGCCGCCAUCCGGAUAUCCAUUCAUGUCCAAUCAACCAUCCGCCAACGUUUCCUCAGUAGGGCACCCACGGCUAGCUGGACGCGUCAGCUCGUGCCAACAAUGCUUCAGUGCAUAGAUGGCGCGGUCCAUCUCAGCUUCAAGCCGCAUCCUUUAGAAGUCUCGCCUGCUGCCAUAUUUCAUUCCCGGCACACCAGCAAGAGGCAAGCCUCCAAGAUUGGCUCAAUCUGCCCUGCCCAGCUUCCUUACUUCACCCACUUCAGAAUGAAAGGGUCAUUGUGGUACUGACGUAGUGCCCCAAGUCUCAGCCCCGUCGUUGAACAUGUCCAUGCCGGGCAUUCACAAUCAUCGCAACACACUGUAGUGGUAUGAGUAGCCCAAUAGAUACCCGCGGCUGCAGGCCGCCACAGCCGCGCCGCUGUGCCGCGCCGCAUACACAAUCAGUGCCUUACCACUGUCCCAUCGCACACGACUAGCGGACCCCGUCCACACCCUCGCUUCCCAGCAAACGGCAGUGCACACGGCAGUGCACGCAGUUGCUUGCAGGCAGUUUUGAGGCGCACGAAUGAAAUCAGGAGUACUCCUAACAUGAUGGCGCAACGCGCCAAGCAACGGAUCCAUACAAUCAUCAACUCCCACCCGCCAACCUCCUACAACCUCUGGCCACCCUUCCAUUCCAACUGCUGUACUCCAUAUAAAGGCAACCCAUUUCCAGUGUUCCCCGGUCACGGGAAAAGGGGCUGAGCCCCUCCACAGUCUGAGGCCGAACAACCUCAUCGCCCGGACAGCCCUCAUAGCCGUGGUCGAUUUCCUCAGGCACAUAGCCAAACCAGGAGCAUACACUAACGCACACAUAUGCGAUGAUAAGUCAGUUUCAGGGGAUCUGCGGUGCGCUGUCACCGCGGAUACGGCAUUGAAAGGGGUCCAAGUCGGUUGCCACACAUUGCACCGGCCCGUUACCGGAGGAAAUUAAUGAAUCCAAAGUGUGCGUACGUGUGCGCUGAUGCAAGGGCACAUGCAGCUGCCCCUGAUGCCCCCGGUGUCACUGAGAUGUGCGCAACACCCUACCCAACUUGACACUACCUCUGCUGACAAAGCACAACAGGGGGUAGCGUAUGCAGCAGGAUUCACCGACCCAGUUCGUUGCCAUCACACCAUCCGUCCACGCAAUGCUAGCUUGUGUGCUCCCCUGCACUGACUCGCGGGGGUUCACCUCAUAAUCAAUCAAGUACGGCCGCGCGCAGCUCAUUCAUCGAUCUCAGUACGUAUCAGGCGGCCUCGUGUACGGCCGCAGUUAUCCAUCUCAGUACGUAUCAGGCGGUCUCGUGACCGGACAAAACCAAGUCACCUCUGCAAUGUGCGCCAAGUUAUUGCAAUUAUGCAGUGCGUGAAGGCACCCCCAAACAUCUACAAGCUGCGGCCGAUUGAUCAAGAUGGGGUACCGUUCUGCAAUGCUGGCUUCUACUACUUUUGUCCACCUGCCGCAGCUAGCCUACUGGCGGCUGAAGCUGCGCACCUGCCCCGCCAACGCCACCACCAGCUCCGCGGCGGUGGGGCGCUUGCGCGGGUCUGCGGCCCAGCAUGCGGCCGCCGUCGUCCUGCAGUGGCCAGCACCGGUGGCAAUCAAUCAAAACGACCUUUUGGAUUGGCAAUCCCCAUCCACACGUGUCGACCAGCCGGGAGCGAGGGAAGUGGCGCAGGCAGCUGCGUGCCAUCCCCUUAUGCCGCGCCUACACGCGCCUGCCCCUUAGAUCGGGGCCGAUCUACCAUAUGCACGCAGGCCGAUGCGGCGCACCCACGAACCUGAAUGGCGGCGGCAUGUGGUUCCCAAUGAAGACGGGCCUAGCGCCCGCGAUGACGGCUGUGGGGAUCUGCUCGGGCGUGAUCUCUGGGUAGGGCCGCCGGCCGCAGUGCAGCACCUCCCACCUGCGCAUCCGGGCAGUCGAAGCGGAAAGCGCCGCGCGGGAGUAAUGAAUUUGAGUGAGCGCGCGGGCCGCGCGGGCCACUGCCGCAUGCAUGCACGCAGCUGCGUGCGAGGCAAUGGUGGUGCACGCACGCCCUUGCAUACUCUUGAAGCGCAGUGACGUACGCGCAGCUCGCAUUUGUACGGGCAGUACGAGUUCGCAAAUGUUCGGGCGACACGCACUUACAUGAGCACCCCGAAGGCGUAGAUGUCGGAGCUGCAGGUGAUGCGAGUGCCUGCACGCACGCACGGGUGUGUGAGCUGGGAACAGCGGUGCAAGGCGCAAUAGCGUCAUCAAGUUCAAGUACAUUUCCGUACAGCAGCCGGCCGAGUCCCUGGGCCAAACAAACUACUAUGGGAAGCAGCUACAUCUCCAUUCAACAUGUCGCUGCUACCCACCUGUCUUGAGAAUUUCUGGGGCCAUGUGCGUGACCCUGUGUGAGUUGGGUCAAGGUGGGCACGAGGUCAGUAAGAAGUUGUGGACUUGCACGGUAGCAGUUGCCGUGCAGCCGUGGCCCGGAACCUACCCCAUAAAGGUCAUGCCGCUCCCUCCCUCAAGUACUGUAUUACUCCGCCGGUACUUCCGUCCCGCUCGUACUCACGUGCCGCAGGCCUGGUCAGACACAGCAUAACGAGUGGCCCCAUCCUCCGCCAACUCCGUGAGCCGCAUGGCGAAUCCGAAGUCCGCCAGCUUGACGGUGAAUCCGCGCGGGUCGCUGGUGCUGGACUUGAGCAGCAGGUUGGCAGCCUUGACGUCUGCGGACGUGGAGAGUGGGUGCGUGCGGGGAGUGCAGUGCAGCGGUGAGGUGUGCGUGGCUGGUAGGCAGGGCUGAGUACGUGCGAGCCUGUAUGGGCAUGGGUGCAUGUGCUGAGACAGAGAAGAAACGGGCGAUUGCCUGCUUCAUCACUUGCGCCCCCACCUCUGUGCACUAUGUUCAUGGAGUGCAGGUGCCUCAGCGCCAGCGCCACGUCCAGCAGAACCAUGUACACGCCCUGCGGUAAUCACCACACACAAUCGGCACGGCGCGUAGUCAGUCGCAUCGAGGUCAGCAGUGGCUGCCACUUGGUUAAUGCAGCACACCCACAAAGAGUAAGGGCCAGCCCAAAACAAUCAUGCGGGGCAACCUGCGGAGCCAGCAUGACGUGCUCCCUCACCCUCCCACCCACGCAAGCAAGCGCGCAAGCAAGGCAGCCACCGAGCGCUAUGCGCCCUCUCUGUGCGCACCCCGCUGCCGCACCCUGAGCCCUGAGCUCCGCCACUGUGCACCUACCUGCACGUCCAUCGUCAUCGUGCCCCAGGUGGCCGUACGCGGCGCGGGCAGCGGGCGCGGGAAGAUUUUCUGAACCAGCGCCGAGGACAGCGAGCCCAUGUCCGCCAGCUCAAACACAACUGUGUGUCAUAAAGCAUGGCAUAAGAAAGGGAACACGCAGUGUGUAUGUGUGCGUGUGUAUGUGCGCGCGUGCGCGCGUGCGGAUCACAAGAGCGAGGCAGGGGCGCAAGCACGGGCUGGGCGGAUGGUUGGGCCGGGGGCAUGACCAGCAAGGAUGGUUGUGAGCAGAGGGUGUAAACAGUAGUGCCACAUGAUGGGGUGAUUGUCGCGGCACGUGUGCACGCACGCAUGGUUGCUGGGUGUGACUGACGGUAGGCAAACUGGUUGCAACAGACGCGAGCAUGGAUGGGGGGCUGGCGGCGCAACAAUGGGGCGUUCACGCUGGUAUGCGUUGGGCGCGCUUUACAGUUUAUGAGAGACGCAGCAGCAGGGGCAUGCGCCUAUGACGUGCUGUCUGCUGCAGCGGUGAGCGAAAGUCGCGUAGCGGCACGCACCCGCGGUCGUGAGCGGCGAUACAGCAGCACAGCCUCCGUCCCCAUUGCCUGUGGCAGCGCGGCGGGACGGCAGUUGUGUUUUGCGGGCAGUGAUGUGCAGCAGCAAGAAGGCACACCGGGCCUCAUGCCGCACAUCGAAUGCAGGUCACACACACAUUUGCAUGCGCAGUGUCGACCCUUUUCCCUUUGUGCUUUUCCAGCACACACCACAACACACACGCACAUCACUCGGCGGUCGCCACACGUGCAUACCCAUGCACGUACCUGCGUCCUCUGCCGCCGCCGCCACCUGGGCAUCCGGCACCAGUCGAUAGCGGCUGCCGCACGCCGACCGCAUCAGCCGCAUGUUGCUGAAGCUCGAGUACACCUGUGUGAGGUGCGCGGGCACGUAGAUAGGUGGGUAGGGGUCACAGCAGCACUGAAGCACAGGGCUGGCGGUCGCAGAGAGUUAAAGCGCACGGGGGCGAUCGCCACGGGAACUGGGUACAUGGGUACACGGACACACGGUUGCAGGGUUAGUUGGGGUCGGUGAGGCCGCAGCGCUUUGCCAUGGUGUUGCCGCCGGAACUGCCGGCAAUCCUGUGCAACCCAAACGCGUGGCCCCUGUCUGACCUGGAUAAUACUUGGGUGCGAGCAGUGUUGCAGAAUGCCGCGCUCCACGCCUGCACGCAUCAGGUCGGGUUGCAAAGCGACACGCAUGCAUGUGCGGAUAGUCAGCAAAGCCACGGGUCCAUUCUCGGCGGCCAGCUGUGGCCGCCCGCACUCAUGUGCUAGUCAUGUGCUAGUCAUGCAACACCUAUCAAGUGCAAUGUCGCAACAGCAGAUGCAUGCACGCGGCUGGGUGGGAUCAGCAGGGAGGGCUGCGGUGCGGGCCACCGGCAGCAGGUCUCACCGCGUCUGACGGCGUCGUAGCGCAUGGCAAGAAGCUCUUUGUUGUCUGCGGCGGCGGAGGUGCGCUCCUGCUGCGGCGGCCGUGUCACUACGGCACCUGCUGCCGCCGCGACUGUUCCUGUACCUUCAGCUGGCGAGCCGGCGCCGGCACCGCCGCCGCACGUUUCCACCAGGUCUUCCAGGGUAGGAACCUCCAUGAGCUGUGGAAUUGGAGAUGCAAGCCAUGGGCUAGUCAGUUGGCUAAUGGACCGGGAGCAGAUACGUUAGCCGGGAGCAGAUACGUCAGGGUAGGGACAGGGUCCACCCGGAUCCGGACCGGUCAAUGCAAACAGGGUCGGGAUGGCGUCGGCGGCGGUGCCAGCGGCAGCAGACGUAGAUACGGUAUGGGGCAUGUGCGGCGUUCGCAGUCUACUGUUUACAUCCACCCAACUACGCACGCACGCACGCAAGGCAUGCGCACGCACCUUGACCGCACAGGCCAUGCCGCACCACUGCGCCUUGAACACCACGCCCGCCGCGCCGUAGCCCAGCACCUGGAUCAGCUCCAGGUCCACCAGGUCCUCCGCGAAGCUGUUGUGGAAGCGGCCGCUGUCGUAGAGGCUGCUGGGGUGCGGACGUGCGGGGUGGUGGUGGUUAUAUGCCCGAGCCCAACGAAAUAUGGCGGGUAGAAGGGCAUGCGUGUUGCUUGGAGGCAGGCUUGCAGCAGGAUGUGCAUGGAGGGACGGACGGUCACCAGCUAGCCCGAAAAGGGCCAUGCAGCAGGUGGUUACAGCAUGCAAGAGGCUUUCAAGUUUGCACACGGAGGAGGAGCGUAGCUGUGUAGGCCUACGGCACCGGCCGUGCCGCGUGACUCAGCGGAGGGGGUUCCUCACUCACCCACGGGUGGCACCGCCUUGGGCAACAGCAGAGGCGCUCGCACCGCCGAUGUUGUAGACGGACCCGGUCACCAAGGGGCCGCCGGUCACCGCCGCCGCGGACUGCUGGUGCGCCAUGGACUCCAGCAGCUCGAGCUGCUGCCGCGCUGCCGUCGCGGGGGCCUCCGGCGGCGCCAGGACCAUCAGAUAUGAGGUGCUGUUGCUGGCGCUGGAGAACGACACCCGGCCGGUCGUGGUCGGGAAUCCAGCAGGAGCAGCCGCCGCGCCGCCCUCGCUGGCUCCAAUGCAGUGGCUGUUGCAAUGGCUGCCCUGCCCAGAACCCUCCCCACCAGCAGGAAGCGGAAGCUCGCCCUCCCAGCUAGUUGUAACCAGCGUCAUGGCGCGUGCCGCCGCGUCUGCUGACGCGCCGCCGGCUGUAGAUGCUGUGGCUGCGCCUUGCGGAUACGCGCCCGCCGCCGCCGCCGCCGUGAGCUGCGCAGCAAAGCUGUUGCUGCCAUUCCCGCGUGCCUGCGCGCUGCUGCUGCCAGCCAAGCUGCGCAGGGCAGCGGCGGCUGCAGGUCCCACUGCCGCGAGGCUCUGGGAUAUGGCUCGCCGCAUGGCGGCGGCGGCAGCACCAGUAGUAGGCCCGUCGGCAGCAGCAGUCUGUGCCCGCGGCGAAAGCAGUGCCCUGUCGCCGCCAAAGCUGGAACCGGUGCCAAAGAGGGACCUCGUGACUACAAACGGCUUCAUGGGCAAUGCCGCUGAUGAUGCCCCGCCGUCGCGGCGGCAGGCGGCGGCGGCGGCGGCGGCUAACCGCUGCUGUGGCGGCAGCCGCGGCGCAUUGCUGGACCCGCCAGUCAUCAGCGUCUGUGGGCGUGCAUGGACACGUUUUCGGAUCAGCGAUCAGUGUCAGCCUCCUGCUGGAAAGUGCAAUAAACAAAAAGCAAGUGUCCAAGAACCGCGUGCUUCGUGAGUUUCCAAGUGUGCAAUGAAUCCACAAUCAAAAGCCCAUCUCACCAUCAGCGCGGUGUCGUAGAAACUGGCUGCGCCGGCGGCGGGCGUGUCGGCAGAAGUAAGACCGCAAGGCGCGAACCUGCUGCCUGUCACUGCGUCAGCGUCCGCAGCGGGGGUGUCUGCAGCGGAGGUUGCGGCCAGGAGGCUUUCCUGCCUCAGCAGGUGCUGCUGCUGCUGCAGCUGCUGGGUGGUGCUGGCGGUCUUGAUGACGGCAUAGGUCAUCGGCCCCGCCGCCGCCCCGCCGCCUCCGGGCUUGGCGGUGCACAGAGUGGCGAACUCGGCAGACAGCGGGCCGGCCAGCAGCGCCUCCAGCGCGGGGCCCAGCGCCUGUGUGCGUAUGGGUGGCAAGGUAUGGCGUGUUUAAGGAGUUCCUUGUAAGGUUUGUACCCCACUCCUCAGGUGCCCGUGACAAGUAAAGCAGUGUAAUGGCGUGGAGCCCCCUCAACCGCCUCCAUCGCCAUGACGGUCUGACAAGCGCAUGUGUGGCAUAAAAUCCUAUGUUCGACAUGAUCAGUUUCUAAUCCAACACGUUGAUGAGCGCUGUGCAAAGCACAGGUGGGGGCACGUAUCGUAUGUUUCCAAGCGGUGGACGUUUGGCCCCCGUGGCUAAAUGGCUUGCCCUCGGUUUGCCGCCUCGGUUGCAGGACAAGCCGUGUCGUGUAUUCCAUACCCCGCGCACGAAACCUGUAACUGUUCUACUACGAUAGCUAUGGAACCUGAGCACGCAGCUGCGUGCGGCCUGCGGGAUACGGUAUGUAUGGAAUGGCACGCUCGCGCUCGCUCCAACAAACCUUGCCCCACCCACACGCAACUACCCACCAGGUCGAGCAGCUCCUGGCAGCUGGCCCGCACCGCCUCCAGCAGUGCACGUGGCAGGCAUGUCUCAAAGCACAGGUAAAGCCCCAACGCAGCACCCUCGCCGCCGCCGGCACUUGAGGUCGCGGAAGCACGGCCUCUGCCACCGGCUGCGGCGGCUGCGUCGUCACCGCCGCCGCCGGCUGCCAGGGACGCGUUGUCUUGUCCACCAGCAGGUGGUGACGGCAGCUUGAACGUCAGCAAGGCCACAGAAUGCGGCGGAACAAAGGGCAGCUGCUGGCGUCCUGCAGCCGCCGGCGCAGGUGCCGCAGCGGGGUUGAGACCCGAUGAGAACCCUGCAGCAGUUCCGCCGCCCGCGUUGACAGCCGCAUCACAGGCAGCAGCAGUAGGCAGCAGGAACCGGCGGGUGUCCGAGGGCACACAGGCCGCUCCACGCCGCUGGCUUGCAGCCAGGCCGGCGUCUGCUGCAAAGGCUGUAGCCGUUUGCGGCGGCGGAGGCGGCGGGGGCGGUGCCAUCAGCAUGCACAGGUCGGCGCAGGGCCGGGCCACGUCCUGCAGCCGCUUGUUCACGUCCUCCACAACCAGCACCGCCGCAUCGGUGCUGCCAGCCGCCUUCUGAUGUGGCGGCGGCGGGAAUGGCUGCUGGCGCCCAGCUGGCGGCCGUACGGCCGCGGCAUCCGGGCGUGUGUCAGCGGCUGCAGCAGGUCGCGCCGCCGCGCCGCCGCCAACAGGGGCCGAGACGGCAGCCGCUUUCGCCGCCAGCGCUGCCGCCAGCAGUGUGCCCCUGAGCUCGAAGGCCUGCGCGUGGAUGCCGCCCCGCACGCUGCCGCCGCCCACCAGCAGGCCGCUCAGCGCGGCGCUGCUCGGGAUGGUGCCGCUGUGGUGGAGCUGCGGGCCCGCCGCAUACACGGUGGCGCAGACGAAGUCAUUGUCAAGCAGCGUGGCGUCGCAGUUGGCACCAGCAGGCGCGGUCCGCAGCGGUAGCAGCACGCUUGGAAGGGUUGUGGACUGGGUCGUGGGACCGCCAUCGCCUGCAGCUGCUGCAGCCGAUGCCGCCGGCACACGGGCCAGAUCGCGAGGGGUGGACGCUGCGCCGGCGGCGCAAUCGCGGGCCGCCGCAACGCCGCGUGAUGACGCUCCGCUGUCUAAGUUGCUGCCUUUCUCCCGCUGCUUCGCAGUGCUUUGCUGCUGGACGGUGGCGGUCAGGGGGAUGACGAGCGUCUUGCUCUUGCCGGCAAAGCUACCCUGCGCGGAGCUUGCCAGGCCUGUUAGGUUUCCCGAGAGAGCGCGGCGUGGCAUCCCCUUCUGAUGUGCAGCCGAAGCAGCUAGCUCUUGCACGCGACGGCUGACAUGCAUAGGGCUCUUGAGCUGCAGAGACGACACGCCAGCAGCCCGCCGGCCGCCACCAAGAGGAGAGGCGGCGGCAGCAGCAGCCUGCUGCUGCCGCGGCGGCACCUUGGCAGCAGUGGGCGCCGCCCCCACUGCGUCCACGGUGACGCGUGCCGGGCUUGCAGUGCCGACGUAGUCGUUAGCGGGCCCAGAGGCCGUGUGGCGGCUGUCGGCAGCAAUGCCCAUGCCGGAGGCUGUCAUGGCCGCUACGCCACACUGCGUCGUCACCGGCGCGCCGCCGCCGCUGCUGACGUCGGAGGCCGUGAAGCCCCGCUGCAGCGGCUGCAGCCGCUGUUGCUGCGAACCGCUGCUCGCGUCAUCACGAUCCACAUCGAAGAUGGCGGUCUCGGUCACAGUCUUGGUCGCCUUGGGGGUUGCGGGCGCCGCACGCAUGCCCGACUCCGUGGCCACAGCAAGCAGGCCGCCGGUGGAGUACGGCGGCUCUGCGGAUGGGGCGUGUUCGUGGGGAGCCGAAGCUGCCGUCGGGACGAGGAAGAAGGCCAGGCGGCGGCGUGAGGUGUACGCAUCUCUCGCUGCGUCGGCGGCCACCGAUGGCCGCGGCGGCGGCGGCGGCUGCACCAGCGCCAGGCGCACGCCCGCCUCCACGCCCGGCACCUCGCGGGCCACGUGCUCCUCCACCGCCCCGCACAGCGCCGACGUCAGCUCCUCCAUCUGCACAUAGGGCACACGCGUACCAUGCAUGCACACAUGGGCAGCAGCAUGCUCAGUUCGGUGGUGAAGUGUGGCAAACUAACGGUACGGCAACAGGCCAAAGCCUCGGCCGCAUAACUACUGCCGUACUGGCUGUAGUACAAAUGUACACUCAACCACACCACGUGUGCUCGCUCACCGUGUCGCUGUCGUACAGACGCCGCAGCACGACCGCCAGCCACGCAAUGCGGCUCAUAUCGUUGCCGGCCAGCCAGGCGGACAGUGCAGUGGCCAUGGGCUGUAGCAGCCGCCGCUGCACGGCUAGUUGCAGUUGCGCCGGCGGCUCUUGACCACCCAGUACGCCCCUGGCAUGGGCGCCAGCAGUGCACGGUGCGGUUGGAGGUCCCAUCGGCAUCACCACGGCACCCGCCAUGCGCAGAAGGGUCUGGGCGCUGCCAGUUGCGCCCUCGAGAAGUGCAACCACCGCCAGCAGCCGGGUACCGCCGCCGCUGGCUUUUGCGCUGCAUGGCGCCGAUCCCGCCGUGGCACCAGCGUCAUCACUGCCGCUGCUGCCGCUCGACCGGCCUGGAACGCCAGCCCCACCUGCCGCCGCCACAAACAGCGGCAGAGCCGCAACCGCAGAUGCUCCAUCGGGCAGGUCGUUGCCCAUGGCGGCCUUGGAGGCGCACGUGACGGCGGCGGCUUGCCCAGCAGCUGCUGCGGACGCGGAUGAAGACGAAGGCGAUCGCGGCGGCCGAACCAUCCAAGCAGGCUCCUGCAUGCAAGCAAGCGUGGAAGCGAAAACCAGCAGCGGUAAUGGAGGCAAGAGAAGUAUGUUGUCAGCACGGUUCGCGCCUGCUUGAUUGCAUGCGUGUCGGCCACAAGCCUAUGCCCCGUAAUCCUGUUUCCUCCCGUUGUGCCCCAGCAGCUACGUGCCUGUGUCUCAAUGGCUGUCAGCAGCAGUAGGCCCUCAGCCUCCGUGCUCAGGCCGUAGUCGCAGAAAACACCGGCAAGACACGGGUGGCCGCCACCGGAGGUGCCGUCGCACUCCUGACCAGUGCGCCCGCCGUGCAGCCACGGAGAAGCCGUGGGCACCGCAUUCUUGGGCAGCGGGACAAGCCGCCGCUUGGAAAGGACGGGGCGGCUGGCCGAGCAGCCGCCGCGCAUAAGUUCUGCGGCCACGCCAUCGCCGGCCGUGCACUGUGCAGUCGCAGCAGCGGUCCAUGGCUGGUCGCACUCCACGAGGGCGAAAAGCCUGGAGUACCGUAUGCGCGAACGAUAAGCAAGCGGGGGCGGGUGGAAGGGGGCAGGGGGAUGCACGAGUUUGUCGUUGUAUGCACAAGCACACCUACUAAAGAUGAAGGACGCGCCGCAGUGCGGACAACCAUGCGUGCCUCAGCAACCCGUCGUAGGUGCCGGAAACAGGCGGCCGCUCACCCUGACCACGCACGGUAUGCGCACAAAAACCCGUGGACCAGGGACGACAAGGGGAGGACAAACAAAUGGCAACCCGGUAUAGCCCCAGAAGAAUGGGCCUGCGCGUUACCGAAAGCGACUAAGCUGCCGCUGUCAGUGUUCCUAGCCUCUCGGCGUGCGCCACGAUUGCCUCGCUACUCACCUCGGACGCACGAAUCCACACUUCGCGGUUGCAUCGCCAUUCGCGAUGUCAAGCGGCAUACCAGCACUCAGACGCUCCAGCCAGGUGGAUGCACUCGCCGCGCUCCAAGUGGACGACGCCAUAAUGUAGUUAGGCGACCCGGAGCCCGUUGUUGCAUCUUCAGGCGGGUUUUGUAGCUCAGCUGUCUCAUGGUCUGCGGCAUUUCCUGCAGCAGUAUGACCUCCGGCAGAAAAACAGCAACGAAAGAUGGCAAGCAUUGCUGCUGCGUAUCGCCGCUCAGCUCGUAGCGGUCUCUCCGCGGGACUCAACUAGCUGUUGUGAUUCAUGGGUUGUCUAUGUUUUCGAGCAAAACUGUUAGCGGGGCGCAUAACAAAGUUCGCCUGCUGCCUUUGUCAUACACCGCCAACGCCAAUAUUAUGUAUUUUAGCUAGCGCUACAAGCCUGGAAGGAUAUAAGUAGUGCUGUAUCGGUUUACAGCAACACAUCUUGGCUAACAAGGCAAGAUUGUGUGUCGUGCCCGUCGUUUUGUGCCCCGAAUGGAUCGGAACCCCGGCCCGCUCCCGACUAUGCAGCCAUUUCAGUUCAGCAUGUAGACAUUUACAAGCUAUGCAGUCGUUAUGAGCGUGGACGAUGCGCGGAAAAUGGCUGACAAAUUCUUGGUCAGACUACCGUAUCCAGACCCAAUUCCCCAAUUUUCCCGCCCCCGGUUCACUGCAACAGCUUCAGACCGGGUUCCCCGGCUUGACACGCUGCCGUGACGCAAUCCAACGCCAAGCACUGACGAUUAACGCACCUAUCGCGACUCCGAGCGUGCGUCUGACGCCUGGCUCACCGUACCUCGUGUGCCCCAACAACAUCCUGCUUGCCUCCUGCCCGUGCUCCCAGCUACCAGACACUGUGAUACGGUAGGACUUCAACCCUGCCACUCGCCCCUGCCACACCUGCUUCUUCCACAGAUAGCUUCCACCGAGCUCCAUCCCCAGGUUACACCAUAACGGGUUGGCGUGUUGACACCAGCUGGCAUGCUCUCGUACAGUCUCGCGCAUCAGUUGCGGCCGCUGCAGCCGCUCAAACUGUCCCCAUGUCGCUUGCAUGGGGUUCGAUGUGAAUGUAGAAGCGGGAGGGCUCGGACUUCUUGCCUCAGCCCACCACCCGCAGCCGUGCCUCCCGUGUGUGCUCCAACUGCAGCAGCUGCUGCCAGCGCUCGCGCGUCAGCCGCGUCUCGCCGUGGCUCAACACCAGCAGCCGCGCCAGCUGUGCAGGGCCAUGGGCGACGGGGGCGACACGGGGUCAGGACCGGCGCAAGGCCGCGGGCGGGUUUCAUUGCCUAACAGAGACCGGAUUACCGCGGCAGACACCCAUUACUAAUCACCCUCUCACCGUGAGCUUUAGAUGGAACUCCUCCGGAGUCAUGCCGCCAUCCGCCGCGCCACCCUGCCCCUGCUGCGGCCCCUGCCCCUGCUGAUGCGCCUGCGCCGCGCGGCGCUGGCCCACGAACCACUGCUCCAGCACCUGCGCCAUGCCCUCCGCCAGCUCAUACCCCUGCUCGGCACGCGCCGCCGCCAGGUACGACCGUACCGCCGCCAGAUCCACGUCAGCCGCCGCCGCCGCCGAAGCGGUGGCAGCGCCGUCACCCAUGGACACGUUGGCAGUCGCCACGGGGGUCGCGGCGGGCUCGAUUGCUGCGCCACCGAAGCUGGACGGCGGGCUGGUGGCGGGGCUGGCGGCGGCGGGCGGGCGGCCGCCGGAGGCCAGCACGGCCUCGGCGGAGGGGAAGGGUUGCGUGGCGGUGAGCGGCAGCCGCAGCGGCAAGCAGUCGCGCAGCAGCGACCUGCACAGGAUGGGUGGUGGCGCAAGAGCUCGGUCAGCAUGGUGCAACCACCGUGGAACUGUUGAACCUUGCAGGUGGUGCUGGGUGACGGGCCAACACCCCACACCUCGCAGCUUCCCUCCCAGCAACCACAGGCUAACACCUCGACAGCUUGAUACGGCCAUGCUGCAACCAAAUCGCCAAGCCAUCGCCCCCCUGCUGCGCCCCACACCGCCAUUGCCCCACGACUGCGCUGGGAGUCCGGGGACACAGCUGGUCCUGGUCCCGCACCUGCCCUGCGUGAGCACGAUGAGCGGCAGGUCCAGCGGCACGGGGUGCUGGAAGGUUUCGAAGUCGUACAGCAGCUCCUGCUGCCGAGCUAGCGUCAUCAGCGCCUGGGGGUAGGUGAGGCAGGUGAGGAAGGGCAGCGCCGAAGGGUGAUGUGGACGUAAUGGUGUGCGGGGCGCGUACAGAGUAGUCUUCGGGCAAUGCAGCGCUUGGUACGAAGCAACAGCGGGCAGGGCAGGGCAGGCUGGCAGAGCACACGGAGCCGGCGCAGGGGCGGCGAAGGUGUUACAACUACGUUUCCCAGAAGCACGCAAGCCCAACCCCAGUCCAGGCGUUCUCCGCUGCUGCACACCCGUACCCCCUCUCACCGCCCCACUGUUGCCCACCUGCAUGCUGACCACGCCCUGGCUGCUCAGCUGGCCAGGCGCCAUGACGGUCUCAUCCAGCAGCAGCACAGUGCCCGGAGCCAGCUGCAGCGGCGAGGGCGCGGUGCGCUCACGGGACACGUCGCGCACUGGCGACCAGGACAGGCUGCGCGGAAGGGGCGUAGGGUCCGUUGUUUGAGGGUGAAUGUCAACAUCAAGGCCAUGUCCCUCUCCUCCGCGCUCAUACAGCAUCGCAGUUGCUUCUCAUGUGAACGCCCCUCCGGCCCUCCCAGGCCCUGCCGAGCCGCUUCCCACCUGUUGCAGCCCUCCACGCUGAGCGGCAGCGCCACACUGAGCGGCACCAUGCACGACACAGCCGCCUGCAGCGCCGCCGCGAAGCCGCUCACGCCGCGGCCCGCCAGCAGGUCAGCCGCCAGCGCGGGGGAGCUGUGCGCCGCCGCCGCCGCCACUGCCGAGCCAACAGCACUGGCAGCGGUGGCGGGCGGCGCACUGGCACUGGCGGCGCUAGUGGCGCUGGUGACGGCGCCAGGGCACCUGCAACGCAAGGUUACAUCCGGGACCCGUGUCGUGUCGGCGCAGUACCCUGACAUUCCCGUCCAUUUCCCACACCUAUACGCCCGGCUUUGCCUAUCCUCUUUGCCGAGUUUGCCCCCAUGCACUGCCCCCGCUACCCUAAUACGUGCCUCUCCUCGCCCCACCCCGGAAAAGUGCACAUUGCAGCUCUCCGACGGCGCCCAACCACCCGCCCACCUGCUGAUGUUGAGCGCCAGCUGCCCCAAUGCGUUGGGGUCGCCGCGGUUGACCACGCGCGACAGCAGCUGCAGCAGCACGUACUCGGCAGCCAGGCUGUCGCCGCCCAGAGCCCAGCGCAGCAGCGCCAAAGCGCGCGCCCGCCGCGCCGCCGUGUCAGCGCUGCCGGCGGCAGGCGUCGUGGCGGCGGCAGCCUCGGCGGCUGCGGCAGGUGCAAGCGCAGCGGCGGCUGAGGCUAAGGCAGCGGCGGCGGUGGUGGCAGCCGGAACCAGGUUGGGCUGGCGGCGCACCAGGAUUGCGUGCAGCCGCAUCACCUGCGUGGCGGCAUUGGCAGCAGGAACGCAAGGCGGGCGGACCGGGUUAGCCGUCACCUGCGCUUGGUCCCCGUCACACUUGGACCCCGUCACAAGCUAUGGUGGUAAAAAGCGCUCUUUCAUUGCUGAUCGUGAAGACCGCAGGUGAGGCGCCCAAGCGGACAGGGUCCAAGUAAGUGGGCGUGCAAACAAGCGCGCUGCCUGCCGCAGACCAACCUUGCUGGUGGGCGGGUGGGCGGCCCGAAUAGCCUCAAACGCCAAUCGCUCGCCCUGUGCCGCCAGCACGCCCCGGUCGGCCGCCUCGCCCAUGGCAGCAUCGCCCCCGGUGCCGCUGACGCUGCGGCCGACGCCUUCGCUGCCGAGACCCAGAGACGCCAGCUCCUGCAGAGGCAUGCGGCGUGUAUCUCAUCAUCAGUGACGGCGUGGCUGCAGUCUGGAUGCACGUUCAUCACCAACCGCGCUCCACCAGGAGCCUGGAGUAUGGUACGCGGGGCGUCGCUGAGCCCCCAACCCGCAAACCGCAGGCCUCACUAAGGCCCAGCCAAAGCCAAGCCAAAGCCCUAGCCCAACUGAAAGCCCUACGCCAAGCCCCGGGAACCCACCUGCGCCAGGUGAGGGUCCUGGUUGUCGUACUCGAGCUGCGCCAGCUGCGGCACGUGGCUCAGCACGCCCACCACCUCAACCACCUCGUGCAGUGGCAGCGCAGGCGCGUUGUCGUACAGCUGCAGGUGAGGUAGGGUAGGGCGGGAAGCGUGGGGGUUUACAAAGUGAUGCUGGCCGGGAGGGGUACGGCUUGACUGGUACUGCUUGCACUGUGUGUUGCAUUGGAGCACGCAGUCCCACAUGAGUCACAAACUUGCUCUCGCAUCGGCAAAGUGCGGUUGCUAUCACUGACAUAUUCAAGCUUUGCUCGGCAAGUAACUCACAUACACGAUGCAGCUGCCGGGCACCUCGCUUGGCGUCGCCGCCUGCUGUGCCCCCGCAUUCGCACCGGCCGGGUGCUGCGCGCAACCGUGCCCGCCAGCGCAGGUGUCACAGCCUGUCCCCGCGGGGCCCGCGGGAGCCGACGUCCCGGGGAAAGGUGCGCCGCGGUCGUUUGCGGCCUCGAUGUCGCCAACAACCCUCGCGGCAGUAGGGUCCUCCCGCCGGCGCACACGAGGGCGCGCAGCGCCCUCCGCCUCACCCGGCGACCCGGCGCCUGCAGUGGCCCCGCCCGGUCCCUGGUCCUCACUGAGCCCCGUGUCGUGACUCAUGCUCUCCUCACCCGCAUCCGCGCCGGGAGCCGCAGCGUCGGCAGCUGCCGCAGCGGCAUUGGCGCCGGCGCGCGGAGACAGCACCGCCGCACCACCGGUGCUAGCGACGCGCAGCUCAGCUGCGACGCUGUCGUGCUGCGCGUCGGCAUCAGAGGAACGCUCACGUUUGGCACGGGCGGGCUGCUGUUGGGCCUGCUGCUGCUGAGCUUGCUGGGGCUGGGCCUGAGCCACCAGCGUGGUGGUGUUGGCCAUCGCAGCAGGCGCGUGUACGUCCUUGGCCGGCACCGCCGGCAGCGCGGAAAGGGACCAGCUGCUGAGGCCCGGGACUGGCACCAACACGACCGGGCGGCGCUCCCAAAUGAUGGGCGAGGCGGAUUGGGGCGCGUCAUCAGGCAUGUCCGGGUCACAGAACUUCGAGGUGACCCACUGCCCACUCGGCUGCUGGAAGGCCCCGACGUAGUACUCUGGGUUCAGCAAGUCUUGCACCUGCGGAUGGGUAAGUAAGCUGUUUGUAAUUUUCUCAAACGUAGAUGCCUUUCUGCCCUCGUAAGGUAAUCGCCAGGAAGUUGCCACUGCAGAACCCCGCCAAAACUGCUCACCAUGCCGGUGAAGCGCACGAGGCUGUGGUGGGGGAGGCGGUCCGCCGAUUGCUUGUCAAGACGCGGAAUCUGUAAGAUGUGAGUUCGAGCCGUUGGAAUAAGCGAGCCUAGGCGCGUAGGGAGCUCGCAUGUCUUUUGCGUUGUUUUGGUGGGCACUUUCAACCCACCUCGCCGUGACCCAGCCCAUUGACGGCUUCCUGGAAGUACUUUACCACGCCCCAGUCACCAUCGGCCUCAGCGGGGCAGCCUGCUUGCUGGUAGAGCUUCUGAAUCGCCUCUACAGGACGCACUGCUAUCUCUGGACUUGUCAUUUGCCUAAUUGAUGACGAAGACAAGGCGCAUUUGAGUGUGUAAGCACCUGGAGGAGAGUGGGACUAACAGGAGGGGCUUCGCGCCAAAACGCGAUUGGGAAGUGAAAUCGUGAACAGCUGGGAGUCCCGGCUGGUAAUAAAUUAAUAUGCAGAUACAUGUCAAACAAUUUAAAAGGAUAUGCAUGCAAAUAUGCCAACAAGCCUUUCCCGUCCCGGAGGCUUCUCCGCCAGUCUCCGCCUUUGCUGCCGCCAGCGCCCAGCCGUGCGCCCAGCCACACGUCGCUUGCACACCAUGCACCCGCCCAACCCACCAUCGGUGACGCGCAGGCCGUUCUUGAACACGGCCUCGAUGCUGACCUUGGCCUAGUCACACAGGUCCACCUUCACCUCCUUCACCACCACCACCGCCGGCGCCGCCUGAAAUAGACAGGUCCGUCUUUACAUAGACAGGGCAUGCCGGCAUGCUCAUGAAAUGCUUGCAUGUACACCAGGCUACAUAAUGUGGGUAUGCUUAAGUCCCAAGUGCGCUUGCCCUGGUUGUGCCUGCUUGCCCUGGGCCAGGGGUUCCCCUGCCCUGGGCCACCAAUAAUGACGAGUGUUGCGGAACUAAUGCCACCAGUUGCGGCGUGCAUGUGCGUAGCGGAGGGAGCGAGCACAUGGGGCGAGCAAGGCCACGUGGAGGAGGACAGCACGGCGUCGCCCAAGAAGCGGCGCCGGCGCGCAGGUUGAGGCCGGCCGGUGUCUGGUUAGCGGUCUUUGCUGGCAAGCAUAGCACAGUAUGCGGUAGGCCGUAGGAGUGAGGAGUGUUGCGGCCAGAGGAUUUUGUUCAUUUGGGCUGGUAUUUACAACCCCCCUUGCCCUAGCCAUCGAGUGACGGAGUCACGGACACGCACAGGCUUUGCACACAAAUUCCGUCUUGCAUUCGGAAUCCACCUCAGCAAUCUACCUCAUAUCACGCCGCACGGAUCUGAUCCGUCCGCUUGGCCUUUGGUGCCAGUCAGCAUCCAUUAUGCGCUCCUGUUCUGUACAAUCACAAACAAACAGCCAGGCCAGGAGUGGCCAGGCAACAAUACGAACUCCCGAACCCUAACCGCGGCAUGAGAGAUGGCAAUAACGCACGGAAAUACCCAUUACACAUACCAGGCUACACGCGCGCACCCAUGUGCAUUGCGUCACUUCUUGUCAAAGCGAUUGCAGCCAAAAGCCAACCUUUAGCAUGCGAGGCGGUGGCGUAACACGCAAUGCGCCCUAAGGCCCCACUAGUGCCCUCCCACCGAUUCACCCUGCCAAUUCCACCCACGUCACGCUGAGCGUUCAUGCACCAGCAGGUGUUUUGGAUUUUCGCACAGCCACACACACGACAUGUUUGCCAGGUAGCCAACUUCGGUCCUUCGUCGAGCCACGCUUUAUUACCCGAGGUGGACCCGCGUAUGCACCAGAACUACAUGCGCCACCCGCGUCAUGAUUAGUCUGUUACCACGCGCGCAUUAUACCAGUCACACAGUGCGUACCCUUAUUGCCGCCUGCAUGCGGCACAUUGCUUCGGCUGUCCAUGCAGCUACGCUACCCCAUACGUCAUGUGUGGGGCAGCGGGAGCCAUGCCGCACGUGCUCCCCGCCCGUGGCCUGACUAUGGGUGGACGAAGCGCACCACGACGGCGGUGAUGUCGUCCACUACGCCCUCCUCCUCCGUCAGCCAUCGCUGGUAGGCCUCGUCCACCAACUGUAGCGGCAUGGACAGGGCAGAACAGGGGCAGAGUCAGUCGCAGAUCAUACGAUGGCGACAGCUGGCAACCCCUUUUGAAGUGGAGCUGGCGCCGUCCUCCGGACCGCGCCACGCGCUUCCACAAGUCUUGUUCCAGAUUGUUAAUAUCUCUAUCCUGGGUUGAGACCAUAACGCAGCACUAACUUCAGCGACACGACCAUGGUCACGCUUGCGCACCUGGCGGCACGCCUCCUCUGCGCUCUCGUACUGCGCCACGAUGUCGACCGCCUCCUUGCUCGAGAUGAACUCCCAAACACCGUCCGAGGCAAGUACAAUGAACUUGUCCUGCGGCGUCAGCUCCAUGGUCGAGUGGUCCGGCUCCGACGUCACACCCACCCUGUGAGUCAAAAGAGUUCCACACACCCUGCAUUAACACCUUCCCAACAGGGCACGUCCUGUGCACCAAUCCUGCCGUCUUGGCAUGUGGUAUACUCAUAGAACCGGGCACAUUCUAGCACCUAACAACCGUCUAAUCACUCCCGCAAGGCAAGGGCAACUUUUACAUCCUCCUAACCAUGCAUGGCAGGAAAGCGGUGACGCACAGAACAGGUAUCGAGCAUUGACCACUUGCCCCGGGACUCACUGGUGUGCCAGGACAUCACCAAGCGCCCUGCUCAUGGCCAGGCCCGGAAUCCACGCGUACUGCAGCCACACGCGGUAGGGGCCCAUGGGCUGGCCCAUCUCGUCCACCAGCCUGUACCAGCGCGGGAAGGGCCGUGAUGUUAACAUGGUUGGCCGCUGCCCACCUACGCAUGCUUCAUGCGGGAUUCAUUAUAAAGAGCACAAGGAUAACCUCCGCCAGUCCUUGUACUAGAGAUUAGCUUACCGCUCCACACGGCCGUUCGCUUUGAGAAUCCGCGCCUUCUCCUCCGGCGCCGUGGGUUUGUGGUCGUUGGUAAGGUCCACCGCCUCCCAGCCCUUCUUUGUCUCGCGGCCCAUCACGCCACGAGAGUCACCCACCCACGCUGUCGUCAGGGUCUUGCCCUGUAGGUUGGGACAAUAUGAUCAGGUCAGCGCCAGUCGUGGUCAGUGACCGCUGAACGCAACCCCAGCCGCACACCCGGUAGCUAUACGCCCUCAAAAACCCUUCAAAACUGCUUUACCUACAGCCCUGACCCCAUCACAUGCCCGCGCGCACCUUCAGGUAGCUGACCACGGCCGUGCUGCCGCUGAACUCGCAGUCUAUCCUGCUAUUGCCCAAGGACCGGUCCACCUCGCAGAAGCCCUGAGACAGCGCCUUCUUCACGUCCUUUUCCAACGUUAGGUGGUUAACGAGUAUUAUCGGCAGGUGCUGCUUGACGUAGCCAGACACCAGGUGCCCUGCAAACAUCGAGGGCAUGCUGCGUUGCUUGGCGAACAAUACCUCAAUACCAGUGCCUCCUUACCGUGUGGCCCGUGACCAUCCAUAGCACCGAACAGAGACUGGUCCUCGGUGAUGUACUUCUCAAAAGCAAAGCAAUUGUCCUGGUUGGUCUUCUUGAAACCCGGCUCGCGACCAGCGCGCGACAUGCAUGCAACGUUAACGCGCAGAGUCCUGCGCUCCUGCUCCUGUAAAGACGAAAGCGUUGGGCAUUCAGGCUAAGGGUCCUCAACACCAUGCCAAGGUUGCGCAUCUUUCCCCUUACCUCGGGAGCAAGCUGACCCUGGACAGCGGGUUCGUCCCCUCCCUCCAUGUCCUGCUCGUCGCCACCCUCCCCUUCGCCAUUGAGCUUCAGGUUGCCCGGCGAGGCGUUGGGCUGCAAGCAGAGAGUGACAUGUGAGUCAGAAAGGGGACGAUGCGGAAAAAACAUACUCCGCGUUCUUACAUCGUUUGUCACGUAGGACAGACGCCUGGCUCUCGUGUUGCCAGAUUUGCCACCCGGGUUUGCAGCCGCAGGCGCAGCAGAGCCGGGUGGCGCGUUCACCUGCAAGCCAAAGCGGGCUUAGUAUCGACGUAGCGCGCUGCAGACGGUCGACAAGAGCUUACCGCCGCCCCAUUCGCGUCGUUCGAAAUAUAGCUCAGGCGACGAGCACGAGUCGUCUUUGCCUUUUGUGUCUCAGCGUCGGUCGCGGCCUUGUCGGCAGCCGAGCCUGCGGGCGCCAUCAACAUGCGUCUUAGCUGUGGGGGCCGCAACAGACUCCGCUGCUUAACGCACCAUUCUUGGCAGCCGCUCCGCCCUGCUGUUGUUGCUGCUUCUGCUGGUCACCCUGGUCCACCGCUUCCACAGGCACACUAGACCCGCAGCCCAUUCGUUCAAGCUUUCUUAUCUAACGAUUGCACAUGGGUUUAUAGACACGGGCUGGGCACUGGUGUGGUCGCAGCUUAAAAGCAAACGAGGUCGGGGCGAGCAAUACAGGUCUCGCAAUGACAGUGCCUCCAUCGCGUAGCCCAGGCCCACAACCCGCGAGUGAAUGGUGAACAGUACAGCCAUUCUACUUAUUGUCGACAGCUUAACGCUUGCAGCCGGCUGGAGUCUCUCGGUUGUUGGCAUUUGUUAGAUGCCACCUGCUGCGCGUCCUUUAUUGCAGGAGGCGUGCUACGUCAACGGCUACUGUUUGUGUGUUCAUGAAGCGCAAACUAGACCCUAGUUCGCCCAAAGUGCACACUUGAUGCUGCCGUUGGACAUAUGACGUGGGGUCAACUCCAGCUCGACGCGUGCACCAGUUUGAAUCACUCGGGACAAUGCCGCCAGUGGAAAAUGGGAGGCCCGGGAAAGGGGGGUCUGGCAACAUCGAGGGUCGGCUUGACCCAGGAGACGCGGAAGUACUAAAAUAGUGCAAGCUAGAGCUUGGUGAUUACGAUGGGGUGCAAGAGAAUAAUGGGACUGGCGGGAAGGCCGAGAACGCUAGCUCUCUCAUGGUGGGUGGUGACGACACGCAGGCACGCACAGGGCAGCGAGGGCACCAUUUCGACGCCUCUCCACGGCACCUGGCGACGCCUGGCGCUGCCGUGCUCAAGGUCUUGCUGGACGCAUUUGCACCCGUUCACUUGAAGCCCGGACACGGCAACCACGUGCAACACCUUCAGGUCACUGCUACUGCCACACGUCUCAGUUCACACGUUAAGUUGCUCGGUUGCUGCACAUGGGUCACAAUUACGAAUCGACGAUGCUUUCACGAUAACAAUGCGAAACCGAGAAAGCAAGCGAGCACAAGCCUGGAGAGGCCUGGAGGCUGGCACAGCAGGACAGCAAGCGUGGGACAAGCAGCGACAGCAGUUGCACGUUACCUUUCAUAAGCGCCCCGCAAAGCUGCCCUUGCUACUGCUGGCGUGCAUCGGCCCAGCGGGCCACGCGCCCGCGCGGUGUCAGUACGAUGUACACCAUACGUCCAUACCUGCACAACCAUAACCCUAACCGCUCUCCGACAGUCCGACCUGCCCACUCCUGAUGGUCUAUUACACUCCGUGCAUCACAUCUCUGCACGUGAGGACUGACGUGAGGAAAGGAAGCUCACCUGCCCGACACAUCAUCUACAGUACCAUGUCAAGCAUAUCACCCUUGUGACCUUCUCUAAGUUCUCUAAGUUGUCUACGUCAGGCGCAGCGCCCUCGGAAUAACUUACAUUCGCGCUCCCAAUGACCAGCAUCCCCCCUUCGCAACCCCCCUCCCCCGUAACCAUCCCGCACUAUGGCCAGCGAAACUGUUGCGGCAGCUUUGCCAGGCGGAAUAACUGAGAGCUGUAAUUCGGGGCAGUAACUGAGGGUUGUCUAACUGUGUUUGAACCCCUCCGAGCCUGCUGCUCACGCCUUGGGCGCCACCUUGGCCGCCGCAGCCACCAGCUUCUCAUGCAGCGCCGGUGGCGCCGCGAUGAUGCCCCGGUCCAGGGCAAGGAAGCGCCCUUUGCUGAAGUCCAGGCGCACACCAGCGGCGUCCGUCACGCGUCCUCCCGCCUCCUCCACGAUGACGAAGCCGGCGGCGUGGUCCCAGAUCUUUUCCUUGUAGGUGGCGGGCGGGAAGCGCAUGAAAAUGGUGCCGCAGCCGCGCGACAACAACCCGUACUUGACCUGCACGUGAUCAAUAGGGGCGAGGCAUCAGGCGCAGGGGGCAGACCGCGUGCGCUGUGAUGUGAGCUGUGAGCUGGGCCAGCUGCCCCCAGAAGAUACUUGUGCAUUACACGUCAUCGGCCGCAUGCCUUCACGGGUUUACGCCCGCACCUGCGAGUCCAUUCGCAGAGGCGGCCGCACCACGCCCAGCUCCCGGGCCUGCAACAACAUCAGCAAUUGAAUUGAGCGCUUAAUGUCUCGAUUGUGCAGCAUGACGUUACAGCUGUCGUAACAGAAAGGAACCUGCAAAACGGGCUACUGCAAAAUCCAAAAGAUACCAGCCCGAGAGCAACGCCCUACCGUUUCCCAAGCCGCAGCACAUCCCCAACCCCGCCAUGUCCUGCCCCGCCCCACCAGCGCCGCGUUGAUGCUGUGGCUGGAGUGGCGGCUCUCCACGCUCUCCAUGAACCGAGCCUCCGCGCCUUCCGUCACCUCCGCCACGCGGACCUGCGCCGGCGCCGCGUCGCCAGCGUUCUGUAGCGGCUCCACCCAGGCGCCCUGCCCCCGCUCCGAAAAGAAAAGGCAGCCCACGUCCGCGUCGCCGCUGAGCCGCUGAGCCGAGCCAGUGGCGCCGUCAUCGUCGCCUACGGGCCCCUGCGGCAGGUUGGGGCAGCCCAGCACGCCCAGCACCACCUGCGGCAAAGAGAGGCACCACAGCGUAGGCGGACACACUCCCACAGGCCACAGCGAGUCUGGCCGCACAGCCUGCUGAGUGCGUCAGCUGUGCAGCCGCGCCUCCCCGUGCCAUCCAUCGUCUAGGCUUUACGAGCUUGCAAGCGCCAUCCCCAUGGCGCCUGCUGCGCUGCGCCGGGGUGUACGUUGGCCAAACAAUUGCUGUUGCUACCCCACUGAAUCGGCUUAUGCGUGCCCUGAAGACGCAUGCUGGGCUUCCCCCGCAGAAGUGUGCUACUCCCCGUACUCCCGUGCCAUGCUCCCCGUCCUCGUUUCCCUGGCGCUGGUUUGUCCCUGGUACCACCGUAUGCCUGUUGAGCCGCCUCCCUGCACUCUCCCCGGGCCUUCGCCUCACCUCGCCGUCCUGCAACAUACCCAGGCACACCGAGUACUGGCGCAUGCCGACGAAGCCGCGCGUGCCGUCAAUGGGGUCCAGCACCCAGUGCCGACCGCUGGGGCCGCCCUGGGAGGCGCCCAGGUCUGCAGAGGCGGGCGGGGAGCAGGUCAUGACAUUGACGGGCGUUCGGUGCAGGCCAUGAGAGUGCCUGCACAAAGUUACGGUUCCCUCCCAACACGGUUCCCUCCCAACACCAGGAGCCAUGAAGUUAAUCCUCACGGCCCAGCCAAACCUUUAAGCCCACGCUACCACACCAUGUCCCACCAACCCUUGCAGCCUAGCACGCCCACGCCGUGCUCACCGAUGAUGUCCAGCACCUGCUCCGGGCUCAGCACUUCACCAGGCGCCGCGGCCGCCACCACGCUGUUGACCAGCGCGGUGAUGCGGUCCAGCAUAGGGCGGCCCGCCGGCGUGCGCAGCUCGGUGCUGUCCUCCUCAGCCACCAUGGACAGGCGGGUGGAGGGGUCGGCGCGCUGCAGCGUCCAGGCCACAACCACCUGCGCGCCUGCGGGGUAAGGGUGUGGUUGGGGUCAGCAGGAGGCCUGCGUUGUAGGCAUCUGCUCUUUGUGACGUGGAGUUGAGCACAAUCCUUCGACAUUUUGCUGUGUUGGCGCGCACAGCCCGUCAGCCGCGCGCGUCAGUGCUGGCCGCGUGUGGCAGUGGCGUUACGUGUGGAACGUGCGCCGAAACCCGCACACUCAGCCCCUCACGCACCGUAAUCGGCGACGGUGACGGGCGAGUCGUCCUUCUUGUCUACCCGCUCCUCCGCGCUGAGCUGCCUUUGCACCUCCUGCGAGUAGACAGGUCCCGCAAGUCCGCCCGUAACAUCCCUCGGGACAUCCAAUUUGCACACGCAAGCACUUGCGACCGGCCCGAGCCGCAAUAAUGCUUCCCCGUACCUGGCAGAGGCGAGAUGCCAAACGCACUGCCUCCUUCGCGCUUGCCAUCUCGCGCGCGUACUUUGCUUGAGGGCGAGCAACAGUGGGGGCGUGCGCAGCAGAGCUCGCGCGCGCGCAAAGAGCGCGACGGCAUCGCGCUGCAGAUGUGCGAAGUGCACAGCCUUUUGAUGCGGCUAGUCGCUGGCUCUGCAUCCUUAGCGACAGGGUAAAAUGGCAAGCGACGAUAACGAUGGAUGUGAGCUCGUGCGCGCGCAGUGUCUGCAACGGCCUGGACAGCAAAUUAGUUUACUUUGUGUCAGGUUGAAAUGUUAAGGUCCCUGGACUUAAAUGGGUUGCGAUGAGGCAGUCGGGAUGGCACGCCAAAGGGUUUCACCUUGCAACUCCAGAUGUGUUGAUAAGUUCUCCUGCCCUGCCAAAACAUGUGACGGUACACCUGAUUUAAACGUAGCGCUAUAAACAUGACGAGUCAACUUUGUUCAACAGUAAGAAUCCCUUCGCUUGAGUCGGUCGCAAAGCAAUGCCCUCUCAGGCAAGGUGGUCUAGUAAGUAGAUGUAGGCCUAUAGCGUGUCCAGGCUUUCCGGGCGCGCUGAAGGGCCCAAGAAGCCGGCCAUGUGUCCAUGUGGAAGUCGCGCGCGUACUCGGCUCUGAGGGCCCUCCAGAGCCGGAUGCCGCAUCAAAUCCGGACGUGCAACUCCCUGGAGGCCUACACGAGCCCCAGCGCACAGUGCCGUUCAAGCUGAUCGUAAGUGUUGGGGUUCUGUGGGUCUUGGGCAGGGGAGCCUAGGCAACCCGGCCGUAGCACGGCUGACGUGGCACGGGCAUGCGCUUCCGCGCAACCCCGCGGGCCCCGGUCCAUCAGUGUAGCAGCCCAUGCGACUGAUGCAUGGUGACGGUCCGACGCCACCGCGGAAUGCAAUUCGGGUCGUCCCAGCAUGCGCACUCCAUCCACCCCUCCGCCGCCCCUUACCACCUCACGUCCUCCUCUACCGCUCAGUACACCGGCCACCGCGCUGGCUUCGACUUGCUCGCGGAAGCUUCCUUCCAGGUGGAUAGGCAAUGAUGCCCUCUCAGUGGCUGGGGCCGUUGGCCGGUGCUGCACGCCGCCACCAAGCGGCUUUGUAAAUGCACUCACCGCCCUCGCCGCCCGUCCCUGCUAACCUUCUCUGCCCCAACCCUUGCCCUGCCUCAUGCCUCUGCUGCAUGCGCUGGGACCCGGCCUGGCUCCGAAAACUCCGCGGCAGGCGCUCAUCGGGCUGGUGCUGCUGACGGGCGUGGGCAACCGCGUGCUGUACAAGAUGGCCCUGGUGCCGCUGCGCGACCACAUUUUCUUCCUGGCCCAGCUGCAGAACCUGGGCUACCUGGCCGUGUACUUCACAGCCCUGGCCUGGAGGCGGAGGUGAGGGGGGAGAAGGGAGGGGGGGGAGGGUAGUUCAUGCCAUUCUCAAAAAAACAUUGCUAACCCAGAACCCUUUUAGAGCGGAGGGGAAGGGAGGGGAGGGGAGGGGAGGGGAGGGGAGGGGAGGGGAGGGGAGGGGAGGGGAGGGGAGGGGAGGGGAGGGGGCGGGGCGGCUGGGCGGGCGGGCGGGCGGGCGGGCGGGCGGGCAUGGUCGGAGGGCGUGGUCGGUGGGCGUGGUCGGUGGACGCCGCGAGCGCAAGGACACGGUAACUCUGUCCACAGGUCUGCCAGAAUGCGGGUUAAUGAACUCGGGGACGUUUAGGGGCGUUGAAGGCCUGUAAAGGUCAUAACAAACGAGCUGGACUUACUACCUGCUGCAUCGCAGUACCGGGCAAGUAACUACGGCGAUGAUGAACAUCGACAAGCGGCCGCUGCUGGCAGUGGGCGCGUGCGAGGCGGCGGCGCAGCUGCUGUUCAUGGUGAGGUGGGGGCGGGGUCCAGGGGUGAGGACGGGGGCCGUGCUUAGUUUUGGGGCGCCAGGAUAGCAACCCACCAGGCCUUGCAAGCGGCCAUAGACCAGGGGCGUGCAAGAGUUGGGUUGUGCUGGUGUGGUUCUGGCUUCACGCGUUUUACCCCUGGUGUGUGGUGACAGGUGGGGGCGGCGCACAUACCCGGUGCGCUGCUGCCGGUGGUGAAUCAGACGUAUCUGGUGUGGAGCCUGGUUUUUGCCAGCCUCAUCCUGGGCACACGCUACUCGUGGAUGCAGCUUGCGGGCGCGGGGCUGGUGAUGCUGGGCGUGGUGUGUGCGGCGGUGCAGCCGGGAGUCGUGGCGGGCAUGCUAGGGAUGGGCUCGGGGGCAGCAGCAGCGGCGGCGGCGCAUGCGGCGGUGGACCUGCGCUAUGUGGCGGUGUGCGUGGCGUGCUUUGCCUUCCCCGCCAUCGCCAACUGUAUCAAGGAGAAGGUGUUCAGGUGAGCGCAGCACGCGCGCAUACGCGACAAAUGCUCGGCCUGCUCUGGGCAGGGUAGGGAUGACGCUUGGCGAAUGCAGGCGGCAUGGAGGGCUGACGUGUUGCUUGGUUGUGUGGUUGCCGUGCUGUGUGCAGCUCCGCGGCUCAAAAGCUGGGCCAGCCGCUAGACAUCUUUGUGGUCAACUCCUUCGGGUCUCUGGCGCAGACUUUUUUCGUGCUUCUCUUGCUGCCCAUCACCACCGCACUCAAGGUGCGCGCUGCCGCCGAAGGCAUGCCCGCGGCACAGCUGUUGCGCACGGGACAGAGCCGGUUGGCCAGCUGACAGACUGGACAUGCAUGGGGCCGUGGCCUGCUUCGAACUCAGCUGACAUGGGGUCGACUGCCCUGCCGUCUCUUCGGACCGGGGCCUGUGUGUUGCGCCCGGGCGCAUGACCCCGCCACUCGCCCUCACGCCCUGCACACGGCACACACGCGCAGGGCAUCGCGCUGUCGGACCUGCCCGCCCACCUGAUGGCCUCCUCCCGCGCCUUCCUGGGCGAGCCCAGCGCCGCGGCAUGCGCGGCCUUUGGCGGCGGGGCGGACGCCGGCGGCCUGGUGGGGGUGCUGGCGCGGCACUCCACGCCGCUGCUGGCGCUGUCGUACGUGGCGCUCAACCUGGUGUUCAACGUGGCCAUGCUCAACCUGCUGCGCAGGUGCGUGUGUGGUGGGCUUGGUGGGUGGGCGUGAUGUGCAGAGGGUCACGGUGAGGGCGGAGAGACGGGCAGGUAGACGGAGGCGCGGUAGAUGGAGGCGUGAUGCUGGCGGGAAGUUGGCAGUAGCGCAGAUGCCGGGGCUGAGCCCGGCGCCGCAUCCAACUGAUUGAUGCGACCUUCAGCCGCAUCCGUAUCGAGUAUCGACGCAUCCCCCCCUGCUGUACCUUACCUCACACGUGCGUAUGCCGCCGCCGCUGCAGUGUGGGCUCGGUGACCACAACGCUGGUGGGCUCGUCGCUGGUGCCACUCACCAUCGCCGCCUUCACAUUGCCGCUACCGUACCUGGUGAGUUGUUGCCGUGGCGGUACCGACUGAAUCCUCGACCCGGUGCUGGCCAGUUUGUCCACCUGUGCCGUAUGUGUGACGGCACCUGCUGUGUCCCGCCUGAUGCGCAGGAGCCGGCGGUGAUUGGUCCCAACUUCCUGGUGGGCGCCUCCUUGCUCAUGGGGGGCCUGGUCACCUACAACUGGCAGGGCUGGAUGGUCAUGUUGGGCAUCAGCCCGCCCGCCCCCGCGCCGGCUGCAGCUCCGCAGUCAGCCGCGGUGUCGGCGCCUGCGACGCCGCAGCUGCCGGUGCAGGCGGCGAAGCAGGGGGAAAAAGGAAGUGAUGGGGACAGGAAGAACCGGUAGUAUGGGGGAAGAUGGCCUGCUUUGGCAUUCGUAACAUAUUGUGGGCCAAGGUAUAUGCGACGGCAGUACUGUUGAAGCGGAUUGUGCUAAAUGGGAACGAUGGGACAAGUCGGAUGAGCUUUGUUGCGCACUGCUAGGUCGGAAUGUUUCUGAUCCAGCGGAAAGGUAACAUUUAAGGAGGCCAGGUCACUCUACACACUUUAAGGAGGCCAGGUCACUCUACAUGUGCGUUUGGGGCAAAUGGCUCCGUGUUUCGCUGUGCUCUCGUCCCUGGCCGCGUGAUGGGGUGCUGUAAGAUGCACCCUGGCUGGUUCGUACACAACAAUUUUAUCCGCGGUGUUUGGAAAGGCCAAACGGAGAAUGCCGUGUGGGCGCAAGGGGCAACGGCCCACGUGAAUGCGCUCAUGAUGUUCGUGCCGGGAUGAAGGAGAUGAGGCAGACGCUUGCGGCCUCAGACUAGAGAUGUGGCGUGGGCUCAGCCCACUUUCCCCAUGCGAGGGGAACCACAUAUCUUGUCUACCGCGUGCACAGUUACGUGUUUGUCCAGGGGCACCCCUGGCCUUGUCCUUCGGGGCGAUGGUUCGGGGACCGCGGCGUGGCAGAGUCAGUAUGGAAAGACAUCCUGAAGACGUAAGAGCUAUGACUGAUCGGCGCGCCAUUCAGCACACGAUGUGUAGCGUUGUAAAGGUUGUCCGCCACGCACUACCUGCCCCCGGGAUUAUGGCACGGGGAUACGGCGUCGCCAGGACCCGCAGUGUGGGCGGAACGCCCGCCAAGAUGAGACUUGGGUGACCGCGUAUUCACUAGAAGACUCGUAAUAGGCAUAAGUUAGGGCCCAGCCCUGUCUCGAACAGGGAUCGUAACAGUAGAUCUAUUACAACUGGCCGGAACACUGGGCGUGGUGAUGGCUUAACUCGGCGCCCUCGGCCGUGCCUCUCAUCGUGUCUCAUCUUGGCGGGCGUUCCGCCCACACCGCCACACGCAGCCAGCAGCGUGUGCUGCCCGCACAGCAACUGCCCGGGUCACACAUGCGAAUGUAACAGGACGAAAGGCAUCUCAAGGUGUGAGUACCGCUCCGGCCUCCGAACAGGGGUGACCCUGGGGGCUUCGCCCCACCCCCGUGAAUCGCUCCAAGCCUCUGAGCCUCUGAGCGCUCAGCCCAAAAUCACGCAAAGCGCGGAACGAAGCUGAGGACGACCACAUGUGGUGAUGAGUGCAGAGUACUGCAGGCCAUAUGCGGGACCUGCCAGGGACACGCGGGGACCUUACACGGCGACAUGAUUUCACCCAGGGGUGGUUUUGCCUGACAUAGGGUGCAGUGUCUUGCCAGUUGCCACACACCGCAAUCGUUUGGGUCAAUCUAUCUCUAACAGCCACAACAACACCUGCGCGUGCGAUGCGCAUCAUCGGAAGGGUACUGUAGACUGAGGACUGCUUUCGAUGUACCACCAGGAGCAAUUUAGCCCUUCCUCGCACGGACACAGGGCAUGCCUACGCGAAAGCCAUUGAAUCCUAACAAUGAAUUUCGACUGCGCCUUGCGCCGGGCGUUGCAAGGCGUCACGGCAAUUUUAUGCGGUCUCUGCGGACGCCCAGAAUCCCUACGUCUAGGCUAGCGACGGCAGCACGGCGGGCUGAUGCGUCAAUGACAUAACCCUGACCAGUUCAAUUGAAGUUGCACAAAAGCCCGUGAAACCGAGUACCGUACUGCACCACCAACAGAAAUGACACGUAACCACUAAUUUCACUGACUCUGUAACACACGGCCACGCCUGUACAACGCGCACCACAACGCGUACCAACUCCUCUCGGGGAUAAUAUUAAUCAGCUGGUGCAACAGUGCUGUGCUGCACGCUGCUUUAGCUCUUUAGUUCGUCACAAUGCACGCACGCAUAGCACACAGGCACGGCGCACGCAUACCAUACAGGCACGGCGCAAGCAACACUCCUGUCCGGUCCCGAAAAUAGUACAUGCCGUGCAUUGAAACGGCCAGCAGCAUCAAACACGUCCAACGUCAUGUAAUUAAACAGGUGUUCGGUCUUACCUACACGUGUACGGGCGCUCAAUAGGGAACAUGCCGCUGUUUUCACAACACAAGGGCAUCGCCACGCGGUGAUAGUGAUACAGCAACGCCGCUCGGCGGCGUCAUACCAACGCAUGUUAAGCGUGGCAGGCUAGCUCAAAGGCGAUUAAACUGCACGGUACAUGCCCGGCUGCUGUGCCCAGCCGUGAUCGCGUCAUGGGGCGGCUGCAUGACAACACACCACCCCGCUAGACCCCGCGAGCAAAGUGUUUCUUCAUGCAAACACAACAACCAACAGAAUACUACCGGAGUGACGCAGGUAGCUCGAAUCUCAGCCGCAUGCCACACGCAUGCGCUUGGUCUGUCCCUACGGACACGUGGGCUCGCAGCACCGUUCCCGCCCAUCACGCGGCACCCUUGCCGGGGCCGUCCAGGUCCUCCAUAGACAUGCAGCCGGCGCCGGCACCGCCGCCCACCGGCUCCGUCAGAGACGCCUGCAGCGGAUAUACGCAUCGCGGCACAUAAACACGAAGGCACACCGCUUUACACCCCAGCCCCCAACCCCUCAGUACCGUACAGCGCACCUCAACCCAUCCUCUCCCAAACAGGCAACGUGAUACAGGGCCAGCUGCCGAUGUGGAGCUAACGUAUGAAUGCGGAUGUUACAGAGGGGACAGUCCCAGCACCCGAAGACGCCGAGCCAUCACAUGCUAUCAGGGCCGUAACGUAUGGCGGGUCAGUCAGUCAGGGUAUGAUGUCCUGCCGCCACACCUGCAGGCUGGCCAUGGCCGCCGCGCGCAUGAGGCGUGUGUUGGCCUCGCGCGUCUCGCGGCUGGCCAUCUCCAUGGUCUUUCCCCACUCAAACUCGUCCAGGUAGGCCUCGCGCACCUCCAUCAGGCGCAGGGCUGCAGUAGGCGGGGGGAAGCAACAACCAGAUCGGCGGUGUUUGGCGUCCGGCGGCUGCUGUGAAACGUGCGGCCCAUACGGCCGUGCGAAGGCUCUCUUUCUGCAUGCAAGAUGAACCCUGGCGCGGCUAUGCGUGCCGCAAAACAGCAGCACAUGCUCGGACCAGCGCUGGCGCUGUGCUACACGCACCAGCCAAUCCUGCACGGACUCACCCAAAGCGUGGUUCUUCCUCAUGACAGCGGCCAUCCACUCGUCGCCGCCAUCGCCCUUCAUGGGCGUGCCCAGGAAGUCUGCAGGCACGCAACGGAAGAAAGGAGGGCUGAGCAGGGAAGGACAGGAGAGGCUGUGGGCUAACGUAGGCUGGUGCCUCUCUUCGAUUCUGUGACUGCCCUUUGCCCCACCCUCCAAGCGCCCUCACCCAUCAGGUCUAGGUAUGCCUGCUGGUUGUAGGUGGUCUCAGGGCCGCCGGGGCCCUGCAGCUGCUCCAGCACCACCCUGCGCGGUUCCGGUGUGAGUGGGCAAGGAGCGAGUUGGGUUUGGCCGGUGCCUGCACCAAAGUGACCGUGCGUACUGGAAGCCCGGCCAGUGCACGAAUCGGCAAGCGGUCACUUGACGCCAGGACGACUGGCGCCGUCAUGGCGCUUCGACACUUGCGAGGGCCGUACGGUGCCGUUACGCUACUCGCGAUAGGGGCUCAGGCCAAAUGCUGCGCGCCCAAAAUUUGAACCGACGCGCCCCGACGGUAUGACUUCCAUGUCUCCUUUUUCAAGUCUCGAAGGGCCCCAGCCCCGCAUAUUUCGUGGAAGUUUUAAGUGUUUGAAUGGACAUCAAAUACUCAUAGCCAACUACAUGGUCAGGUCCCGCUCACCGAGCUGCAACAAACGUGAACAGCGACCGCAGGGCUACAGCAGCUUUACGCUCUGGCGAAGCCCCCGAAAAAGAAUCCGCAGGGAUAUGCAUCCUUGCGCACGGCGUGACAACAGCCCGGGGGUAGGCUUGGGGGCGCGGCCGAUGAUGGCUGAGGGGCGCGCGAAAAGCCGCUCUUGCGCUGAGGCUCAUCAUAUUUUGUCACGGUCGACGUCACUGAGGCUUAGCAGCCUGGUAGCGGCGGGUUAAGCUGCGCAGCGCGCAAUCGAGCAAACCCUAAUUGUAGUCCCGAAACAGUCGUCGGUAGCUUGGCAGCCCUUGUGAGGAGUUCGAGGUGAGUAAGUGUAAUUGGUAGUGUUAGUAGUCCACAAGCUGUGCACCUGAAUGGGGAAUUAGGCCAUUCUGGGCACCCGAAGGGCCGGCGCAUCGCAGGCGGCCUGGCGCCCUGCCCGGAUGUUGCCCAGGCCGCUGUAGUCUGGAAUUCAAUAAGCGCCAGAAUAACACUAUCCAAUAUAAACCCUAACCGACAUCCAGCUCACGGGGCGUCUGGCCACGUAGUCACACCGCCAGCAGCCAACGCGGUCACGCGCCCUGCCCGCCCUCGUCCUCCUCCUCCAGCUCUACCACGCUGCACAGCUUGUUCCAGGCGCCCUUCACCAGCAGCAAGUGCGCCAUGCGCCACUGCGCCAGCCACCGCUCCCAGGCCACAACCGCCACAGUCCGCUGCUGGAUCGAGCUGGCGCCGCGGGCUGGCUGGAGAGGCGGGGGCGGUGGGCGCUGGCGCGGCAGCAGCGGCGCCGCCAGCUCACCCUCAAGGUAGAGCUGAAACACAGUUGCCUGCAGCUGCUGCUGCGCCCGCCCAUAUGCCACCGCGUCCUGUGCGCUACCGCACAAAACAGGCGCCGGGAACGGCGCCUGCGUGCCGGGGGCGUGUGAUGCACCGCCGACGACCUUGUGAGUCGGGAGCAGCACCGCCCAAGCAGGACCAGGGCCGGACGCCGCGGCGAGGUCAGUGUCCGGCGCAGCAGUUGAUGCCAGCGCCCACAUCGCAUCCGGCAGCCACAUACCGAGCGGCCGCGGCAUGAGGUGCAUGUUCGAGACCGUUGCGGCGCGGUCCCGCGGCUGGAGCCCGCCGCGGCCGCCCUGACCAGCAGCUUCCGCUUGUGCCGCGGUUUGCCUGCCUCCGCGGCCGGCUGUCCCCGCCCCGCGACCUGCUGGCCCGGCUCCAACUGCAGCUCUCGCCGCCACUGGAGCAGCGUCAGCCAGCAUCGCACGCAGGAACCGGUUCCGCCACAGCGCCGCUGCCUCCGCCAACUCAUAGUCAACCCCCAGAGCGGCCAGCGCUGUGCUUGCCGCCUCCUCCAAGGCUCCUCUGCCUGCGCCAGCUGACCCCACCCUGCCCCGCUGCUGUUGCGCCGCCUGGCUCUGCAGCUGCUCCAGCUGCUCCUCAGCUGCCGCUAGCUCCGCCUGCACCGCCGCCAGCUCGGCACGCAGCUGCUCCACCUCGGGCAGCAGCGCCGCGCAGGCCUCUGCCUGCACCGCGCGCCGGUUGGCUGCGGACACUCCGCCGCCCGCACCGCGCGAGCGUUGCAGGUCUGUAAGCGACUGCACCACAAGAAUGCAUGACGGUGCACAUGCCGUGGCAAACUCUGUAAGUUACAGCACAAGCGCGCUAAAGCUAACAAGCGGCUUGAAGGACAUGGCAAGCUUCCUCAGGUAGUGGCGUACCUGUGUAAGCCAUGUCUGCGCCGCCACCAGAGCCGAGAACUUGACCUGCGCCUCCCGCCGCAGCACCGCCACCGCCUCCUGCUGCAUCUGCAGCCCCGCCGGGACGCGGCCCAGUGACACACGCUGCAGCUGUGCCGCGGCCAUCGAAGCCGACACCGCCAAUGGCGCUGAAGAAGCAGGGUACAAUCGCGCCAACGCCGAGCAGUAGGAGCGACUGGCCGCUGAAACCGUGUCCGCCAGCGUACUCAGGCCCGCGCCUCCACCUGCAGUUGUCCCAGGAAAGGGCGUUCUUAGAUAAGGCACAGGUAACGCUUGGUUGACGAAGAAGCCCAGCCUAACGUGACUGCAAGGCUUUACCUCUCCGCUGCGCCUGCUGCAGCAGCUGCUCGCGUGUAGACAUCGUCUCCCGGUACUGCUGCAUCGCCCGGCGCAGUGCCAGCGGCAAUUGUGGUGGCCCCGCCGGCUUUGUGGCGGCAGCUGCGCUUCCGUCUUGAUGUCCGCCUGACGUUCCCCCGGCCCCGCCACUGUCGUUGCCUGCUGUGGUACCACGGGCAUCGUUGCUGUCACCGCUAUUUGCCGCCAUCGCGGCGGCCGCCGCCAUGGCGCGCUGCGCCGCCAGCGGUAGGUGCGACGGCACGUUGGGGUGCGCCGGGCUUGCGUCCUGCGGCACUGCCGCUGGUGUCCCGCCUGCAAACGGUGCCGUAGGCUGCGAGCGGGGCGUCCCAACCCCGCCCGGGGACGCGGCGCGCAUCAACGGCGCCCCCGGUGACGCCUGCACCGGCGCGCCAGCCCCCGCCCGCUGCGGCGACGCGUCGCGUGUCCGCGCCGCCGCACCGGAUGGGCGGCCCGCUGCAGGCAUGCUGGAAACGUUUCGCACGGAUGGCCCCGGCCCCACCGUGCCGGCUCCCCGGUUGGCUGCGCGUGCCCCAGCUGCCACGCCCCUGCCAGCCCCGGCGGAUGCGAGCGGUGGGCGGUUGGAGGACCCGGGCGCUACAGGCGUGCCCUGCUGCGUCCGAGAUCCGCCAUCCAUUGGAGUGCCGGCGCCUGGGCUGCCGUCACCGCCUGAUUCCCCGAGUGCUGUUGGGAACAUCGGGCCACGCGAGGGCGAGGGGCUCCGGAAGCUGGGCGGCGGCCCUGAGAAGGGCGUCGCCGUGGCGCUGUUGGGCGCGGAGGAUGAGUCCUGUGCGGGGCGGAAUGAAAGGAAACAUUUCGGUGGAGGCGAAUGUGCAAGAGCAACAAGGAGGCCACCUGGAACAGUGCACCAUAUACGCACCGCUGCUGCUGGCGAGCGGCGGCCCGGCGGCGGGGUUGCCGCUGGCGUGCUGGUUGUCGCUGCCGAGCCUCCUGCGGUGAUGUACCAAGGCAUCAUGCGUUCAGUUGCGUGUCACAUGCGUCAGAGCGGCAGGGGCACCAAGGGCGACAGCGUGCAAGAUUGCAGAUUUGCAGGUGUCCACGUGCCAUACCGUAGAUGAGCCGGUCACAAGACAUAUUCCCGCCCACACUCAACCCAGCAGUCCCACCUGAGCGUGAUGAGAGCAGCCAAGGCGCGGGUUGCUGCUCGCCAUGAAGUCUGCGCCACAGCAACACAGGUGCACAGUGCGGUCCGUUGCCCUUAGCGCGCUGCAGUUGCCGCAGGCGUUGCACCUGCUUCUUGCAUACCCACUCGCUCACCGUGUAUUGAGAAACGCCGCACAGCGCCUCAGGUCAGCCACGAUCGCCUGGGUCGCCGCAGUUUGGCCAGACAGCUCGAUGUAAGCCUGCGUAGAGUUCAAUGUGACGUGGGUAUGAAGACCUACGAACUGUUCACCAGGCCUGGCCCGGCCUUGGUAUUAUCCCUUGACCCCAGCGCUGCUGCUGCUGCAUGGCAGUUUUCGGCUCAACGCGCCCGAAGUAGCUGAUUGCUGCCCAGCACUGACCUCUCCCACUCCUGCGAUAAGGCUGUUGAGCGCCUCCAGCAGCUCUUCCGGGUUCGUGGCCGCUUCCAUCGUCCAACCUCCAAACCCGCCCUGCCGCGGGUGCGCUGCGUUGCCCGCAGCCGCUCCGCAGCUCCACGUUAUCCGAAGCGGCUGGUUUCGCGGCACACAUCUACUGGUGGCAUCGCUCAAAAGCACCGAGGGGCCGGCCAAGCAAAGGGGAUGCUUGCAGUCUCCGUUCCUAGCAGCUCCCGCACGCCUAAGAGAUGUCCAAGAAUAUGUAAUUAUCACGUUGGCCGAUGAUGAGCAUGCGGUUGCGUUGAGCUGUGUAUGUGUUCGAUUUUGGCUGCGCCCAUUAAUUCGAAUGUGUGGAACUUGUCCUGGAGCUCAAAGCAAAAGCUGUGUGCGUAAAAUUCAAUCAAUAAAUAUCGCAUUUGCAGACAGGGAGCCAACGUCAGGCGUGCUGCGUGCAACGAUCGAGACCCGGCGCAUGCGCAUUCGGCUCGUGGCUUGUCCGACCAGACAUGCAAGCUUUUAUCAUUAGGCGCUGAAACAUGCCUCGUCCCGCGAAAGGCAAACGCGGCAAGGGAGCGGGUGCGGUCGGGGGCCAUGACGCGGCCGAUCUUCUUGAACGGCUCAACAGCAGCGGCCUUGGUGAAAAAGAGGUGCUUGCGAUUGUAGGGGCCAACAAGGUGCCCUGCGAACACCUCCGGAGCCCUUGCGUGAGGAACCGGAAGGAGAAUGUGGCAUGCUUCUGUCAGCUCGUGCCUGCCGAGACGUCGUACCGCAAAAAGGGGCUGUGGCAAAAGGAGCAGACGUACCUAGGGACGCUGGGGUCGGACCCCAAGGAGAGGCAGCGAGAGGUGCGACGGCGUUAGCAGGGGGGCAGGCCCUGCUGGGUAGGGUUCGUGCCGCGUGCCGGAGGGCCACCGCAUACCUAAUCCGCCCAGGCCCCGCAAAAACAUAUAGCUCAAGACCCCCGACGACAUUUCCGCGCGCCCCCAUGACUGCCAAAGCUCCUCCCUCUGCCUCUCCAGGACGCGGCCACGCCCGCCGGGCUGCGCAACCUGGGCAACACCUGCUACGCCAACGCGGCGCUGCAGUGCCUGUUCUCCAUCCCCUCGCUACGCACCGGCAUCUACACCGCGGAGCCGGCGGUGGCGGGCCACGACAUCCUGCGCCAGCUGCAGGGCCUGUUCCUGCAGAUGCAGUUCGGGCCGCAGCGGUCGGUGGACACGGAGGCGCUGGCCAAGACGUUGGGCCUCAACCACGCCGUUCAGCAGGCACGGCGGCACAGGGGGACUAGGGGCUCCAGGGAAUCAGGGCUCCCGGGGUUUCCGGGGUUUUCCAGGCUUGGGGAUUGGGAAGGCUAGCAGGAGGUCGAUUGCUGUGUGUCUGGAGGGUGGUGGGGUUGCGUGCGUGCUUUGCAAGGGCUUGGAGAUAGGUGCGCGUCAGUGCAGGUGACUGGAUGGGGCAAGUCCACGCGCUGCUGAGGCGCAGCGAAGGGCGGACGCUGGGUCGAAUGCUAUUGAAGCCGACCAUGUGUUGCCGUACUCUGUUCCAACAUGCAGGAUGGUCAGGAGUUCUUGAAGCUGCUGCUCACGCGCGUGGAGCAGCUGAUGAGCAAGUCUAGCGACGGGGUGAGGCAGACGGGCUAGGAGAGGAGGGAGCCGUCGUGGAAAGCCAUCCAUGAUACUGGUAGACAAGAUUCAAUGAAAGUACGGUUGGGGUGGGCUGGGCUACUAACGCAUUGGGGCGGCCUGCUGGGCGUAAAGCAGGAGGUAGAUCCCGUUACUGGUGGCACGAUACUGUAGCAUGCUAACGCGUUGGUGCGAUGCGGUCUGCCGCAGGCGGCACGGCGGCUGGUUCCUCAGCUGUUCCGUGGCGGUCUGUCCUACGUCACCACCUGCCAGGUGCGGCUCUGCCUCAAGCAACGCUCUCGGUCCGCCUGGCUUGAGGGUGUCGUCGCUAGCUCUGCCUUGCCUGCCGCCUGCACCUGUUGAACUGAAAUUUUGCAUCCAUGUGUCACUUCCCUCUUGUGUGCGCACGCAGCGCUGCGGGCGUGACUCGAGCAGCUCUCACGAGGUGCAGGACUUUUACGACCUCAUGCCCCAGGUCCGCGGCUUUGGCUCGCUCACUACCAGCCUGGUAAGAGUGGGCGUGGGGCUGGAGCCAGCUGGGGCUGGGCAUGUGGGAGCACGGCGUAGGGAGGCACAGGGGCCGGCUGGCGGUGUCUCACACAUAGCGUUCGCGCCCCGUUUCGCUGGAAAGACUGUACGUGAGGUGCACCCCGCUCCCUGCCAACGGGCCGCCCCGUCCCCUCCUCCAGGCAUCCUUCCUGCACGCCGAGUCGCUCAGCGGUGACAACCGCUACCUGUGCGACUUCUGCGGCACCAAGGUGGACGCGCUGCGCCGCGUGCGGCUGCGCGCGCUGCCGCCCUACCUGUGCCUUGCGCUGCAGCGCUUCUAUUUUGACCCCCGGGUGAGGCAGGCGCGCAACGCGCGCAACGCGCUCAGGCUAGGAGCGAGGGGCGAAGCAACCCCAAUGCUGCGGCGGGUGUCAGGUGUCACAUGGGUGCGCGCCGCUCGCCGUCGGCUGGAGAGCACUGGAGCCCUGUCUUUGCCCUCACAAACUUUCCCGUUGUCUGUUGUGUUGCACAUGCACAGACUUUCGACAAGGCCAAGGCUCUGGACAAGUUCGCCUUCCCGCUGACGCUGGACUUCAGCCAGGUGCUCGCGGAGGCGGCGGCCGCGGAACAGGCGGCAGCUGGUGCGGCAGCGGCGGCGGUCGCUGCCUCUACUGCAGACGCCGCGGGCGCGGCCUCAGACGCUGUGCCCAAUGCCGACGCGGCGGCGCCGAAGGCGGCAGACGCGGCCGCUGCCGCGGCGGCUGCGGUGUCUCUGGAGACGCCCUCGUACCCGGUGGAGGGCAGCCCCCUGUACGAGCUGGUUGGCAUCCUCAUCCACAAGGGCUCGCAGGCGCACAGCGGACACUACGGUGAGAUGCGCUUUGUGUGUUGCGGCCUACGGUAUGCACAGCGGAGCGGUUAUUCGCGAUUGCGCAAAUUUACGCUGUCGUAUGUAUCGUCAGCCCGGCCUCACCAGCCGCUUCUCCCGUGCCCCAACCGGUGCUCCAAGCCUGCAAUCCCGUCUCCGCGAAUUCUACGCAACCCCCAAAUCUGCAGUCGCGCACAUCAAGGACCAGGCCAGCGGGCAGUGGUGGCGCUUUGACGACGAGGUGGCUGCCUGCAUUGGCCCCGACCCCGCCGCCGCCUUCCAGUCAGACCACGGCGCGGUCGGCGCGGCGGCGGCGGCGGCGGCCGCCGCUGGCGGAACGGCGGCGGACGGCAGCACCAAAGGCGCAGGUGGGUGGCACAACGCCGAUUUGCAGUGAGUAGUUGGGCCUUGGACCUUACAACGUCUCUGCUAGGUACCUGAUUACUGACUCGCACGUUAUGGGGGUUCCAUGCAGGCGCCUCCCGCAAGCGGACGGCCACGCAUGAUGACGUGGACUAUGAGGAGGAGGCAGCCGCGGCGGGAGAGGAGCCAGGCCGCGGUGGCGGUGGUGAGGAGGAGGAGGAGGACGAUGAGGAGGACGGAGGUGCGGGCGGCAAGCGCAGCGGCAGGGGCGGCCGAGGCGGGAAAAAGCGAGCCCGGGCGGGCAGCCGCGCCGGCAGAGGUGGCAGCAGCGGCGGCGGGCGCGGCGGCAAGAAGGGCACGGCGGCUGCGGCAGCCGGUGUUUCUGCCGAGUCAGGGGCGGGCAAGAGCAGGGGUAGAGGCGGGCAGGGCAGGAGAGGCGGGCGGCGUGGGCGCACCAGUGGCGCAGUUGACAUGGAUGGCGACGCCAGCGACGCCGACGGCGAGUUGCGGGCGGCUCUGGCCGCGUCCAUGGCUCUGCAGCAGGAGGACGAGGGGCUGCGGUUUGCCAUGGAGGCUAGCAUGGCCGACGCGGCCGGGCUCGGGGUGGGUGGCGUUGGCGGUGGUGACACCGGGGCUGCGGCGGGCGAAGCCGGCGGCGCCCACGCAGGCGACGCGGAGGAGGCGGCGUUGGUUCAGAUGGCGCUGGAAGAGAGCGAGCGGGAGGCGGAGAUGGCGGCAGUCCUGGCUGGCGCUGGUGGUGCGGGCCGCGGCGGCGGUGGCGGUGGAGGCGCGGCCGGAGGUGGUGGCGGAGGCGGCGACGCCGCUGAGUUGGGGGAGGACGGAGCAGGGCAGCAAGGGGAUGCAACGUCUCCUAUGGAGUCGGACGCGGAGGCGGUGGCGGCUGCGAUGGCGGCGAGCCUGGCGGACGCCGCGGCACCCACGCCGCCGCGGCUUACGCCGCCGCCGUCGCUCAUGAGCGCGCCGCCGCUGCGGCCGUCGCAUCUGCGGCCGCUGGCCCUGAAGUCCGACGAGGCGGGCGAUGACCUGAAGGGCUCGGUGCACAACAGCCCCAAGUCCGGCCCCGCUGCCGCCGCCGCAAUCAAGGGCGAAACAAUCGGCAAGGUGGGGUCAGGGGGCUCCCUGGAAGCAGCCGGCACACUCGUACCGUCGUUCCAUUGAACACCCAAGGCAAUCAUGCUUGCCACGCCUUCUGCUGUACCUGAGCGCGCAUCACCAGCCUGCCUAAUGUACCCAUGCGCCCUUACAUGACGGCGCCUCACACUCACAGGCUGGUGGCGUGGGCGGCAGCGGCUCGCUGGUGUCCGCCAACGCCUACAUGCUGGUGUACCGGGCCGUGGGGCUGCAGGAGCCGCCGCCGGCCCGCACCGUGGAGGAGCUGCCGGCGGCGCUGCAGGCGGCCGUGGCCGAGGUGGCGGCGGCCUACGCGGACGAGUGCGACGUGUACCAGCGGCAGCGCGACGCGCUCAAGACGCAAGUGAGCCGGGGUUACGUAUGUGUCGGGGUACACCCACCUGCGGCUGGCAGCGCUGCGGCGUUGGGGGGACGAAGUGGCUGUGCGCGAUGGAAGCUGUGCGCAGCUGCAGAUGAGUUGCACGGCCUGGUGCCGCGCCUCCUUUCCGGAGGCGCCCAAAGCUCACUAGAGCCUAGAGGUGCUCACUAGAGGUGCUCUUGUCCCGUCCGCAGGUGGAAGAGCGGCGGCGCUCCGUGCGUGAGCUACUCAGCUGCAUCAGCCCGCGGCUGCCGCUGCAGACCUCGAGUCAGCAGCCGCUGCAGCAACAGCAGCCGGAGGUCAUUGGAGACGACGAAGACUCGGCUGAUGCCUCGGCGCCCCAGGAGCAACAGCAGCAGCAGCCCGGCACAGCGGGGUACUGGGUGUCAAUGCCUUGGCUUGAGCAGUGGGCCAACGAUGAGGGCGCGCCGCCGCCCAUUGACAACGGCCCCAUCACGUGCGCCAUACACAGCCGAGCAGGCGCGCGCGGAGGUGCUGCUGCCGGGGCAGCAGGCGGCGCGGGGGACAGUCAAAGCCAAGGUGGAGGAGGCGGGGCCGGCACUGGGAGCUGCUUGGACCCUGCCAAGGUUGCGGCUGCCAAGUUGGUAUCGGCCGAGGCCUGGGAGCGUCUUCACGUGAGCUAGUACUUCCUGUAUGCACUUGUAUGCCCUGGCAUGAUGGGCGCGGGUGGUGUACUACGGCACGGUGCAUAUGUGGGUGCCUGCCCGCACUUGAGGGCACGGACCGGCACUGGCCCACCCGCCGGCCCUCCUCUCCCACCACCGCCUGAAUGCAGGCGGCGCACGGCGGCGGGCCGGUGCUUGCGGCGGGCGACGUGUGCCGGCAGUGCCUUGAGGGCAGCGCCAGCCAGGCACUGCUCGGCAACCAGGCGGAGGAGGUGCGGCGGCGCGUCGCGGCACUGCUGGAGGCGGGGCCGGCGGCGGGCGCCGAGGCAGAGUGGGAGGAGGCUGAGGUAGAGGAGGCGAUGGACGCGGAGGAGGACGCCUCGCCGCGCUCGUUCUGGGUGUCACGCCUGUGGCUGCAGGGUGAGUCGUGCACGUGCGGUAUGGCUGAGGCUGGCUGGCAGGGUACUGUACUGCGAGUGUCGCACGUGUGGUUUGCCGGCAGCCAACGCGCCAAUGGAGCAUCCGCAUCCCAGCUUAUCACCACAGCCGACCCUAACCUUUUCAUCUGUCCAUCCAAACCCCUUGUUGGCGGCUCCACCCCUCCACAUAGGCUGGUCCAAACGCCAGGGCGCCAGCGUCAAGGCCGAGAAGUCGCCCACCGCCGACCUGGCCUGCCCGCACGGCGAGCUGCAGCCGGCGCGCGCCGCCAAGCGUGUGGCCGUGCCCGCCGACAUCUGGCGCUUCCUGCGGGACCUGUGGCGCCGCCAGCGCCUCGCAGAGGCGCAGGACGCCGCCGCAGGCAAGCCGGCGCCGGUGGGCCGCGGCCGCGGCCACAAGGCCAGCAGCGCAGACGCCGGAGGCGUGAACGGUAGCGCAGGCGCGGGUGUGGGAGCGGGAGCGGGGUCGCCGUCGCCUCCUGCAGUGGACUGUAUGGAUUUGACAGGGGAUGACGCGCCGGGGCUGGCGGCGAGCGGGAAGGCCGGGAAGCGCGAGACGGUGGAGAUCGAUCAGGAUGACCGCGUCAUCGGUGACGACGACGACGACGAGGAUGAUAUGCAGAUGAUUGAUGCGCCGUCGGCGCAGGCUGGUGGCGCGCCGGCGGGGGCUGCACCUGAGGCAGCUGGGGCCGGAGGCCUGCGCGAGGACGAAGACGGCUCGGCAAACAGGCGCUCGCGUGAGGCGUCCGCGGUGCCGCCGUCCCGGGAGGGCACCGCAGACGUGGAGGCGCCAGUGCCGCCGUCGGAGCUGGGCGCCGCCGCAGACGCAGCGGCCGGCAAACCGGCGGCUACGGCUGCCGCCGCCGCAGCGCCUGCGCGCAUACCGACGGCGGCGGAGCUGGAGGCCAUGUGUCCGGAGCUGCCGGUGGGGCGCGUGUUCGAGUGCGAGCUGUGCCGCGAGGCGGCGGGGCAGGCGGCGUCGGCGCACGCGGACAGCCGGCGGCAGCUCGACAUGGAGCGCAACGCGCUGAGCGGCCUCAAGAUGGAGGCCUGGCCGCAGCUGACGCCCGGCUGCCAGUACUACAUGGUGCCCACGUGAGUACAGAGGCGCCUGCCUAUGGGUUGACAGGCCGGCUUGACUUGACGGGGUGCUCUUAAUGCUUUGUGCCCCUACCGAUAUCCUGUGUGCGCUAGUGCCCGAUUGCUAUGCUGCCGUUUCUGUGCUGCCGUUGUUCAUGCCAUCUCUCCUCGCUGGCCGCCUGGCGCUCCUUCAGGUCCUGGGUCCGGGAGUGGCAGCAGUACGUGCGCGUGCUGCCCAAGGGAACGCCGGCGGCGCCGCGGCCUAGCUCCCUGUCCGCCGCCAUGCUGCGCGUGCUGUGCCCCUGCCACCCGGACGAGCCACGCCUUGGCGUGCCGCCCCCGCGCCUGACUGUCAGCAAGCGCAGCCGGUAAGGAAGCAUAUGUCCACCUUAUGCGGGCAAGCGUACUUCAUGGCAGAGUCCCAACUUGCUACUCCAUGUAGAAGUCUGAAACAGUUGCAUAAAACGGAGCAUCAAACGCUCUUCGGCACCUGCACGCACAUGCCUCCGCUCCAGGCUCUCGCAGCUGGAUCUGGAGCAGGACCCCAUGCGCCUCAUCACCCAGGAAGACUGGGACCACCUGCGCCACGUCUACCUGCGCGACCUCAACAACGCCUCGUCCGCCGCAGCAGCCGACGCUUACGCGGUCGCAGGCACGAGCACAGGCACAGUAGGCGGACGUGACGUGGGCGGCGGCAAGCGCCGCGCUUUCCAGCGCGCCAGCGCCGCCAUCGCAAACGGCGCGCACGGUGCCGAGGAUGGCGACGCCGGCGCGGGCUAUGCCGUCGGGUCAAACGGUAACGGCAGAGCGCUGCUGCAGGAGGACGGCGCCGCCGAUGUGGUCGUGAAGGACGGGGCCGAUGGAAGCAGCGGCGCGGCGGCGAACGCAGCCCAGCUGGCGGCGGUUGCGCACGGCUUCACCGCUGACGUCGCACAGCUGGUUGAGGAGCAGCAGGACACGGGCGCGGCAGCGACGGUAUCCGCAUCCGCGGCAACAGGGCGCAUCGGCGGUGGCAGCAGCCGGCGGCGAGGCGACGGCGGCGAGGCGGCCGGGGCAGUGCGGGCGCCGGACGUGUUGGUGUGGCCGCCGGUGUGCUGGGCGGCUCUGGCGGAGCAGGGCCGAGCGGCGCGCGAGGCGGCGCUGGUGUAUUCGGAGGCCGAGGUGAUGGUGGAGCUGGUGGCGGCUGAGGACCUGGAGGGCGCGUUCAAGGAUAGCGGUGUCGGACGUAAGUUUAUGAUUGGCAUGGGGGCCAGCAUGAUGGACGCCUGCGCGGCCGCACAGUGGGACCCAGAGCCUUGGGCGGAAAGCUGUUUACGUCGCGAUAAGUGUCUGUUGAGCGUAUGCCGUGCCAAAGCGCUGUUGCUGCUGCUGAUGUAGUUGAGCGGCGCUCACGGCGCACCCGCAAGGGCCGCACCUCCAUCACCGUCAGCAAUACCACCACCCUGGAGCAGCUCAAGCUACAGAUCUUCGAGAGCCUGUCCAUCCACCCCAAGAACCAGACGGUAGGAUAACUAUAGAACUGCACUGCCGUAGUGCACGGCUUUGCAUCCUGUGGGCCAUUGCGGUUUUGUCCAAGCGGGUUUAGUGGGUCAGGCCGGCAGCUGGCAUGACAUGACUUUACCCGCCACCCUCUCCUUGUCUGGUUCGGGGCUCUGGCAUCUAAACCCCUUUCAACCGCUGCUAGCGCAGGUGGCCCCCCCAAAGGGGUCUUUCUGCGUCUCGUUUGGUACCGGAAAUACCCACCCUCCCCUCCCUCCCGCUUCGCCACCUGCUGGCCCGCCCGCCUGCUGCAGCUAUACGUCCGCGGCGACGACGGCUCGCCGCGGCAGCUGCAGGGCGAUGAGCUGAGUCUGGCGCAGCACGAGGUGCUACCGGGCGCGGAGCUGCGGCUGGUGCGGCUGCGGCUGGUGGACGACGACGACGACGUGGCUGGGCUGUUCGGCGAGGGUGCGUGUGGGAGUGGUAGUAAACCAUUCCUAAAGUUACCUGCCCAGAGCCAGCCCAAAGAGGUUAUAUCUGAGGUUGACGAGGCUCAGAUGUGUGCAUUGGUGUGGGGCCGAUCGGGGCGGCCCAGUUGAUUCUGCUGGGAGUGGAUGCCCGGUCCGUGGGCAGGCGAUUGGGAGACCUAGGGGCUAGGAUGGCCAAGCAGCCCAACGCAAAGGCCACCUAGCCGGGCGUAGCUCCUGGCUUGCGCUUGCUUGCAUGACAUGGUGCCUUCGUGCCUCCUGGUGACUGCCGCCACAGGCCGGGCCAAGCGGCGGCAGGUGGAGGAGGGCUUCAAGAACACUGCCUUGCAUGGGGACCUGCCGCUGCAGCAGCAGGAGGCAGCGGCAGGCGCCGAGCAGGGCGCCGAUCAAGGCAGCAGUGGGGCUGCUGGAGUGCAGGAGGCAGUUGAGGACGACUCGCAUGUGGUGUGAUGGCGCAGGCGCUGCAUCCUGGAUGGCGGCCAAACCGGUGACACAUGCAGAGCUCAGGUAGUUGCGGACUGUUGUUGUGGAGGAAGCGAACUGGCAAGGCUUUGCCAGCACCCACAUGUUGCGGUGGCGCAACAUGUGGGUCUCCUGUAGGUGAGACGAAGGGAGCAGGCAAGGCCACGAGGAGGAGAACGUUGUGGCGCACGUACCGUAACCGGCAAAGGCAGCGGCGCUGGCGCACAGGUGUACGGUCAGGGUUUCAUGCGCGCAAGCGUUCUAUUAGGCCAUGCGCCAAUCAAUUGCCACGGUGUGGUGGCUGUCCUGGCAGCGGUGUGGUAUGUUUAUAUGAAUAGGGCUGGACCUGGCUAUGAUGAUCACGGGAUAGGACGCGGCUGCUGGGGGCGGACUUCGUUAAGCUAUGGCGCGUGUUCAGGCUGUGUGGCCGAACUAAUUUGGCAACAAACGACGUGGCAGCUCUUGCGCAGUCGACGGCGCGACGCCAGCCACAAGCCCACAAAACUCUUCCCACUUGUUUACACUGCGACCGUAUGCACGCAUCCUCGCAGCCCUGUCCCAUCGCACACCCACUGCGGCCAGCUGCGGCUCGGCUCUGCGCUGGCGCGCCGUGGGGCCAAGCGUGGGGCCGGCCCUCAGCCUAACCAACCGUGCCGCGAGGUUUACCCCGCCCUACCCCCUCCUUCGGAACUCAAGGAUUACUCAUAGCUUGCGGCUUCCUUGCGCUCGCCAACGCGCAACCUUCGGAGAGCGCAGCGGUCAAUGUGAGUGAUACUAGUUACAGGUUGGCUCGAAGUGCAUGUGCAGACAACCUACAACUAUUUUGUUUGUAAGUUGGGGUUGUGUGCUUCUUUUUGAUGAUUGAAGGGGAACGCAGCCUUUAUGGGGCAGAGGAUUGUCGUGUAACCAAAACCUGCAAAUCAUAUGUAGCCCCUAUGUAUAGAGCUCUGUCAACUCUAUAUGCUCGUAGCAAAUAUAGCGGCGAAGGAGUCAAACUCCAGGUACCAUUGCCAACGCUGGACAGGUUCUUCCUAAGCGACGCCUCGAGAUGUCUUUGUAAAACACUCAACAUUCUAGGAGACGAGCCACUAUUUCGCAAUAUUUCUGAAACUAUUACUUGGCUUGCCAGCGACGCGUCCUACGACCUUGUGACAAGCUUUGCCCCGCGGCCUUCAAUCUGAACUCUUCUGUGACCAAAUAUAGCUGCACAUAGGCAUCUGAGCGCCGAGGCGCAGUCCAGCAGGACUUGUCAGCUUCGAGGCGCAAUGGGACGCGCGCUCCCGUUAGCUAUCGUGCCCUUGUAGGGACCUCCAGGGGCCGCUCAGCGGCCCAGGAGGACCAUGGGGCUAUUCGACUGCAUAUGCGGGCCGCGCGGUGGGGCGAAUGGUGUUCUGCCACUCGAGCCUUCCACGCCUCCGGGCUUGGACUCUUCCGGCAGGGAGCUGCUAGGCCAUGACCAUAUCAGUGGUGGGAAGCAGCCGCUGGCGGAGCGGAAGCAGCAGCUCGGCGAUUCCCCUGCUAUCGGACCAGGCCUGCUCUCCAGCACGGAAACCAGCCUCUCGCCAGCUUCUGGACACGCUGGAGGGUCAUAUCCUCACAGCAGGUCUCGCCAGCGGAGGCAGAGUAUGGAGGCAACGGAAGCUCUGAACACCACGUUGGAAAUGGCCCGGCAGCGGCGAUUGUCUAGCAACUGCUACGAGCAGACCUCCACGUCGGGGCAGUCUCAAAAAGGCUUCAUGAACUGGGGUUGGCUCAAGGGCUCAGGGAAGCAGUCGAAGCGCCUGGUGCCUGGUAACCAGGUCGCUGCGGAGCCGGUGCCUUCGAACCGCUUGCGAGCGGCCGGCCGCGAUGGCUCCAUCAACACUGCAGAGCUGUAAGUUUAGCUUUGUAGGCGCAGGAGAAAUUUUGUGCGCACCUUCGAGCCGCGGGCCCGUUAACGCUGUGUUUCGCCUUUUGCCCGCAGGUUGCAACGCCGCGGCUUCCCUGUGCACUACGCCAAGGACAUCCACAAAUCAGUUUCAACGUCCACGACGAAGCCGAUCGCGGUGCUGGGCUUGGAGCCCUCUAGCGACGGAGGGGGCGAGGGGGGAGGCGUGGCGAUGGAGGCAAAACCGUCCGCGGACGGCUCGCCGGACUCGUUGUCCCGUCGAAACCACAACAAGCUGUUCCCUCUCUACGUCAACGGCGUGGCGAAGUCUUAUUUCAAGAUUAGCGCCAGCCGGGACUAUGCUCAGGUGCUGCGACGUCUCCUUCGGAGGGACCCGCUGCUCACGUUCGCGCUGCAGAAGGCCAUCCGGAAUCUCUCGAUGGGCGACUGCAAGCCGGUCAGCCACGUCACUUCGGACCCCACGGGCGCGUCCGCGUCGCUCUACGGGCUGCGCAUUACGCCCUGCGUUUGGUCGGACACCAAUGGGCACAAGCUGCCGGCGCUAUUGCUGGAGCACAACGUUCCCUAUGACGCCUCCGACGUGAUGCCGCGCCUGCUGCGCGACUACGCGGUGCUGUCGCACGUCCCCUCCAUCCUCACGCUCAUCGACUUCAACGGACACGUCUUGUAUCAGAACGCCGCAAGCAUAGACUACUGUGGCGACCUCACCAGUCACAACGUGGAGACGGGCGACGGGAUGCUGGGCGUGCUCUUCCAGUAUGAGCCGCAGAUGCUGCAAGAAAUGUUGCAGGAGGUCAACGAGGGCAACUACUGGCAGCAGGUUGUCCGGGUGCCAUCGUCGCUGAAGCGGCACAUGAUAUUCGAGACGGAGAGCAGCUGGGGUCACGGCAGUCGCGGCCAUGACCGGAAGAAGCUCAACGUCGCGGUGUCUAAACGCUUCAUCCAGGAUGCGCUUGAACCGGAGUUCCAGCUGGAGAGCUUUACGACGCAGAACGCGCGUAGCCAGCGGAAUAACGCGAGGACUGGGCGGGCGGCGUUCCAGCAGCAGCCCAGCUUGAUGCGGCAAGAGAGCGCGCGGCACCCGCAGCGGCAGGACACGCGCGACAGCGGCGUGGCCAUUGCUGGGCCUGCAGCACUACCGGUGGGGCGGAUGGCUAGCAUUACGGGGGCGGCACCGCGGCUGGGCAGUCACACGCUCGGGCCGGGGGCGUCGCACGUGGUGUUCAACCUGCCCAACCAGUUGGAGGACGGGCACAGCAGCAACCACAUCACGCACGGCGGCUCGUUCUCCACGGGCAUCAGCAAAGCCAGUGCGCCCACGCAGCAUUCGCACCUGACGAAUCAGGGGCAGAACCGGCGCUUCAUGACGCUAAUGCAGUCGGCGGCGGAGCGGCAGCAGCAGCCCAGUUUCACCGGCUCGAUGAACAGCUUCCACACGGAGGGUGAGAAGCCGGACUCGCGGCAGGGCGGGCCGGUGCAGGAGGAGUGCUGGCACGACAUCUCGGCCAUCCCCCUUUUGGACCCGGUGCUGGACAAGCAGGUGCGGACGGCUGCGUUCGCCUGCUGGGGGUGGGGUGGGGCGGUGGCGGGAAGUGGACUACCCCCGGGCUCGGGGCGGCCGUCACGGCAUAGGGGUGUGUAGGGCCCAGGGCCGGAAACCGGGUUGGCAAAGGAGGACGGGCUGGGGGACGGGCCGGAGAUUUGGGGCCCGAGAAGGGGGUAGGUCGUCAUGCGGGACGACCGAUGCGCGCGCGACCUACCCACGAUUGCACUUCACACGGCUUGCUUGUAUCCCUGCCUUGCAGGUGAUCCUUUUGCUCCAAACGAACGUCACUGCGCGCGUGGAGCUGGAGAACCGCCUGGCGGAUCUGACGGACGCACAGCUUGGUAUGCUUGAGCAGCUGUUCCCACGGCACGUGAUUGAGUACAUGCUCUCUCACAAGCACGGCUACAAUUCGCGGAAUCUGACGCACUUGGCCAACCACCACGACGAUGUUAUCGUGCUGUUCACGGACGGUGAGGCACUGCCGGGCGCAAUGGUUGCUUCUAUGUUCGUGUUGAUUGGCGCGUGCAACUAUGGGAGCGUGGGCGCAGCCACAUGCUUUGUUCGCGUGGCUAACGUUAUGCAAACCUUUGUUUUGCAGUGGUGGGCUUUACGUCGAUGAGCAAGGAGGUGGAGCCCAGCGAGGUACGUUCUGUCCUCAAAGCGGAAGUCUGGGCAGUUGCCUUGCGUUGGAAGCAUAGUGCCGGUGUUGCGGACGACUGUAUGUACUGUGGGGGCGAGUGCAGGGAUGGGGGCCCAGCGCUGCUGGGCCCCUGUGCUACUACGCGUUGUGGCGUGCCUUGAUGCUGCUGACGAGUAUCCCCGUAACCCGCCGCAGGUGAUGCACUUCCUCAACGAGCUGUACACCAUUUUCGACGACCUCGUGGACCUGCACGACCUGUACAAACUGGACACCGUGGGCGACUGCUACAUCGUGGUGGCGGGCCUCACCAUGCAGGACGACGACGGCUUCACGUGCACGGUGCAGGGCGACAACGAGCAGCGGCUGCAGCACGCGCAGGUCAUGAUGGACUUUGCAAAAGCCAUCCUGCGCGAGUCGAAGCAGGUGAGGGCAGGCGGUGCAACGGUGCAAGGGCGGAUGGUGGUUGGACCGGCGGUGGGUGCACGACGUCUGGCGUGUGCGUGCGGGUUGGUAUUGACAUGUGUACAGUGUAGCGUGCAGACGCGUAACUUCCGGUUGUUGUUAUGCUUCCACAGGUGCUCAUGCCGCACAAUCACGCGCCGGUGCAAAUCCGCAUCGGCAUCCACACGGGCAGCUUGGCGAGCGGGCUGGUCGGGCCGAAAAUGCCCAAAUUCACGCUGUUUGGUGAGUAACCGCAGCACCAAACAGCGGGCUGCGUGAGCUCUGCAUGUUGUUGCUGCUGCACGGCGCAAGGUGCUCGAGCGCCUGGCGGCGAAUCUCUUCCUUUUUGUGCCCGCUGUUCGACUUCUUGCCUGCUAACCUUAUGCAUUCCCACCAACUGCCAAUGCACAGGCGACACCAUGAACACGGCUUCCCGCAUGGAGAGCACGUGCAAGCCAGGCUGCGUGCAGGUCUCGGAGCUGUUUGCGCAGCUGCUGCCGCUGGAGGACUGGGAGGACACGGGCGGUGUGGAGGUGAAAGGGAAGGGCCACAUGCAGACGUACCUGUGGACACCCAAGCCGGAGGACCUCAUUCCUCUCGGCGUGGGCCCGCGGCCGGCGCUGGGCGGGCCCGAGGACGACAGCUCGCUGGACGACGUGCAGGCGCCAGCGCCCAGCGCCAUCAGCAGCGCAGUCACCACCGCUCCAGACGACUCGGCGGCAGACCGGACGGAAAUUGACGGCACCACGCGCUCGACAGCAGCGUCGCCUGCGCGGCCCAAAUCUGGCCGCGCAUCGUACGCACGGCCGAAGAGCAGCCGGCCCAAGAGCAGCCGCUAUGUACGGCCAACGACCGCGCGGAUGCGGGAGAGCCAGAACGGUGGUGUGCACAGCCGGCCGAGCACAGCCAGCAGCCACGGCGGGCUCACGCGGGCGCCCUCGGCGCGCUUGGGCCGCUCGCUGUCGCGGCGAAACGUCAGCUUUCGCUUCCACGGCGGGGACGAGGGGGGCGAGGGGGACGAGGCGGGCGGCGCCGGCAGUACGCCGUUCAUGGCGAUCCUGAACGCAAUCCGCGGCAGCGGCACGGGCGAGGGCGACGAGGGCACGGACGACGAGCUGGAGGGCGUGCCGCGGCGGCAGCGGGAACCAUCGAUGCCGAUGCGGCGGCCCAGCAAUAACGUAAGCCUGAACGGUGGCGCGGGGCCGACAGGCAGCGGCUCGCUCAGUGGGCCCCAACUCUCGUUGACUGGCGGUCUGGCCAGCGGCAGCGGCGGCAGCCGACAGGGCACCCUAAGCGGCGGCCUGCAGCCGGGCAGCCGGGCUGGAACUGCCGGUGGCCCGUUGGCUAACUCAUCCGGCAGCGGCGCUCUGCAAGCGACCAGCAGCGGUUUAGGUGGCGGCGGGAGCCGGGUGGGUACGGCCAGCGGCGGGCAGCCUAGCGUUGUGCAGCACGUGGACCUAGAUGAGGCCAUGGACGUGCUCAAACCUAGCCCCUCCAACCGGCCAUCGGAUUCAUCCAAGCCGUUGAAGGCCGUGCGGCUGUCGCUGACGCCAGAAGCGGCGGGCGGGCCACCUCCGCGGCCAUCGCAGAACGGCGCGCCUGUGCGGACCGCCAAGUAAUGUGUCGCUGUCCAGCUCGAUUUGCAAUGGAUGUGGGCAUUCGUUGUUAGAGACGUAGCAGGUUGAGAGCAUUGAAUGCGUUGUGCAGUUUGGCUGGUGUCAGCCGGAUGUCGGUGUCCGUCUGUGGGCAGGAGUUGUGGACGGCUUGCUGCGAAGCAGGCGCGCCCUGCCCUGCGAAGUGUUGCUAGGAUGCAUAGGCAUUGGCACGGGGAUCGCACCAUGGCCUGCACACGCCUGUUGGCCGUUGGCACAGGUCAGUCCAUGAAGUAUUGUAGAGCCAUAGCGGUGAUGUUCUUGUGUACUGUUCCCAACUGCCGGUGGCUGUGCAUACGUAUGAUUUGGUUGAGAAACACGGACGAGUGGUGUUUGCUUACAUUGCAGGAGCGCCAGAUCGUGCGCGGCAACCCUGGUGAUCCUGUUCGUGUGAUUAUGCAGUUUUUGGCAACCGUCCGAUGACGGCGUGCAGCAGAAAAUGAAAAGGAAGUCCAGCUUCCGCGGGUGUGGUGUGAAUGCUAGGUAGAAGGACUGAGCGGCUAGUACUAAAGCCAGGGUACAGAUAGCGGAGCAGCAAACCUCUAGGCGAUGAUCAAGUAUGAGGCACUGGAUCAAUGGCUGACAAAGAAGAGGAUAAUGGAAGGCAGUGUAUAGGUAGGAGAAGAGUCUGGCAUGGUGACGCAUGUAGGUCAGGCAGAACAGAUCAGGCAAGCUCGUGGUGAUGGCAGUGAGGCAUAAGUCGAUACCGUAUGCAUGUGUCUAUGUGCGCGCGAGGAAGGCUGUAACGCUUCCUCUCUUGCGAUACGCGUCCAUGUCUUAAGGGGCACUUGUCUUGCACCUGAUACAAAGUGGACGCCUGCACUGCUGGAUUGCUGCAAUGCUGCCAUGACACGGUACUCUUGGGACUUGCACAGCGCUACACCACAUAUCUCACGUCCCCGGCCGGCCUCCAUACACCGGGGCUUCCUCUCACUCUGAGCCGCCCUAGCUCCACACAUGACUGCCCUUCUAGCUUACGCAGACCGGCGGACAGAGUAUGACAGGCACAGCGGAGGAGGAAAGGGUGGGGAUGGAAGGAGCCAUCACCGGCGCCGAUGGGUCGCGGGUUGCGCGGCACCGGUUGCGGUGCAAGUCCUUCGGCCCGGCGCAUGUACAUCGUGCCACUGUAAGCCUGAGCGCAUAAUUUCAUAUUCAGAUGCUGCCGCAAAGUAAUAGCUAGGUUUCAGUCCACGACGCAGUUUCAAGCCCACGCACACACCCGAUCGCAAAUUCGUCUUCAUUUGUGAAGACCGGUUUGCCAGGCGCUGCCCUAGGUCAAACACAAUGGCCAAAUCAUUGAAGUGCGGCGUCUGCGGAGCUCUGUUGAGAAACGUUGCCGAAGCCCAGAACCAUGGCGAGGUGACGGGCCACUCCUCGUUUGAGGAGACGACAGAAGUGGUAAGGGUUUGUGUUGAAGCUAGGGUUCUGUGUUUGCAGUUGGGGUAAGGUGUCUCGAAGGUUCCUGGGGCCAAACCGUAGGGCACCUGGGCCUGCGUCCAGACGUGUGCCCAGCACCUGCGGGGAAUGCUCAGCAACAGCACCGGGCGGAGCCUCAUUUUAGAAUGUCAUGCUAGGUUAAAGCUGUUUGCUGAGGGGAAGCGACAACAAGGCGGUGCCACAAGGGGGAGACACGACGCAGCCUCGAUGGGGCCCAGCCUGGUGCAGCCAGGAUGGGAGUUCACAGGAGUGUCGGGAAUGCCAGCAAGCCGGGACGCGAUCCGCACGGCCACCCGCCGAGGGACGGAGGGGAUUUCUUCAUACAAAACCAAAAGCCAUAACGCCAUUCGCGCGGCGAUGCCAACAAAGAGGCAUCGCUUCACAUCAGUGGAGGCCACAGCAGGCUUGGUAGCGCGGGCCGCAGAGGGACCCGCAGCCCUGUUACCGGCACAGCCCCACUAGCUGUGGAGUACCGGUGCAAAACAUUUGCCAUUGCUACAUGGCGUGCUACAUGGCGUGCGACGCAAGCGCUGCUUGUGUGGUGUCUGUCUUGACGCUAUGACGUCAUGACCACUCGGACCUGCAUAUCACCCGCAGAUCCGCGUGAUGAAGUGCCUCACGUGCGGCAAGCCCUGCCGCACGGACGCGGAAAAAGACAUGCACAAGCGGUUCACGGGGCACGCAGAGUACGCGGAACAGGUAAGCCCGUGAGGGGGGACAGGGUGGUAACGGCGGUUGAACACAGUGCGGGCAGCGUAGGAGCAGCACACGGCACGACCAACGCGCAUGCCGAUGCUACCAUCAGGCCUAGUGUGAAUCCACCUGGCUGCAAUGCCGCAACGCCAAAUGCCCGGCAACGCCAUAACCGCUGAUCCCACUUGCCCGGCAGCCGAAGCCGUCCACAUCUGUUCCUACGUACCGUAGUGCGGUGGCUAACGCCCUUCGACCCUUGAUCAGUUAACAACACGUUCAUUCCUGACAGACGGAGGACGCGGUGAUAAACACGGAGGUGGAGAUGAAGGAGGCGCAGGACGCCAUGGAUGACGACGCCGACAUCCUGAGGGCCUCGCUGGGCAAGCCGCCCAAGGCCAAGCCCAAGACAGAGGCGGGGGCGGAGGGCGGCGGCGCGGCAGGCGGCAGCGGCGAGGCGGGGACCAGCGGCUCGGAGGAGAUGGUGAGGAGGGGCGGUGGCGGGGAGGAGCUCUCGGAGGUCUUGGUAGGGGAGCUGCUACUGGGGCGACAGAGGGCGACUGGGAGCAGGUACGGGUGAUAACCCUAGUUAGGGCGCAUGUACCGUAUGAACGUCGGCUGUGGGGCGCAGUGCAGCCGCAGGGUGCGUGAUGCCCAACUGCUGCGCAAUGCGGUUGCGUUGUCGCGAGUGCCAGCAGCGUGGUUUGACGGGUGGAGUGUGUGCGCCGGGGUGCGCUGCAGGUUCCGGCCGAGGUGCCGGAGAAUCUGCUGAAGGAGAUGGAGGAGAUGGGCUUCGGACGGUGAGGACUGGGCGCUAUAUUCCAUGCUUCCCUUUAUGCGUAGCACCCCGCCGCUGGCCUCUCCUUUUGCACCGCACGCCUCAUGGUCCCUGCCUCGACCCACCGCGUUACGGCCGCAUUCCCCCAUUCGUUACGGGGCGUACUUGCGCCUGCACUCCGCCGUCGGUCUGACCUAUCCAUGCGCUUCCGUUGCGCCCCGCAUUCCCGCAUCUCCCUCCUACCUGCAACCGCCCCUGUCUCCCCACGAAAAUCUGCCCUCAGCAACCGCGCCAUCCGGGCCAUCUGGUUCAGCAAGGCGGUGACGAGUGUGGAGGCGGCUGUGAACUGGCUGAUGGACCACGACACCGACCCUGGCAUUGACGAGCCGCUGCUGGUCAAGAAGGUGCGCGGGGGCACAGGUUUUUUCGGGGGGGGGGGGGGGUAGUUCAUUCCAAUCCCAAAGAAACAAGGCCCAGAACCAGCCACAGAGGGGCACUGCGGUAUGUGGUCGGGAGGAGGAGAGACAGCAGGAGGAGAAGCAGUAGGAAAGAGAGGAAGAGCAAUCGGAUCAUCAAGCAGGGCUAUUUUCCACCUUUUCCAAGGGCGGGGCACUGCCAAUGGGGCUUUGGUCCCAAGCAGUGGGCGACACCGGACAUGCCGCUCUCCUUGCGGCCGCAUCUUUGCAACUGCGCAGGGAGGGGGUCGCACAGCCUGCCGCAGGAGCACGCGCCCAUACACGCGCACGCCCACGCACACGAACAUGCAGCCGUUGCUGAAUCAAAUUUCCAAACCCUGCUCGGCUGCAGUCGGAAGCGGAGGGCUCGGGCCAGGACGGCGGCAGCAAGGAGCCGGUUGACCCGGUGGAGGCGAGGCGUAAGGCGGAGGAGCUAAUGCGCAAGGCCCGUGAGAAGCGCGAGAAGGAGGAGAAGGAGAUGGUGGGUGACACGGGGGCGCCGGCGGUGGGAGGGGGGCUGUGAACGAAUUGGCGGGGCCUGCUGGGUAUCCCCUGCAAUUCAGGUUGGUGCUGGGACGUUGACGUUUGGUCCAGGAGUGGAGCUUGGCUGUGUUCCGCCCGCCUGUGGGAUAUGUUGGACGUGUAUGGGGUCUUGGCAAUGCCAGCGUUGCUAGCUGGCCGUGCGCGGCUGCAGCGCUCCCCUCCCCGGGCUCAACUGCACUGCUAACAAGACAGAAAGCACAGCGUUUGCUUGACUUGGGCCCGCCUUGCUGGUGUGCAGGAGCGGCUGCGCGAGCUGGAGCGCAUCCGGGCGGGCAAGGAGAUGCAGAAGGUGCGCGUGCAUUUAUCGAGUAGUAAUCCCCAUGACCACCGUAACUGGAACUUAGGGAGGGGCAACUGACAAGACGGACUGAUGCUAGGCCUGAGAGGCUGAGCGCUUUGUGAAGUGGGAUUCUGACUUAUGCGGGGCGGAGGUGUGCGCUUCAGCCGUUCUCCACCUAUCGUCCUGUGCCCCUAUGCCACCUCCCUUCACGCUGCCUGUACAGAUUCGAGAGAAGGAUGAUGAGCAGGCGCUGAAGCGCAUUGCCGAGGUGAGCCACACAGGAGGCGCCCCAGUCACUGCCGGCCCCUCUGCAUCUGCUCCACGUCGCGCCGCACCGCUAACCUAUCCGUGACCUCCUUGUGACAUUGUGUUUUCCGAUGGCCGCCGCCGGCUAACGCAGCAACGCAAGCGGGAAAAGGAGGAGGAGGCGCGCGCACGCGAGGAGCUGCGGCGCAAGCUUGAGGAGGACCGCAAGGAGCGCCGCCGCAAGCUGGGGCUGCCGGAGGAGCUGACGGAAGAGGAGAAGGUGCGGGCGCGCGGGCGGGCGGGUCUGCGAGUUUGUGCAUCAAGCCUAGUGCUUUGCAUUGCAACAUGGCUUACACGUGAUGCAUGCGCUGCGUCACAGGCUCGCGAGGCGGAGAAGCGCAAGAAGCAGGAGGAGGAGGAGGCCUCCAAAAAGGCCUUCAACUACGUCAAGCCCAUCUCAUGUGAGUAUGCUCCGAGAGCUCUGAGCGGGGCUCCCAAUAAGGGGGCUCAGGGCCGAGGCACCUGCAGGUCGCCGGCGC
RNAcentral lists this long non-coding RNA (95728 nucleotides) under Chlamydomonas reinhardtii. RNAcentral describes it as "long non-coding RNA (CREI_LNC000042)". Lineage: Eukaryota; Viridiplantae; Chlorophyta; Chlorophyceae; Chlamydomonadales; Chlamydomonadaceae. The record is from RNAcentral.